UGCAAAAUACGAAGGCUUUCUCUUAAUAGAAAUGUGAUUCCAAGCUUAAAAGCAAGAGAAAGGACUCUGGUCCACCUUCGAACUCUCAUGUCCUUCGGAGGUGUCGCACGGGAGUCGAAGCAAUUUCAGCCUAUUUUCAACCAUUGUAAGUUUCUUAGAGUUCUAAAAUUAGAGAACCUUAAUGUGGAGAGAAGCUUACCUAAAUCAAUGGGAGACCUAGUCCAUUUACGAUUCUUAAGUUUAGCAAGAAGUAGGUUUAACGGUUUGCCGCAAUCUAUGGGGAACCUUGUAUGUAUGGAAUUCUUGGACCUGCUUACACGUAGACAUACUAUGGUUUCUAUGCCAAAUGUAUUGUGGAAGAUGAGAAGAUUGAGGUAUCUCCGUCUUCCUUACCAGUUUGAUGUCAAGGAGAAAUUUCAUGGGGCUCAGAAGAAGUUGCGGUUGGGCACUUUAAAGAAUCUACGGACAUUGAGAAACUUCAGUCCGAAGAAAUGUGAUGUGAACGAUGUAGGCAAGCUUACCAAUUUGCAAAAAUUGAAUGUCUUUGCUCGGGAUGAUCCUAUCGAGCUAGAGAUAUUUCUGCAACUUGCUAAAUUCAAUUUGAAAUAUCUUCGAUCCUCGUCUUUUUAUUUUCAAAAUUAUCGUUCUUUAUGGACUGAAGGUGAAUUGAGUAAAAUGUCAAAUUAUCCUCAUUCCUGUAAGUUGUGCAUUUUUGGAAGAAUAGAGAAGUUACCAGAACAUAAGAGUCUACCCCAGCAAUUGAGGAAGCUGGUCUUAAUAAAUUCUAAACUCGAAGAAGAUCCGAUGCCAAUAUUGGAGAAAUUACCUCACUUGGUUUUUCUCAUGCUGGGUCGCGCUUUCACGGGAAAGGAAAUGGUUUGCUCUGCAGGAGGCUUUCCUCAACUCAAGCAUUUACUUUUUUUUGGAUUACGUGAUUUGGAGGAGUGGAGGGCCGCUGAAGGAGCCGUGCCUCAUCUUUCUCGAUUACGGAUCUACCAUUGUCCCAAAUUGAGAUUGAGGGCGGUACCUUCACAUGUCUCUACAUAUGACGGUACGGAAGAAAUAUUCAAGGAGUUGAGGAAGUGCGGCCUUUUUUGAGAGAGGGAUAAUGAUGUGAGUUCGAGAAGGGUGGCCCCAGCUGUUCAGAGAGAGAGGAGGGAGGGGCUGCUGAGCUUGUGGGUUGUUAGGGGGGUGGGCCCCCCUAGAAUAAAUAAUCUAAUCUCAUAUAUCAUAUAUAAUUGAGUGAAAAUAGAGAGUAUUGUAUUAUGGCAUUCCUUUACUAAUUAUUUUUCAUGUCUGUCUUUCCAUCAUAAAUCAUCAUUCGUUUCGUUUUCCCUCUCAUCCCUGAGGACUUCCCAAUCAGUGGGGGGUGGAAUCUGCUGUUUCACACUCGCUGUCGAGAGAACUCAGCGACUUUGCUCAUGGAAGACAGCAAAGUUCUCGCGAGCGCCGCGAGGAGGAGGAGGAGGAGGAGCGAAUUCGUUGCGUCUCUAAAAGACGGUGGAUGGGGGGAGGCAUCUGAAGAAAUAAGAGUCGUCGCUUGUCGUGGCGUUGGAAGACAGUCAUCGUUGGAAGCUGCUGCCUUGGAGAGGGGAGGAAAGGAGAGGAGAGGAGAUCCGAUCAUUUCCAUAGUGCUGGUCAGGUGUUUGACGAAAUGCGAAUGCGGAGUAGGAACUGGGGUACAUUUAUCUGAAAUGGGCGUGUUGCUUCCGGCUUGUGCAAUUGAUUUCUUUGUAUAUAGAUGAACGAUGACGAGAAAUACAACGGUGCAUUUUGCAUCUACAUGUAAAGGCUGCAAGGUAUACUAAAAGAUUCUGUCGUGUGUGCUCACAUUAGUCUUUCCCUUUGAACGAUGUUGAUGAAAUUGCUGGAUGUAGCGAUUAGUCUUUCCCUUUGAACGAUGUUGAUGAAAUUGCUGGAUGUAGCGAGAAAGCAUAUGAUUAUUUGUCAAUCGGUGACGCUCAGCAAAUGUUGCUCUUCUCCUGCGACCAAGAACUCACGGUAUAUAUUGAGGAGGUAAAUAUUAGAGAGGAUUCUGGCUUUUUCUACCUGGAAUUCUGUUCUCGCUUGACUAAUUAAGUCAAAAUGAUACUAUCCGCUCCAGUAUCAGUUCAGAUCUUCGAAGGGUCUCAUAAAAUCUGUUCUAUUGAGUUGCUAAUCCAUGUCCUCUUCAACUGUUAUAAUUAUCUUCUUCUGGAAUCACAGCCUGAUGUUAAACUUGCACUUACCACGUCCAUGUGUCAUUUGGCCCUGGCUGUGGCUCUGCUGAGUUUGAACUUGGAAAGGGGUGCUCAGUACAGAAACCUCGUGCUUUAAAAAGGGCUUCAUAGUGUGUGGAAGGAGACAUCCACGUAAAAGCUGUAUUGUGGAGCCUGAACAAUUACAUAUGUUAUCUUUUGGAAUGCAGGAGCAUCCCAAUUGGCAAAUGAAGAGUGGGUCUGUAUAUUUUCAAUUGAAAUGGAUAAUGACAGUCAAUGCACGAGGGUGUGAAUUUGAAUCUGUUUGCUGCAUCUUCAUUGUAACAGGUGAAGAUACUCUAAACAUUAGUAUGAUGGAUUUUCCAGUUGCCUUCUUCAGUUUCCACUUCUCAGGAAGCUUCCAAUUAUGAUGAGCUCUUCAUGAAACAGAGAGCUUGAACAUUCCAAAUAGCUGAAGGUACUUCAUAAUACACCUAUAGUUUUCUUCAGUACAUAGCUACAAAUGUGAGAUAAAUAGGUUUUCACUUCAUUGUCUUGUACCGGCUUGAGCAUUUCUUCCUGUUGCACAUCUGGUAAAUUGCAUCGACAAUAUCGUAGAGUGGUAAACACAUUAAAAGAUUUUGCGACGAAAGCUUUCAUAAUCUAUGUGGAUCACUUGGGCUCCAUGACCUAUAAGGUCCACUGUCUCCUGGAUGACAAGAUUGAGGAAGCAUCUGCGGUUGAGCUCAGAUUUUCUUGUGUUCAAUAGUUGUGCAAUAUAAUUAGGUUUUCCUUGUUUUGUAGUAUUUAGGAUGGGAAGGGCUUGCAUACCCUCUGAUUUACCAUGUGCAGGGUCUAAUAGAUUGCAACUGAUCAAGAAGAAUCUAGUUUUUGAAAAUCUGAAAUUGCUCUAGAUAAACUCCAUAAUGUGCCAGAUUAUAUCAUAUUGUGACAAACUAAUUACUAGAGCAAGAGAGAUUCUAAAUAGCAUAAGAAAUCUUGCUUUGACCAAAGUAUGGAAAAUGGCAAGAACAACCAUCUCUCGUGCUAUCAACUUAUUUAUCACAAAGUAACAAAUAGAACUUUCAGCAAUGUUAUUGUGUUUUAGAGACUAUUGACAUCUAACGUUCAUAGACCAUGGAGGUUUCUCAGCACUCACUAGCGAUAAGAACUCUGGAGGACCUCAUGCAAUAUUAUCUUACCAGGCACACUUCCCUUCACAAGAUAUAUCUGUUGUUUUAUUAAGACCAAAAAGUUGGUGUUGGCUCAUCCUUCAUAACUUUCUCUCAGUUUCAAAAGCUAAAGGCCAGGAUAAUCUGCGAUAAUACAUGACAAUUGGCUUAAAUGGCAAAAUGUCCAAAUGCUAACAUUGUAUGACCCAUUUUCUGGUUUAACUACCAUAAGCAUAUUGCAUGUAACAAGAUUGGUCUAUUAGAUGAAGAAUUUUUUUAUUUUUUUUUUGUAAUUAGAUGAAGAAAGUUCACGAGUUAUAGAACUACUUUUCUUGUUCUUCGGAUGUCUUGAGAACAUGAUCUUUUAUGAUGGAUUCUCUUGUGAAUCGCCAUUAUAUCCCCACAUGAACAUCCAGUACCCAUCGGAACCGGAAGAUCCACUUCAAUAUAUACUCAUGCUGAGAGGAAUAGGAGAACUGAUAUCGAGCUUUAUUCAUGCAAAAACAAACGUCUCUUCAAGGCCUUGCUUAGCAGUUAGCAUGCGGAAGUCAAGAAGGGACAGCAAGUUAUCGAAGUUCCUGGACGAGAGCUAAGAAGAACAGGGGAUGAAAGAAAACGGAUAGGCCCAUUAUCACGGUUUCUUUGCACCGCAAGUAUGACCUAUGCUGUAUUUGUUACGGUAGCUUAAGCUAGCUUUAAGAUUUUGAGAAUAAUUUAAUGCAAUAAGAAACGGAACGAAAAGAAAGUCCUGAUAAAAUAACAUAAUUUCUACAAGGAGUUCCUUCGGAAGAUGGUUGCCGCUCUAUAGUCUACAGUUCACUCUUGCCUGUUAUUCCAAACAGAGAAGGUAAAGAUUGAAGAAUGUUUAGAAAGCUGAGAUACUGUUUCCUCCCGGUAAUUAAGUAAUGAUAGGCUCACAAGCCACAAUUCACAAGACACAGCUAAGACCAGGCAACCUGGAAGGGACCAAUAAACAUAGUGUACCUCAAUAUGUUGAAUGUCGCCGCAAAUACGUUGAUUAUGUUGUAUAACUAAAAUGGUUUCAGAUCAGACACCUGCAAAUGGACUGGGCACUAAAACACUCCCCAUAAAUACAAGAGCUCAACUGUACGAAUUUCAUAUGCGAUAGGCACGAGAUUUUUGUACACACCAUUCAGAUUCUUAUAGUAGUUAAUACGGUCGAUUGAGCAAUGACCAUUGUUCAAAAUCCAAGAUCAAAACUGGGACACUCGGCCUUCACUUUCAGUUGAUCCUAUCUCCUUCAGGGGUCUUCAAUUCAUCAUUAGCAUCGCCACAAGAACUGCAUGAAAGAGAUGCUUUGGAAGCAAGGCUUCUUGCCACAACAAUUGGGGUCAGCUUGCUCGGGAGAAGGCGGGAAGCGAUAAUUGGACCAGAUGUGUAUGCUAGUCAUACAGAGCUCAGUGCAAUUGAGAAUUUCCACUAAGUAAAUGCAGAACUAGACUUUGGUUUCCCACAAGCAGUUGCUCCCUGCAGCUAAUUUGUUUCUGCUUGUAUAGUAGUUUGCACCAAAAAGUUUCAACAAACAUCGAAACUCAUGAAGUUCUAAUGGCGUUUCAAGAUGCUUGUUGUCAUUUGUCACAACCUUGCCACCAAUGGCUCAAAAAUGGAGCUGAAAGUAUUGAUUACCCUAAAUUUAACAGGACAAGUAGCCGUGGAAUAGGUGGGAGUUGCCAAUUUGAAAGCCCUCCCGUAGAGUGAAAUUCAUUGAAAUCAGAGGAUGAUUCUGAUGAAAUUUUACAAUGUAGACAAGGAAACAUAAACUAUGAGAAAACUAACAUUAAAAUUUGAAAGAACGCUGAAUUGAAAGAAAUCACGGCUAAACCUACCUUUUUCGACUUCAUGAGACUAGGUAACUUUUCGUAACCAAUGUUGUCAGCUAGAUUUCCGAUGCCUUAUACUCCACUGAAGGAGCGAGGGCAUCACGUCCUCACUAGCUGCUAGCGACAUUGCCCGGAGUUGGCAGGGGCUCUUGCGGCCUUGCCCAGGACUUCACAGCCGAGGGCAAGGGUUUCGCAGCCAAUGAGGGUCACUGGUGACCCUCGUGGCAAAAAAAAAAAAAAAAAAAUUCAAAUCAAAAUAAAAACACAAUUUUAAAAAAUUAAAAAAAAACAAUAAAUUACAUGUAGAAUGAUUUGCUAUAAUUGACGUUCAAGUAAUUAAUUUUACUUUGAUGUGACUCAAGUGAGCGAAAAAAGUUUUUUUGCACUUCUAGUGUGCUUACCCCCUCCAGAUUGCCAUACAUAGCAUUUAGAUCAUGUUUUCAUGCCCUGUGAUUGUAUCAUGUAUCACAUAGUCAGACAAGCUACUAAUGCAAGCCGCACUUUUUCUAACCAGAAAAACGCACCUCCCCAUUUCUAUUUCAACUCACACGUUCAAGUUCUCUGGCCAAUAAAUCCACAUCUCCAAACCCUUCUAACGCCAAAAAACGAGUAAGCAUCAAUGAAAUUAAGUGCAGCUUAGCUACUAAGCUUUAUUUUUUGUUGGACAUGUCUGGCGGACAUGACCUCUCAUGGCCGAGUCUCUUAAUAUGCCCAUAUGAACAUCCAGUACCCAUCAGAGCCCCGAAGAUCCACUUCAAUGUCUACUCAUGUUGAGAGGAACAGAAGAACUGAUAUCGAGCUAUAUUCCAGCAAAAACAAAAGUCUCUUCAAGGCCUUGCUUAGCAUGCGGAAGUCAAGAAAGGACAGCAAGUUGUACGAGUUCCUGGACGAGAACUAAGAAGAACAGGGGAUAAAGGAAACCGGAUAGACCCAUAUAUGAGUUUCUGUGCAUCGAAAGUGUACCUGAAUAUAUUGAAGAUCACUGGAAAUACAUUGAUUAUGUCGUAUAACUAAAAACGUUUCCGAUCAGACAGCUGCAAAUGAAUUUGGCACCAGAACGCUUCACAUAAAAACAGGAGCUCGACUGUACAGAUUUCAUGUGUGACAGGCACAAAAAUUCUUGCGCACUCCAUCCAGAUGCUUGACAGUAGCAAUAUUGUUGAUUGAGCAAUGGAUAUGGUUCAAAAUCCAAGAUCAAAACUGGGACACUCAGCCUUCACUAUCAAUGGAUCUCUAUCUCCUUCAAGGUCCAUUCUUUUAUCACUAGCAUCGCUGUGAGAACCGUGUGAAAGCGAUGCUUCAGAAACAAGAUUGUCACUGCAGCACUUGGUAUCAGCUUGCCCAUCAGAAGGCUGCAAACGUUAAUUGCAGCAGAUGUACAUGCUAGUUAUACAAAACUCAGUGAAAUUGAGAAUGUCCUCAAGGUAAACGUUAAUUGCAGCAGAUGUACAUGCUAGUUAUACAAAACUAGAUUUUGGACUGGGAUGCAUUAGAGAAUUCAAGCAAGUCCUCAUGCAUCUAGUUUGAACAUUCCCUGCAAGCAGUUGCUACCUGCUGCUAAUUUAAUUCAGUUUGGCCAGUAGUUUGGACGAAAGAGUUACAUCAAACAACAAAACUCAUUAAGUUCUGAUGGAAUUUCCUGAUGCUGAGAGUCACAAUCUUGCCACAGACGGGUCAAAAUAGAGCUGAAAGAAUUGAUUACUGAAAAUAGAGCAGGAUAAGUAGCUGUGAAAUACCUGCGAGUUGGCAAUUGCAAAGUCCCCCAUCAAGUAAGAUUCAUUGAAUUCAGAGGCUAAUUCUGAUGAUAUUUUACAAUGUCAGAUGACGAAACAUAUAUUGCAACAAAGCUAGAAAUAAAAGAAUGCUGAAGUGAGUGAGAUUGCACUAAACCAACCUUUAGACUUCAUUAGACCAGGUAACUUUUCAUUGUUGGUGGUAUCAGUCAGAUUUCUAAUGUCCACAUUCUCCACUGAAGCCAGCUCAGCAGCUGGCGCUCUUUGUCUUUGAAAUCCAUCACAAAACUUCUCUGGAUCCUGAAGCUCCUUCGUUAGGGAAGCAAAACUUGCCUUCCUUUCAUAUGAAUUUUCAGCAAUGGCAACUUGAUCUAAUGGUUUUCGGAGUACAGAUAGUAUUUGACAGGCUGCAACGAUUUGAUUACAAGGGAUCAUUUGCAAGCUGUAGUAACACACAUAGGUUCCUCCAAUAAACAUGAGAAUUAACUUUCAAAGAAAUUCAAAAUGAAGUGAGUGAUGCAUCAAAAUCAAUAAAACCAAUCCCAAGUUUAAUUAAUGACAUUCUCUUUCUAGAGCAGGUCCAUGAAACAAUCUAUCGAUUUUGCGGGCUUUACAAGGCUUACUGUAAAUUAUUUGAUGCACCUGAAUAAGAUAAAAUUAUUUUCAUUGUGCCUAAAUCUAACUACACAUGCGAAAGAUAGUAACAUCAAAAGGCAGAAGAUAAUUCUAAUAUAGAGAAAUUUCUCCAUAGAGUAAUCACCAUCACGUAGAGGCUUGGUCUCGGAAACUCUCCUGAUGCAAUCUGUGCUUUUCAUAACAGAUAUUCCACUGUUUGAAUCUGAAUCUCUCCUUGGAUGAACCUUCCCCGAAGUGUUGUCUCCAUGUUUAUGCCAGGGGACUGUAAUAUCCAAAGGUCAAGCAUUAGGCAUCAAAUAACUGAGGCACAUAGAAUUAAUAUCUAUGAAAGAAAGAAUUAGAUGUUCCAAUUCCGAAUCAUCUUGAGGUGACAAUAUCAGGUGUACAAUCCUCCUCAUAUAAGUGCCCCUAGUAGUUUAGGGAGGUAGCAACUUUCUCUUAACAUGUUCUUUCAACAUAUUCAUUUCCAAUUGUAUCUUAACACCCACAGGUCCACCUAAAUAACCUCCUCAGUACUUCACUAGGACAUAGCUAGUCAAACAGGAUGCAUCAAGGAAAACUAAAUAGCAUUGGAUGAAUCAAGGAAAACUAAAUAGCAUUGGAUGAAUCAAUAAUGCUGCAAACCUCCCAGGAUUGAUUGAUCAACUUUAGCACCAUCCACUUCCCCAUGGCCUGUCCUCAUUUCUCCAGCAGCGUGACAUGGUUCAAGGUCAUUCAAACCCAUUGGCCCCUUUUCUUUUACCACAUGCUCCCCAAUAUCAACCAAGUGAGAAUCGAACACCAGAGAUUUUCCAGUUCCCAACACUUCAUCUCUCCUAAGAAAUUUAUUCACCAAGAUUUUCCUACUAGCAUCAUACAGUGUGACCUGAACAAUCCAAGGGGAAGAAAACAAUUAGCAGAAAAGUGAUUCCAGGACCUAUAAAAGAACUUUGAACUUUUUUGGGUAAUGAAAAGCACUUGAAUUAGUGUGACACUUGGGGCACAGAAUGAACUAUCCAAAAAACAGAAGCAAUUCAUGUUGGAUCAGCAAACAAAGUGGCCAGCCCAGCUCAUGAAAAAAAAAGUGGCUUAAUGAAAACAUCCGUGAAAGUGCCUCGAAAUGACCUGCCUCCCUAGGGAUCCGUGAACUUCAAGCUGCAGAAAACCAUCAUGGUAUUUCUUGGCCUUUUGAUUUACUUGUGCUGUGUACAAAACCUGCCAUUCUACAUGACAGGAAAAUGUCAAUUUCCAAGGACAUGCUCAGAAUAAUACAAAACAGCGGGAGCACAUAGCCCACAAAAGAACAUUCACAUGCUCAUGGGUGUCAAAAAUGGCUGAAGGACAAUAGUGGACCUGUUAUUGAUUUCAUUAUUGUAGUAACCUCAAGAUAAAAGGAGGCAGUAAAUACAAAGUCAUAUCAAGACAAUAACUGGCUACAUAAUGAAAACUUUAUUAGAAAAUCUAUCGGGAAGUAGAACGAGCAACCAGCUCGUUAAUGAAAACUUCAAUAGAAAAUGUAAAAAUCAUAAAGGAAUACACUGAGGAAUCCAUGUAACUUAGCCCAUAUGCCCUCCUCUUUUGCAUGGGGUUCUCUUAAAUGGGACUCAUUUUUCAAUACCUAAAGCAUGGUGCUAGAGCUAGGAAAAUAUCAAGAACAUAACCUGACAAAGUAAAUUGCGGAUUUUCCAAGUGAAAGGACAACCUUAGACCACCUCUGAAGCACAAAGCCAGCACCUUUAUACAUAGUUUUUAAUUUGGUGAAUCUUCUAUCUACUGAACAUUUUUUCCAUUUUAACUCAAGUGCGAUAUCUGUCAUAUGUAAGGAAUUUCAAAAAUCCAUCUCAUUAAGCAGUAUAGAGUUUUGCCUAUGACAAGUGCGAAAGUUUCCUAACGGGCAACUUUGAUUUCACCGAGAAAAAAAAAUGUGAGUUCAUAAUCACAUAAGAACGUGCAACAAAUGUAGAAACAAGGCAACUAGCAAACACUCUUAGCAAACUGAACAUGCAUACAAGCAAAAUCUGACCUGUUACGCCUGAUUUUGCAGCAUCUAAUAUACUCCCCUUUGCCCGAAUCUGAUGCAUCUGGCCAUUUUUUUCUUCUGAAAGAGUACUAAUGAAUACAUGUUUCAGUGCAUCACAAUUGCAGAAUCAGGUAAUUAUCGUAGAUCAUGCAAAACAUGAAGAGAAGGGAAUCUCACUCCUUAACAGAAAAGGAGAAGAUGAUAUAAAUAACAGAGAUGAUUUUCAAUUGUGAUCUGUCUAUAUUUGGUCAAUGAAGAAAGUGUUAGCUACAUAUAAAAACAAUGAACUGACUCUUGCAUCUGCAAGUUCCAGAAUUUGUGGAAAUCGUUCCAUGAUCGUAAACAUCCCAUGAAUUUGUGUCCUUAAAGCUCCGAAUCACAUUGUGUUAAAAUAUCAGUUUGGUGAGUACGAAGCAUCCCCUGGUUACAUAAAUUUGCAGAGCAGCUGAAUGAUAGGAUUGAUGGGAAUAUAAACAAUCAGGGAGAAAAUGUUGACAAUCAAUUGACAGUUCAAGACUUUAGGAGAGGAGGUAAGGCAAAUUACCUCCAAAAAAAGAAUCAACAGGAAAAAAAGAAGCUAUUUAUAGAACACCAGCUAGCAAAUCAAAUUGAACUCUAUUACAGGGUACCUUUUACAGCAGAUUUAAUGGUAGUCGCAUUACGCUGCUGCUUUUGCAUAUUUAAUUUGUGAAGAGAACUGAAACUGUUUCCACUUGCAUUUAGAUUUAGUUCCCUCAAAGAUUCAUGGUUUGCUUCACGAUUGCCAACUUCGACGAAAUGACCAGGAAAUUCCAUCAUCUCCCCAGGGCUUACUUCUUCAGCUUUGUUCAGGAACCUACUAUCUAAAAGUUUCCAGCUCGUAUCAUACAAGAAAACCUGGUAAAGGCCCCAAAAAGGUUUCAAUGAUCUGAGCCUUGUUUAUCCUGAUAAAAAAAUUUCACUAUUCUGUAGAGAAAGGUAUACACCAUGAAGAAGAAAACUAACUAAUUAAGGAAGGAAAACCUGAAAUAUGAUUCAGCAACAAGAUAGCUGGUAUUAUCUAAGGUUAAUGAUCAGUAGAGAUGUAGACUGUAGAGCUUGACCUGCCUAGUGAUAGAUCCACUGCUUGUACAACGCAAGAAGCCAUCAUGAUAUUUCUUCGACUUUUGAGUUAAUUGUGUUGUGUACAAGACAUGCCAAUCUAUAUCAAAAGGAAUAUCACGUCAACUGCAGUGCUAAGACAACAAUAACAAACUUAUGAAUGUAACUACAUAGAGAAUAUAGAGACCAGUUCUCUGAGGGAAAGUCUGGAAAUAUGCUAGGAAGCUCCGAUGUUCUUCAAGAGAAACGAUUUAAAUAUGUGAACAUAAUACCACUGUGACUGAGAAGAUUUGAUAUACAAAGCAUCAAAUUUGAGUAAAUAUACUUUGAAUGGAUGCCGCAUGUAGUGUAACAACAUGCAGAAAUUAUACACCCAGAGAAAAUCAAUACAGAUUCACAAUCUAGGAGAUACAUCAAGGGAAAGACACGGCCUGGCAUGGGCAUAGAUGAGUCGGUAAAAGUCCAAACUCACCUGUUGUACUUGAUGUCCUUGAGUUCGAACUCGCCUGCAAUACGCCAUACUUGUUCAUUUCAUUCUUCUUGAAUUCUGAAAACCAAAAACAAAAAAAAAAAAAAAAACAAAAGAACACUCGUGCUAAGUUUUGUAGCCAGCAUUUACUUGCAAUUAAGAGAGAAUUGGAUUAUGUAGGAAUUCAUCGCCAACCUCUAAUAAUCUUCUGCGAUGGGCUUAGGCUGAUCGUCUGCUGUUUAUGCUUCUCCACUAUGGUCUUUUCAUCUCCUUGAAGAGAAAGCCAAGUCGAUUAUACGAUAAUACAGGUAGAUGAUGAGCACAAAUUUGCAAACGUACAAGCACGAGUCAUCAAUUUUCAAACCAACGGAGACACCAGCAUUAAGAAAGACAAACACGUAAGAACAGACUAUACCAGCACAAUCAGAUACGUUGAUGAACUUGUUUCUGUGAAGCAGAUUCGUUCGCUUAGGAACUUUAUUUUCUCGGCUGCAGGCAUAAGUAUCAUCGAGAGGCUCUUGCCCUUCUUCAGGCUCUCCAACAUCAACCAAAUAAGCAUUGAACGUCAGCGUCUCACCGGAGCAAACAACUUCGUCAUUCUUCAAGAUCCUGCAUUCCAACGGCUGGUCGCUGUCGUCAUACAGCAUUACCUGUCGAAAAAUCCGAUCAUCAAUCACAGCAUGGCCUAAUCCACUCAGAACAAGCUCAAUCGCAGGGAGCACAACGACCAAAACCACAGAACAGAACAAUCCGCGAGGACAGUCAAAACCGAAAUCCUUAGCAGCAUCGAGCCGUUGCUAUCUAGCCUGAUCGAGCGAGCUGAAUUCAGGGAAUCGAUCGCCAGUGCAGUUUCGACAUCGACUACUAGCCUAUCAAAACCGAAUCACGUCCCAGCCCAAUCGAAGGUAACCAAAUUCGCCGAUCGAGUUGAGCUGGACAUCAAUGGCGGAGAUGAGUAGCGAGUGAGAGAGAGGGAACGCACCUUGGCGGAGGAGGAGUGGAGAGAGAGGAAGCCAUCGCGGUAGACCUUGCGCUUCUGCUUGAGGUGCUUCGUGAAGGUGACGUUCCAUUUCGUCGGAGCCUCAUCCAUGGCGGUUUCUGCAUUUGGAGGAUGAUGAUGAAGAAGAAGAAGAUUUUUUAGGGAUUUCGGAGAGCUGCAAGUAAAGUGGUACCGCUUUCGAGAGCUGAAGCUGUGAAGCUGGCUAUCAUUGACUAGUAAUUAAAAAAAAUACAAAAUCCGUUAAUGAAGCUCGAUGGCAUAUUUAGUACAAUGGCUAAUGAGAUAAAAACAUCUAAUUGAUAUCUCGUUAUUUGUCUAGAAGAAAUCAUUACACAAGCCAAGUUCAAGCACCAACAAUUAUACUAUUUUUAAUUUUAAUAAAUGAAUUUAUUCCAUUGAGGUUCCAUUUUACCAUCGCUUAUUUAAAAAAGUAUUUUACCUUAUUAAUCCUUUAUCGUCAUGUGACAAUAUGAGCGGAAUUAUAUGAGAAAAGGCAUUUAUUAAUUGAAUUGUAAAUAACAGAACUAAUGAUCAACUUAGUUGAAAGUUACAGCUUUAAUUGUGGGUCUUAAACUUGGGCAACAAGUUAGACCGCUACUUCAAGCUCGGCUUACCCAAUCAUCAUCUCUAAAAUAUAUUGUAUCACAUUUAUACCCAAAGAUAUGUCUUUUCUUUUCUUCAACAAUGAACUGGAAACUAGACUAUUUCUUUCUCAGCCAUUGGAUGUAAUGGCUUUCAAGCUCAUGGAUACAUUAUCAAAAUCCAUCCAUUUUGCAAUUUGACCAUUUUGUUAUUUCAUUUUCCCUAUCAUCUUGUGGAUUAUUUAUUCGUAAUUAUGAAAAAAAAAAAUCUUUGACUCCUAUUCAAGUGAGGGUUAUUUUGACUCAGUAGAUAGCAAACAUGUAAUUGAUUGAUGAGAUUUAAAAUUGACGAACAUACAGAGAAAAUUGAAAAAGAAGGAGUGCGCAUGAAUGAUAAAAAGAUGGAUGGUUCUAUAAAAGAAUGCAAGGAUUAAAUUUUUUACUUUUAAUUGAAUCUUUCAAUAAAGUGGACUAGUAAUUUCUGUUUAAAAAAAAAAAGAAAAAAAAGAAAAGAAAGAAGAAGUAUUGCUCCAAUCUAGCUCAUGCGCCUUUCUAGCCUUCCUAGCGAAUUGAUGUUUUGUGGCUGAGAGGAUCGAUUCGCUUAAAUCAGAGAGCACAAAUACCAAUUUGGUCAAAAUUCAAUUUCAAGUACCAAAUUUUACUAAAAUUUUAGGGUCCAACUUUUAUUUUCCCUCUCGUCCUUGGGGGCUUCAAAGGCGGAACCUCUCUUACUCCGCUCGCCGGAGAGAGAGAGCUCGUGACUUGCUCGUAGAAGAUGCAAAAUUCUCACGGGUUGCGAAAGGAUAAGUGAAGGGCGUGCGAGUGAAGGCGACGGUGAAUCCGAUGCUUUUCUCGGUGGACGCUGAUGCGAGACGAGUUGUAAUAAGCGUCACUGCUCAUGGGGUUGGAGACGCCGUCGUCAAAGUCGGUGCGGAACCGAAGGAGAGGGGAAGAAGAUCCGAGCAUUUUCAAGCGGUGGUCAGGUGCUUGACAAAAUGCCCACGUGAGGAAUUGAAACGGUGUUGGGGCGCAUGAAAUGGAAGCGAUGGGUUGCUCUCGUUUUUGUGGUGUAGUUCUUGCAUUGUGAUGAACGAUGGCGUAGGAUAAAAAUGCGACGAGAGAAAAAGAAGAAAACCGCGAUUAAGAAAAAGACCAAUAGGCGCAUCCACUGUACAUUAAUCGAAGGGACAAGUAAUAUGGAGAAAAAACGACAAAGAAACGGCGAGGCACCUCCUCAGGUUUCUUCUCAUGAUAUCUUCAGCUCUUGUGCUUUGGUCUUUCUUUACAAUUUUUCGUGCAGUUUGUCCAUCAAAGGGACCCAGAAAGAUAAAAGAAAAAGACAAGAAACCAAAAGGGACAAAGCAAUUGGUGGUCAAAAACGCGAAGCCAUGAAGCAACCUCUCUCGUUUUCCGCAAUUCUUUGUAGUAUUCCUGUAAUACACUCUCCGCUCCUACUGCUCAUUUCUUCUUUAACAAUUGACUACCCUCUCGUGGGCGUUGUUUGCUGCAGAAGUUGUCUGAACCUUGAAGUAAGGAGGUUUUCCUUUUUCAAAAAAUUUAAUCAUUUUGAUGAUGAGUUAUUAAUUUUUCAGAAUGCGACAAUUGCAAUAACGAAUAUUAAAAAAAUAUAUGAUGCUAAAUUAUUGCCAUUAGUACCAGCCCAUGGGAAACGAAUGUUUUGAUGGCACAUACAACAAAAUUGCAUCAUUACCUGAAUGUCAUUGUCUAUAAAUAUUUAGCUGUAGAGACUGAUGAUGAUGAUGAUGAUGAUGGUGAGGAUGAAGAUGAUGAGCUCAUUGACCCCAUCCCAGUAUUAUUAUUGAACAAUAAUCCUCCUGCAUUAUUGUUUCUGGUUGAUCCUAGAAAAAAGUUCUGGCUCAGUCGUAAGAUCGGUAGCGGAUCAUAAGGAGAGGUCUACCUUGGUGGACUGCUUGCUGAUUGGUACUUGAUUUUUGCCCUAUCAGUUGUGAUCUUAGUUUGAUUUUGUUUGGACGAACGAGGAAGUCUCAAUUAAGCUUGCGGUGGCUCUUCUCCCAGUUUUUUUUUUUUUUUUUUGUCAGACUUCUCCCAGUUAAAUUGACCAUUUUCUUUUUCUAAUUUUUGUGCAUUUCUUCUUCUUUUUUUUAGUAUUGUUGUGGUCAAUACAUUGGUGUUUUGUUGAUUUAGACUUCUGAUGUUUUAUUUUUACGUUCUUUCAGGCAACAUGGAUUGUGCUUUGCUCCGUUUCUUUCUUGAGUUGUGCGACUGGCAUAGAUAUUGAUAGGUUCACUUGCUUACUGCAAGUCGGCGGUGCUAAAUUUUAUAUUUCAGAAUUAUUAUUGUUAACAAGUGGAACUUUCCUGGGUUUGUGGCUUUUACAUGCAUGUGAGUAUAUGUUUGAUGCUGUGAUGCAUGAAUUCAUGUCAUGCUUCUGGUAUAAUACGAUUGUAUGCCCAAGUAAAUGCUCCUUUGUCCCUUUGUCCCUUGUUGAGCAUUGACUUUUUGCCUGGAAGAUUACCUAAAAGAAAGAUCGAUAUUUUGCUUGAGACAUGUAUGUUUUGACUGAGCGAGAUCAAUGAGGGGGUUGCUAUGAAACAAUUGAGGCAACUAUAGUAUUCUAGAGAGACCACGCGAUAGACCUUACGGUCAUGCUUCAAGUGCUUUGUGAAGCUGACUUAAAUAAAAAUUGGAGCUUGUGCUUGUUGCUCCAAGAGUUCGCAAGCUUCAAGACCCAAUAAGCUCCAAGCCAUUUGUGGGUUGAUUUUCUUGCGCAUCCAUGGAUAUAGAAUAUGUAAUUAUCAAUGCAAUAUGCAACUUUCUAAGUGCUUAUUCCUCCUCUCUUCUUUGCAACUUGCAGGCCUAUUGGUUCGGAGCUUGUUAACGCAUGGAAAGUGAAUUUCCAAUUUCCAAGCCAUUCUCCAUCAUAAGCUCCACUGAUCAUUGUCAAGUAGUCCAAUGCCAAUGACCGAGUUGUUGGUUUUGUUGAUGGGGCAGACAAUAGGGAAGCUGCUCGUUGACGAGGCCAAAUUCUUAUGGGGCGUGGCGUGCAAGGUCAAGGACCUGCAAAAGGAGCUGAAGCUGACGCAGUGCUUGCUGAGAGAUGCGGACACUAGAUGAGAGCAUGACCAAGCUGUUGGAGAAUGGGUCGCACAGCUCCGUGACAUUGCCUAUGAUGCCAAGGACGUCAUAGAGCGAUACAUCCUCAGAGUUGUGCUGAAGAAGGACACAACAUCAUCAAAGCAUAUGCUUGCUUUGUGGCAAAGUGCACAUGCAUGCAGGUUCAUGUGGCGAGGACAGAAAUUAAUGGCUUAAAAUCCAGCAUGUCCAAUUUGAGAAUUAGUAUGCAGUGUCAUGGAAUACAAUCUGUGAAUGAGGACGAACGCCAUGCCAUUCGAUGUAUUUCCAGUGGUCUUCAACCUAUUGAGGUACACUUUAUGAUGCAAAGAAACUGAGAUAUGGGUCUAUCCAGUUUCCUUUGUCCUCUGUUCUUCUUAGUUCUUGUCCAAGAACUUGUAUAACUUGCUGUCCUUUAUCAACUAACGCAUGCUAAGCAAGGCCUUGAAGAGAUGUUUUGAGGUAAAUUUGUCACAAAUAUACUAAUCUAAGGUCUAUGUUAUCAAAAAAUUAAAUUGAGAUCAUAAGUGUAUCAUUUUGGGAUUUUUUGUUAUCAAAAAAUUAAUUUUAGAUAAAUUUAUCACAGAUGCACCAGUUUGGGGUUUUUCGUAAUAUUAAACUUUUAACAAAUUGGAAUAGUAUUUCUUGGGAAAAAAAGAAAAAGAUUGGCUCCAAUCUAGCUCUUGCACCUUAAAUUAAAGAGAACAGAGACCAAUUUGAUCAAAAUUAAAUUUCAAAGAUAAAAUUGAACAAUGAUUUAGAAUUUAGGGACCAACUUUGAUAUCACCUUCCCGUUUAAAUCUGAAGCCCAUUGGCCGAGUGAACUUUUAGAAUUAGAAGCUACUAAACACAGGCAUGUCUACCCUCCUUUCUCACCAAUAACUCUUAACAAGACAUUGAAGUCUCGUGAAAGUUGCAUUAUCAUAGAACACUGUCAUUCUGGAAUUUACUCAUUUUGUUCGUUUCAUAUUCCCUCUCAUCCUUGUGAGCUUCGAUGGCGGAAUCUCUUAUUCCACUCGCUGUAGAGAAAUCUCACACUCGCUCGUAGAAGAUGCGAAACUCUUGCGGGUUUGGCGAGGGGACAAGCGAAGGGCACGCGAGAGGUGGCACAAAUCCAAUGCUUCUCGAAAGACGCUGAUACGAGACUAGACGAAGUGGGAGUCAUUCCUCGUGGCGUUGCAGAUGUCAUCGUCAAAGUCGUUGCUAAACCAAAGAUGAGGGAAGAUCCGAGCAUAUUUUUCAAAUGCUGGCCAGGUGGUUGACAAAAUGCCCAUGUGAGUUGAAAUCUACACAGCGAAAUGGGACUGUAUGCACUUAUGGAAUUGGGAGCAAAGCAGGUUGCGGCCCUAAAGUCGACGAGCAAUAGCAGAACUAGGCCCUUCAUUUAAAGCUUUAGGGAGACAGAUUCGAACACGUGAAUAAUGGGCUUUUGUUCAUUUGCCAUCCCAUGGCCCAAGAGAAUAUGGGCAGGUAAAAAUGCAUCAGUCCUCUACCCUUUUUCUUCAAAAAAGUUCGAUCAAAUCGAAUCUCCAACAAGCAAAUAAUUCACAAAUUUGAUUCGAUUUUAAAGAAUUGAGAUCCAGCUGAAUUAAUCGAAAGGUUUUAAGAUCUUUUCAACUCGAUUAAUCAACCCCAAUUGAAGCAUAGCCUUCUGGAUCGUUUCUCAAUCAGAGAAGUAGUGCCAAACGAAAGAAUAAAAAGGGACUGGAGAGAGACUAAUAGCGCAAACCAGGGACAGCAGUACAUCACUGUCAUGGACCAAGAAGUAACCUUAUCGCAUUUUCAGAAUAUGCUUGAAGCAUAAGCCUUCAAGUUGUUAAAAGCUCUAUCUCACACAGCCAUAAUUAUUACUUUGCACCGAUAUUUGCAUAUUUCAAAGAUUAGUUGUUUUGGGCUGAUGGCAUCUCAUUUCUUUUGGCCAUUUUGAGAAACAUGAUAUACUUUUUAAUGUCUAUAACUUUAUUUGGUCAUUGUGAUGGAAUUAAUCUCGGCAAUGAAGUUAAUACUCGUAUCCAUGUCAUUUAGUUAAAUAUGAUUUUGUACUUGAUCAGUAGGAUAUUUUCCUUAUAUUAGCUACCUGGAAGAAGCGAAUAUCAAAUUAGUGUUCUCACAUGGAGAUAGACAACUCGAAAAAUGCAUGCGUCGCUUUUAAUCAUUCUGACCCAUGAGUAGACCUAGAUAAAAUCAAGUCUAACAUGUUGUUAUAGUGGAAUCGACUCUAUGCACAGUCGAUGACAUCCACAGUUUUAGUUGGUCAAUUUUGUUGUGAAUAAUUUGUAAGGAAAGUGUUCCUUAUCCAUUUACCUUGCGCCGCAUAUCAGACGCAUACAAAAUAAAUUUUAUGCCUCAUCAUAUAGCAACAUGGAGAUAUAAUGCCUUCGUAAAUGUUAAUGAAUCACGACCCAGUAGUUAUCUGGUUUGAUUUGUGAUAUCCUUCAAGCAGAUCGACAAAGAAGAGCUUAAUUUGCGCAAAUAAUAGUUGAAGAAGAGAGGGAAAAAACUGGGCAAAGUUUCAUGUUCCAAAGUGAGUCAUGGAUUUGUGCAUCGAGGAAGUCGUUGUAAUGAUUAAAAACUGCUUUUUUUAUUAAUGGAAAUCCUUCGUUUUAAAAUAUGCAUUUCUCCAAAGGUUUUUUUUUUUUUUUCUAAAUAUCGAACCAAACGUAUCCUUAAUUUUUCUCGAAACACAAAAUCUCAGGCCUUGGUAGUCACAUUUAGAGAGAAAAUUGCCAUGACUCUUCAAAUGGUUAAAAAGUUGUGCCUCGCCUCUGCCAUUGGAUGUACAAGAGACGCAUCAUGGAUCGGGAGGCAACAAACUAAUCCUUGCCGUUAGAUCUGAGUCUUCUCCUAUCAGAAAUUGAAUUUUGCUCGAUAAUAUUUUCGUGCAAAAUUCCACGGCGCAGUAAGAUGAUUUUGAUAUUUAAAGUUCUAAACACCAAAAUUCGUUAAUUGUUUCUGACUUUUAUCUUAUACAUGAUGGUGUGAAAAAUAAUUACACAAGCCAAGAUCAAGCACGGACACUUAUACUAUUUUUAAUAUUAAUAAAUGACUUCAUUUCAUUGAUUCAUUUUACUAUUGCCUAUUUAAAAAAAUAAUUUACACUAGUGUUGUACCUUAUUUGAUUCAUUAUUUUUAGCAUAUGUAUGUGGCAACAGGAGCGAAAUUAUGCAAGAAAAGAUAUUUAGCAUGGGUGAGGCGCUCAACCAGUCAAGAAAGUUGGACAUGAAUGAAGAGAAGCUCUUGAUUGAAGAAUUGAUGAUCGAACUUUAAGAAAAGAAAACUCCAGAAAAGGAAAUCACCAUGGCUAUGAAGAAUUUGGGCCUACAAGCAGGCCUGUUGUUACUUGAAUUGUCGACAUUGGAAUUGAUUAUCCACUUGGUCGAAAGUCACAUCUUUUAAAUGUGGGUCUCAAACUCGAGGAACAAGUUAGACCGCUACCUCAAGCUCAGCUCACUAAAUGAUCAUCUCUAAAAUUGAUUAUAUCAUAUUUAUGCCCGAAGCCUAUCUUUUCUCUUUUCAACAAUGAAAUGGAAAUUAGAUUGUGUCUUUUCAGCCAUUGGAUGUAAUAGUUUCGAAGCUCACACGCACACGUUAUCAUAAUUUAUCCAUUUUGGAAUUUGCCCAUCUUGUUGGUUUCAUUUUCCCUCUCAUCGUUGGGAGCUUCAAUCGCGGAAUCUGUUAUUUCACUCGCUGCAGAGACAUCUCGUGACUUGCUCGGAGAGCAUGCAAAACUCUUGUGAGUUUCGCGAGGGGACAAGGGAAGGGCACGCGAAAGGAGGGGAUGCGAAUCUCAUGCUUCUCGAAAGACGCUGAUGCGAGACUAGACGAAGUGAGAGUCAUUCCUCGUGGCGUUGCAGAUGUCAUCGUCGAAGUCAAAGCUAAACCCAAGAAGAGGAAAAGAUCCGAGCAUUUUGCAAAUGCUGGCCGGGCGUUUGACAAAAUGCUCAUAUGAGUUGAAACCGUGUUCGAGCGCGUGAAAUAGAAGUGGCGUGUUGCUUUGGGUUUGUAUAGUCCAAUUCUUGCAUUUAGAUGAACAAUGAAAUGUAAAAUAUAUACUCAAUGAGAAAAACGAAAAACCGUGAUUAAGAAAGCACCGAUUGGCUUUUUCAAUCCAUAUUAAUCAAAGGGAUGAGUAACAACAGUUAGGCACCUUCUCAGGUUUCUUCUCAUCUUCAGCUCCGGUGCUUCGUUUUUUCGUUACAAUUUUUCGUGCAGUUGCCCAUCAAAGGCUUGUUUGCCUUGAGAUUUUACAUCGGAUCCCCUCCACUUUUGCUUCUUCUCAAUAUUGUAGGUUUUGGACCCGAUCUUUUUGUACGUUUCCCUUAAUACUAUUAUUACCUUCACAAAAAAAAAAAAAAAAACAGACAAAGCAUUGGAGGUCGAAACGUGAAACGUGAAGCGGGAAGCAUGAAGCAACCUCUCGUUUCUCGCCAUUCUUCGUAGUGUCCCUGCAAUAAAUUCUUAGCUGCGAGCCUAGCUCAUGUCCUUUUUGACAAUUUCUGUUUAUCGACUACCCAUGCGCAUCGGUCUUUCCUUACAUCUUUUCCCUGUAGAAGUUGUCGUGCCUGCCAAGCUUUUUCUCGGUCACUUUCGAUGCAUGUUAUUGAAUGUGUCAGAUGUGAGGUCACAUCAUAAUCUUUAUGGAAAUCCUUCUCUAAACAUGUGAAAGGAAGAAGUGAGGGGGAGGGGGAGCGAGGGAGCCUCCCUCCUUUUCUACUUUCGAGAGACUUCUAUAAAUUUAUAAAGAUCUUAUUGAAGUGUGUUUCAAAGGACAAUAAAAUAACCAUACCUAAUAAAAAAAAAUUUCAUUUUCAUUAUACUAAUUGCGUAAUAGAUGAUAAAUUUUUCCAGCAAAAUUUACACAGAAAUAUAUCAUAUACUCUUGAGAUAUCUCUAUUUUCCAUAUAAAUUCGCACCAAUGUCGACUUAAAGAUGCUGUGAGUGUAUUCCAUGCUUCGUUUGGAGAAAUGUGAGACAAACUACCAAGAUUACAAAAGUAGUCCUUUUGGAACUGCCCUUCCCGAAAAAGCAGGAGAUAAUUCCACUACCUAGUAAACUCACGAACGCCUCGAAUGUGUCCUUUCGUUUCUAUGCUUCUUGGCAAGGGUUAAGCCUAGACGGUUUGCGUAAAAUGUCUAGCAGCCCCUCUGCUUGUAAACUAUACGUAUAUGGCCAAAUCAAGAAGAUGCAGUAACAAAAGUAUUUGUCCCUGCAUCUGAGGGGGCUGGUCUUAGUCGGGCCGUGGAAUUAAGAGGAACGGAGAGUUGGUAAAGGAGCCAUGCCACGUCUUCUCAAGUCGGGAUUGAUGUAUGUCCCAAUUGAUGACCGUACCUAAAGGAAUCCCCGGAUGCAACACUCAGGAAGACACUGUGGAGAUUGGGAAGCCAUAUCGACGGGAGAAAUCGAAACGCUGUGUGAUUUGUACUUAGCUACUUGCUUCACCUGGUUGUCAAAUUGAAAGCAAUAUGUCUCGAAAGCUAAUAAUUUUGCUAGUAAAUUGCUCAUUUGGCAAAUUAAGUGGCAAUGGUAAUAGACAAUAAUAAUACAAGAAGUUUUUUUUGUCCGGUAAAUAAGAAGAUUGAUUGGUUUGAAAUCAUCGUGUCAAAUCAAAUAUGAAAUCAAAAAGCAACAUUUCUUGAUUUCACUAGAUUUUGCUAUACAAAUCUACUCAGAAUAUAUCCAUCCCAUCUUAAUUUGCUCUUUUAUGCCGUUUCUUGGCCUUGCAGUUUUCUUGAAAAUUAUCACAACUAGCCUUGAACUUCAAUUUCUUCGAGGUUUUACAUGAACAAUCUUGUAUUUGGCACUAAAUUUGACUGUUGACCAUUCUUUGAUCGGGGAAAAUUACCGAAAAAAUUUGAAACCUAUUGUAGUCGUGCAAAUUCAGUUAUAAACUAUUUUUUCUUUUUUUUGUUAAAUCAAUUCUAAACAUUUUACAUUUAUGUCAAUUUAAUCUAUCUAGCCAAUUUUAACCCGUUAGCAAUAAUGUGAAUAAUGAGUGUCUGCCUAACACUGAAGCAAAUAAGUUUUAAUUAUUUUUAAUUUUAGUUUUUUUUCUUUUUUCUUUUCAUUUUUUUUUUCCCAUUGUCACUGGCCAUGGGCAAGGUCAUAGCCGCCUUCGCCUGUUGUCGUGCCUCCGGAUCUUUUCAAGUUGUAGGAAGAGACCCGCUUCCGCAUGGCAACGGUUUUUGGGUCCACCGCACCAAGGCAUUUGCAUGUUUGCUAUGCCGUCAUCUCCGCUUCUUAUUUAGGUCGCCAUCUUUGAGUCAACCAUUGCUCUGUAUUUUGGCGCCUACGAAGCGUCGUAAGGGAAGAACAGCGAAGGGGCUCGGGCUUAGGUUGAUGCUUGGUGUCGGAGGAUUGUCUUGGAUGCAACAUCGAUCAGCUCAAGGAGACGGAUCACAGCAUGCCUUACAAGCUUUUCUUUUAUGUGGGGACAUUCACCAAGGACAACUUGUGGGACGCCAAGAUUAGGCAAAAGCCGCGACCCUCUACCAUUGUGGGAAAAUAAAGAAAAGAAGAAGAAAAAGCAAAGGGAAAAAAAAUUAAGAAAAUAAAAAUAUUAUUAAAAACUAUCUACAUCAGUAUUAAUUGACGUUCACAUCAGCGCCAACUGUCCAAAAUUAAUCGGAUGUACUAAAUUGAUACAAAUAUAAAAUGUUUAUGAUUGAAUUAGUAAAAAUAAAAUAUUUAAAAUUGAAUUGACACGAUUAUAAUAGAUUUAAUUUUUUUUCCUCUUUAAUUGGUUAAUCUAAGGAACCAAUUUGUGCUUUGGUGCAGGUAAUCGUUACCCAUAUGACAAAGAAACUCUAAUAUCCCUUCCCUCUUAAUUAGUCGCUUGUCUCGCCUCCCUCAACAAGAGGGAUUGUCAUUUACGAUCAGGUAGUCUGAAGUCAACGUUACCACAACCCCCACGAAUGUUGUUAUAGUCUUAAAAAGACAAUUCCCAUCAUGCUCCAGUCUGAAGGUCGAUGAGAAAAUAAAUGUUGAAUCCUCUCCUUAACUUUCAGGCACAAAACUAAAAUCUCAAUUCUCAUUCUUCCGUGGAUUGACCACCUAAAAAUAGGGUUCCGUAAUAUCACUUUUCCUUUCUAAAUUAAUAAUCUCAAACUAUUUAAAAUGCAAAAUCUCGAUCAUCUGAACAACUCUCUUAUUUCUCGUGUUGGUUGGAUUGUUAGGAGCUUUUCACGUUAGAAACUUGAAAAUUGCCCAUUAAUGUCACCAAUUUCAUGCAAAUUGCUCUAGGUCAAGCUGAUUAUAUAAACUAAAUGGCUGAACUUAACAGGGUUGGAAGGUUUGUAGAGUAUUUCGCGGGCUUUUAGGUAAUUCGUCCUCUACAAUCGUGGCAUGGAUUGUAAAAGAAAAAAGAAAAAAUCAUGCAACAAAUCCUCGUUAAUCUUUUGUUAGACUUCUGCACGAAUAGACAAAUACAAAUUACAAAUGAUAUCAAUAAGUAUAAAGUUGCAUGUAGCAUGUUGCAGUCACAUGUUAAAGUAUUCAACGAUGGUGUUUUUCGUUGGCAUUAUAUACAUGUAGUCCUUUUGCAUAAACUUUUGGAUUAUAAUCUCAUAGACACCCACCAUACUUAUUUUGCGGAGUCGAAACAUUUGAACAUCAAUAUGCUGCAAAAUUACUCUAGCACUUUGCUAAAUCUUUAAAAAAUGUGAGAAGUGCAUAUAUAAAGUUUCCAAAUAAUAUGAGCGAGUUCGCCACUAUUAUCUUUAAUUUCGUGAAGUUGAAUUUAAUUGACAUGGACGAGUCUGGUUGAUUUAUACGUGUUAUUAUUAGAUGGUAUGGGCCAUAAUAUAUCUUAUGGUACAUAUAUCUGCGAUGGUUUGCUUUUCCCACAACGAACAAAAACGUCGCUAUCAAUAAGCCCAUGUGGAACGAAGGACACAUAGAGCAAAAAGUAUGAUGAUGAAUUCAGAGCACAUAAAGUGGUUGGCCCGUGAGAAACAAUCUUCUGACAACGCGUAUAGCGAAGCUGUGACGUUGAAUUAUUGCCAUCAUCCUACGUCAACCAAUCUUCUUUUGACGGUACAUAAGGCAAAAAUCUGAUGCUUAAUCACUGAUCUUACCCUGUGUAAAACCAAUCUUUUGAUGGGCCUACUGCUUAAUAGUUGCCAUUAGCCCAUGUGCCAUUUACUUAUAUGCCAUUAUUACAUCAAGUUAGCUUUAGAGAUUGACAAAUGACGAUAAUGACGACGAUGAAGAUGAUGAGCUCAUUGAUCCAAUCCUAGUAUUAUCAUUGUUUCUCAGUUAACAAGCUCUGGCUCACUCUUAAGCUAUGAAGCACCGACACUUUUCUGAGAGUUUUUGUCUUGUAUCGACAGACUCUAUGAUAUUCUUUGAUACUUUCAGACACUCAAUCUAUACGUAUUGAAAAAUCUGACGUUUGAUUAAUUUUCUUAAUACUCUAGUUGGAAUUCUGAUAUAUGAGUUUUCGAUACGAUUGAUUCUGAUAUGCGAUGUCAAUUUUAAAAAAAUUCAAUGAUCGAAUGGUCAAAAUACAUAUAUAUUAAAUAAAAAAUAAAAAAAAUAAUAAACCUGGAAAUAAAAAAAAUCUAGUUUUUUUUUUUUUUUAUGAUUCUCACUUCUAGUGAUACAUAAUUCUUCCCCUAUUUUUUUUUCUUUUCUCUUCCGACACGUUUGACACGAGGGUCUAAAAUGCGAAUUGCUUGCUUUUUCUUUUUUUUUCUCAAAUUUUUAUGGAUUAUUGGAAUUGAGUUGAAUCUGUUAAAUUAAAACAAUAAAUGAUAUUAAUAAAUUGUGAAUUAAUAUUUUAGUGUGAAAUCAUUCUAAGCUUUUUUUUUAUCAUUUAUUUAUUUGUAACCUUAACUUAAAUUAAUUUGAUUGAAAUAAACAUAAAAAUAAUAAUUUAUUAUGUAUGUGUAAAAAAAAUUAUUUAAUACACAAUGUAUCUCGACGUAUCGGAAUUUUAUGUUUUAUGAUAAACGACGUGUCAAUAUAUCGUGUCGUAUUGUGUUACGUGUUACGUAUCAGUAUCGAUGUGACUUGAAUCUUAAGAUUGGUAGCGAUCAUCGAGAGAGGUCUACUUUGGGGGACUACUCACUAACUUAUGCUCAAUUUUUGCUUCACCUGUUCUACUUUUAGUUUGAUUUUCAUUGAAGUUUUCUGCGAAUUUUCUUCCUGUUCUAAUAUUCAGACGAAGGGAGAAGUCGAAAUUAAGCUUGUGAGUGGCAUUUUCCCAGUUGAAUUGGCCCCUUUUCUUUUUCCGAUUUUCUGUGCUUUUUUUUUUUUUUUUUUGUAUUUUCAUAACCAUUGCAUCGGUAUCUUGUUGAUUUAGUGUUUCGAUGCUUUACUUUGGCAUCCUUUUGACUCUUGGGUUGUCUGAAUGACGUAGAUGUCGGUGGUCGUGCUGACUUUUAGUACGACUAUAAUUGAUGCUGAAUUAUUGCCAUCGGCCCAUGUGACACCAAUCUUCUGAGGACUCAAAAGACAAAAGUACGACAAUGAAUUGAUGGCACAUAGCAUGCUUUUUCGUCCCAUUUGCAAAUGGGUUUUCAAAAUAAUAUAAAUACUAAAAGACAAAAUUAUUUGAAAAAAUAUAAAUUGUGUUUGGAUAAAAAUUCUUUAUAAAUAAAAUUUAAAUUAAAUAUAUAUUUAGCAAAAAAAUUUCAUAAAAAAUUUUAAUUUAUAUAUUUUAAAAAAUCAACCAAACUCUUCGCCUCCGCCUGGUCGAGCAACCCCUUGGGCGACUCAAUCAAAAGUUUUUGGGACGUUGAAUUAGAGGCACCCGUACAACAAUUCGCCAUGAGAAACUCAUCUUCUGACAGGACAUGGGGGAGUGACAGGACAUGAAGCGAAAGGACGAUGCUGAAUCAUUGCUCUUAUACCGUGUGAAACGAAUCUUUCGGUGGGACAUAGGGUGCGUUUGGUUCGGCAUUUAGAAAACCCCUUGAGAAAAUGCAAAGCAGUUAGCCUAAAGGGUUUUGGAGGGAAUGCAAAGACUGUUUGGUAAAUUCUACUUUGAAAAGCAACUUUGAGAUAAAUGCUGUUUGGUAAAAAAACACAUUUAGAAAGCCCAUUUGGUGAUUAAUGUAAAUAUUUUUAUUUUUAUUUGUUUAAAAUAAAGAAAAUAAUGUUUGUAACCUUUUUAAUUUAUAUUCGAUAACAAUUUUAAAGAUGUUGUAUAAACAAUUUUAUUAAAAUUAAAAUUCAUUUUUUUUACUAAAAGACAUCAAAUAGAAAAAAUUUACGUGCGCUCUUUCUCAAUUAAAAUAAAAAUAGUUUAAUUAUAAUAAAAACAUGAUAACAUAUGCUUUGAGGAAAGAGUUCAUUAUCCUUAAAAAUUACAAAUAUCCUUAAUUACUUCAUAAAUGCAUAGCUAUUUGAUCACGUAGACAUCAAAUAGAAAAAAAUUAUGUGCGCUCUUUCUCAAUUAAAAUAAAAAUACUUUAAUUACAAUAAAAACAUGAUAACAUAUGCUUUGAGGAAAGAGUUCAUUAUCCUUAAAAAUUACAAAUAUCCUUAAUUACUUCAUAAAUGCAUAGCUAUUUGAUCACGUGGACAUCAAAUAGAAAAAAUUUACGUGUGCUCUUUCUCAAUUAAAAUAAAAAUACUUUAAUUACAAUACAAACAUGAUAACAUAUGCUUUGAGGAAAGAGUUCAUUAUCCUUAAAAAUUACAAAUAUCCUUAAUUACUUCAUAAAUGCAUAGCUAUUUGAUCACGUAAACAUGCCAUAUCAGAUGCUACAUCAUCAUUUGAAGCAUUACCCUCCCAAUUUACAUUAUCAGGAUCAAUUGUAUAUAAAUUGGGAUCCAAAUCUACUCUAGCAAAAUGUGUAUCAUUCAUGGCAUUUCUUCGUAUAUAAUUGUGUAAAGCCAUCGUUGCUAUCACAAUUUUCACUUGCUUUGUAUAUGGAUAACUUGGCAUGCCCUUUAAAAUUUUCCACUUCUUCUUCAAUACGCCAAAAGCUCGCUCAAUUUCUGAUCGUAGUGAGGAGUGAGCACGAUUGAACACUUCUUUAUAACCUGUCGGUUGAGGACCUUGUUGAAACUCAGGUAAAUGAUAUCUAACUUCUUUAUAUGGUCCCAAAUAACCUGUGGGAUUUGGAUAUCCAGCAUCGACCAAAUAAUAUUUACCUACAAAAAAAAAUUUGUAAAUUUAAUCAACAUAUAACACAUACGUAUAUUAAUGCAUAAAAACUAUUAAUUAACUAACCUUUUGGAGGAUGAGGAAAUUGUAAAUCAUGUCUCCUGAUGGCUUCAUAAAAGAUACGAGUGUCAUGAGCUGUUCCCUCCCAACCGGCCCACACGUAAGUAAAUUCCAUGUUAAAAUUACACACGGCCAUCACAUUUUGCGUCGGUGUUCCUUUUCGACCAAUAAAACGAAGCUGCUCACUCGUAGGUACCACCGCUGGAAUAUGAGUGCCAUCUAUAGCUCCAAUACAAUCCUAAAACAAGAAGAAGAAUAUUAUUUGAUUUAUAUUUAAUUCAUAUUUUCUAUUGUAUAAUCAUAACUUACCUUAAAUUGUGGAAAAAAUCUUGUAUUAUUCUUGAUCUUCUUUGGAACUUCCUUGAAUUGUCGAUCGGAUGGUUGGAUCAAAUUUGCUCCCAUUUCACAUACUUUAUCCAAAACUAAGCUAAAUAGCCUGGAUAUAGUUUCCCCAUAAUGUUGAAAGCGCUCUUGUGCUAACCUAUUACCUAUAUUAUGUCCUAAAAUAUGAAGAAAUAAUCCUAACAUUUAUGCAACAUCAAUAUUUCUAGUUCCUUUCAAACCAUAUUGUGUCACUAAAUCAUUCAUUAAAUUCUUAAACACAAUUCUAUCCAUUCUAAACAUUUGAUAAAACCUUUAUGGAUUAGCAUCUAUAUCCAUCAACUCUCUCAACCAUGCAUUUCCAGUAUAUGAUGAGGUCAUGCACGGUAUUUUUUCACCAUAUAUUGCCUGAUAAACACUAACACCGCAAGUAUGUGCAGCUACACAAAGUUGCCAAUAUUCUUCUUCCUCUCUUUCAUGGUUUUCUCUUUCAGAAGAAUCAUCCAUAACUGAUCAAAGUAACAAAAUAUAAUUAGAAUAAGAUAUAUAAUGAAUUAUUUAAAUCAUUCAUCAACAAAAAACACUUAUCAUAUAUAUGUAUGCAAACUCCAUUCGAUAAAAAAACACCAAUUAAAAACAAGUCUGAUAACGUAGCAUAAAUAUGUCUCACCAACUAAUACAAAUAAGUAGUGCAAACAUAUAUUAAAUUACAAUAACAUUACAUGUGAAAAAUAUAAAUAGCAAAUAUCCUAGUGAGCCCUACGUUGUGCGAACUUAUAUUUGAGCCACGUGACUUUUUCUUGAUCAUCAUCUAAGUUCAUAAAAAUUUGCCUAUUAUCUUUCCUUUCUGAAAGAUAAUCUAGUGCAAAAAAAUAUAACUCUUGAUUUUGCUUUAUCUCAGGUAUAGCUUUCAACAUCUCCAUGAGUUCCUUGUAAGGACCAACCUCUUUGGCAUAACGUCUACUUUCAAUAGCUGAACAAAUCCUCUCCAUUUGCGAUGCUAGCUUAUCAGCCGUACUUUUCUUUUGUUUCUUUCCUUGAGAUUGUCUCACCGAACUCUGCGACGUUCUUUUAUCACUUCGAUGUUGGUCACUGCUCUUUCCACCCAUAUCGCCCUCUAUAUUAUCAUCAGUAAAUCCUGCUCCUGCUGAACCACCAAUGUCAAAUUGUGUGGCGACAACAUCAUCAUCAAUAUGUAAGCCUUGUGCAGGAUUCCAUGUGAUGCUCCCAGUGGCAACAGUAUCUCCAAACAUUCUAUCCAAUAAAACUUGAAGAUCUGGAUGUAUGCCUUUCAUCCUAAAAGGUCUAACCUUAGGAUUUUCCUGUCGUAAUAAACAUUUUCAUGAGUUUUAUAGUAAAAAAAUGAACUUAAAAAAAUUUAAUAAAAGAAUGGAAAAAACCUGAAUUUUCAUCUCCCACCAUUCAUCACUUGCAUCAAUGGUAUUCUUUUUUGGAUCCCAUCCUAAUCCAGUUUCCUUAAGAACCAAUGUCCUCCAUCUUUUUCAAUCUUCCUUCAGAUUAUCCCACUUACUUUUCAUUUGACCUUUAUCAUACUUUUUGCUCCUUAGGUCCUCAAACUUCUUAAUUAUAACCGUCCAUCCAUCCCUUUUGUUGUUUGCAGGACGAUUGCCAUUGUCAAUUUGUUCAACGCAUAACUUACAAAAUGUUUCAACAUCUUCAGGGCUCCAAAAUGCCUUUUCCUUUGAUGAACUUGCCAUGUACUAAUAAAUGCAAUAUAAAAAAAUGUAUGUGAGACAUGUGGUGUGGACUUCAUACUUAGUUCACCAUUUAAGAUAGCUUUCAAUCACCAAACAGCAAGUAAAACCGACACCAAACAUCAAGGAACAUAAAUACACAGCAUAUAUAUGUUUUUUUGAAACCCCAGAAGAAAGAGAUAGAAUUGGGACUAACCUUUUUGGCUCUAGAAGAAGAGAUUGCUGUUUAGAAUCCUGGAUGAGCUUAUCUCCACCUCUUGAGCAGUGUAUCUGUUUUUUUGAAAAGUAAGCAAUUGAGUUCAAAUUACAAGUAUUCGGGCUAGCAAUAACUACAUAAAAGUAAUAAAAAUGAUAAGGAACCAUGGGAAGAAGAAUAUAAAUAUCCAAAAGAAGAAAAACAAUAAAGGUGAUAAGGAAGAUCAGAAGAGCAUGAAACUCAAUUGCGAAAACAGCAUCAUUAACUUCUAGUCAAGGGCCUUAGAAGAAACAUAAAAUUGUGAGAGAGAGAGACAGAGAGAGAAUACUAUAGCAUUAUAACAUACAGCUAGUGAAAUCAAAGUUUUUAGCUUUGUUCUUCAACUCGUCUUGAAGAAGCUUUUUUGCCUUUUGUAGCCAAUCUUCUAGUUUGUCCUGGAGAAGUAACAAACAAGCAAUGAAACAUAUUGAGCUUCAGCUGCAUUGAGAAAGCACAUUAAGUACCAAGAUAUUAUUAUUUGUUCAAUAAGAUAUCCAUAAUGUUUCUAUUUGCCUGUUUUAAGUCAUCGUUUUACAUCUAUAAGGUAAAAUGUGCAGAAAUUAAUUUCAACCAUGCAUUUUUGGUUCCUAAAGAAUGUAGGCUAGAAACACUCCACAUUUAGAAAGACUUUAAGCGGAUCAGGGGCCUGAAUUGCAGAUCAAUAGUUCGACUACUAGAAUGUUACAGAGCGCCUUGCUUUUGUUAAAAAUUUAAAAUAAUAAUAGUAAUAAUAAUAAAUAAAUAAUUUAAUAAAUCUGUUGCUUUCUUGCUUGGCAUACAAACUAAAGACCAGAAGAGUGUUUCAUUCUAACCUCGAUAUUCACAAGUAAAUCCUAAGGGCCCAACUUCUACUCUAAGACAGCAAAGUAAAUUUUUAAAUCCCAUGCUUACCCAACUUCUGCAAAUGAAAAACUUUGGAAAAUACUUUUUUUGCAAUCUACAGAACAUUGAUUAUGUGUUUAAUUGACAGUCUUUAACCGGCACCUUAGAUCAAAAUUGCACGUGAUAUAAGUACUUGAUGACAAGAUACUUAAGUUGCUAAGUAUUUCAGAAAUCCUCAAACUCUAUAGCUAAAGAGUUGCAGAAGAGUUGCAGAAGAGGAGAAAUUAGAUAACAAUGGUGUAAUGAACAAUGAGCACAUUUACAAUAUUUUUUUCUACAUGGGUCAAACCAAUGACUUUAAGCAUCUGAGACAUGAAGGCAACUUAUCCAAAUACAAGUAAAAUUUCAACAGCUAUAGCAACAAAAGGUAACCUUUCCUAGCACAAUUCUACAAAACAGCCUACGUGCCUGGCUUGACCCAACAUUGUCCAUUAUUAAGAGUAGGAUUAUGCUAUAAUCGUGCCUCCAUAAUCGUGCCUCCUUCCUAUGUAGGAUGACUGCAAUAAAUGACAAGGAACAUCCAGAGGCUAACUUAAAUGAAAGAAAAGGAAUUUUACAAUUACGGUGAAUGAUCCACACCUUCACCGUUUUCCAGUUACUCUCUUCAUCCUCUCCAUCCAGCAAAAUCGUAUCGGCACUACACUGGCGUCGUCUCAAUACCAAUUCACCUACCGUAACAAGACACAGCCAGAAGCCAGAAGGGAACGAAGAACCAGGAAUAUCCGUCUCUUCCCCUUUCCUCAAAUUCUCAGCUAAAACAGAACCCAUCCCACUUUAACUAAGACAAGUCACAUUAGCACCUACAGUUCCCCCACUAUUUCUCGGAGCAGCAGCAUCAUCUUGAAAGCACCCCAACAGCAAAAAAAGGCAAACGAAUCGGAAGCAUUCAGCCACCCACAAAGCAAAAAUCAAACACCACCCACCACCGCCAUUUCUCUCAAAUACAAAAGAAAAAGAACAUCAAGGACGCAAGCGCUCCCGCAACGAGCGAACUCAAAACGGCACACGAAGACCUAAUCCCGAACGACAAGGCAUGGCGCGGCACACUCAGGACGCCAUUGCACAGAACGACCAAGUAAUCGAUGAUAUUGACGACGACAACGACCAUACCUUCGAGAGGGAGAGGCGGCGAAGGCCUCGACCAAUGCGGCGGGAAUCGAGUGGAGCGGCGGUGGCGGCAGGUGAGGGAGUCCCACCGAGCAAAGAGCGUAGAAGCGGUCGUGGGAGAGAGUGAUGGAAGGGUGGGAAGAAAAACGAGAACUAGGGUUUUCUUGGUUUUAAAAUGGGCAAAAGUGGUUUUUCCAUAAAGUUUUGAGGAUAAAAUAGGUAACUUACCAUUUUCAUUAAAGAGGCCUUCAGCAUUCCGAAAAAUGCUGAAAGCUCAAGGCUGGUGGAGACCAGCCUUGAGCUUUCAGCAUUUCCAAGGACCCUAUUUUCACUUGAAAGCUCCUUGAGGAGGUUGCCAAACACCUUCUCUUUGGCUGAAGGGGCUUUGGGGGCUGGAUGGGCUUUCUAAAUGCCCAUCCAAACGCACCCUACAAAGCGAACAUGUGACGCUGAAUUAUGGCUACCAGCCCAUCUGCCAUUACCUAUACGUAGGGGUGUGCAAAAUAUUCGGGAAUCGCCCGUAUCCGGAACCGGCGGUUUUUAAGGGAACUGGUCCGGUUCCCGGUUCCAAUUUUUUGAAACCGGUGAGUACCGAUUCAGUUCCCGGUUCCAUGGGCGGAUCCGCCCACCCAAACCGGACCGGUACCUUUUUAAUAUUAAAAAAUAAUUACUAAAAGAAACCCUAGAUUAGAUCUCAUCUCCUCACUCCCUUCGUCUUUGGUUCUCUCGCUCUUUGUCUCUUCCUCGGUUCCUCCUAAUUCUAUCGCCAUUUCGAUUCCUCCCUGAGUGUCGACGCCACCGCCGUUGCUAUUCGCCCCCUUGCGUCGGCCACCACUCGCCACAGCCGUGGAAAAUUGUUUCGCGACCGUUCUAUGUUGAAAACCCGACCAUAGACUUCCUCCCCUCCUUCCCAACUCAUAGACCCGACCGUUUUAUGUUGAAAAUCAAAAUUGUUUCGCGUCAAGAUCAGUUCCAUGGAUCCAUCCGAGAACCGGACCGCCGGUCCGGGCGGUCCGGUUCUCGGAUGGAUCCAUGCAACAAACGGGUGGAUCCCGGUUCCAAAAAAUUGGAACCGGUCCUUAGCGGGCUCAAUGUCCUUCGAGGCUUUAACCCGCCCGACCGAAACUUGUUUCGAUCUAAAAAGAUUUUCUCCUUGAUGGCAAAUUUGUGGGGAAGAAGAAGAUACCUCAACCUACUCAUCUUCCACAACACAUUUGGGAUGGAAACCGUAAUAUAUCUUGUCACAACCCAAUCCAAGAAUUCCGUACAUACAACGUUCCCCUUAAAUAUCGGAAAGCUGUUAAAAUCACUUCCCGGUAAACUGAAGAAUCUUAAAUGGACUAGGUCUCCCAUUGAUUUAGGUAAGCUUCUCUUCACAUUAAGGUUCUUUAGUUUCAGAACUCUUAAAAACUUACAAGAGUUGAAAAUAGGCAGAAAUUGCUUCGACUCCCAUUUGACACUUCCCAAGGACAUGAGAGUUCGAAGGAGGACAGCGUCCUUCUUGAUGCUNNNNNNNNNNNNNNNNNNNNNNNNNNNNNNNNNNNNNNNNNNNNNNNNNNNNNNNNNNNNNNNNNNNNNNNNNNNNNNNNNNNNNNNNNNNNNNNNNNNNNNNNNNNNNNNNNNNNNNNNNNNNNNNNNNNNNNNNNNNNNNNNNNNNNNNNNNNNNNNNNNNNNNNNNNNNNNNNNNNNNNNNNNNNNNNNNNNNNNNNNNNNNNNNNNNNNNNNNNNNNNNNNNNNNNNNNNNNNNNNNNNNNNNNNNNNNNNNNNNNNNNNNNNNNNNNNNNNNNNNNNNNNNNNNNNNNNNNNNNNNNNNNNNNNNNNNNNNNNNNNNNNNNNNNNNNNNNNNNNNNNNNNNNNNNNNNNNNNNNNNNNNNNNNNNNNNNNNNNNNNNNNNNNNNNNNNNNNNNNNNNNNNNNNNNNNNNNNNNNNNNNNNNNNNNNNNNNNNNNNNNNNNNNNNNNNNNNNNNNNNNNNNNNNNNNNNNNNNNNNNNNNNNNNNAUGCCAUCACUCAUAUAGAGUUCGCUAUGGAGAGAGACGACGAUGAUAAUGAUGAUGAGGAUGAAAAUGAUGAGCUCGUCGACCCAAUCCCAGUAUUAUUAUUGAGCGAUAAUCGUUCUGAGUUGUUGCGCGGCCAGGUCAUAAGAUUGGAAGCGAAUUGUUCGGAUAAUUCAUACUCAGUUUUUGUUUUAUCCGUUCUGCUUUUAGAUUGACUUUGAUCGAAGUUUCUCCUUAAUUGUUUUCAGGUACUAACAUUCAGAUGAAUGAGGAAGUGAGUUGCCAACUGACACUAGGGUUUUUCUUUAUAUGCUCUAGUUUUCCUUGUUUUCGGACAUUUUAUUUAUUUUAGUAUUACUGUAGUCAUUGCAUCGUAUUUUGUUUAUUUAAAAUUUUGAUAUUUUAUUUUUACAUUUUUUAAGGCGAAAUGAAUUGUGCUUUCUUGCAUUUUUUUCUUGGAUGGUUUGAACGACGUAGAUAUUGGUUCACAUGCUUCUUGAGAGUCAGCGGUGCUAACUUCUAUACUUUAAAACAAUUAUUACUAACAAAUGGAAGCUUUCCUUGGUUUGUGACUUACCACAUCAUGUGUAUGUGUAUCGUUUGUUUAGAGUUGUGAUGCAUGAAUUCAUGUUGAGAUUCUGGUAUAGUACCACGGUAAGACCAAGCAAUUCAUUUUUAGUGUUCUUUUACUAUUUAUGUCUCAACAUUUUCGUCAAGUCCGUGCUCCUUGUACUUUGUUGAGUAUCAGCUUUUUCCGUUACUUACAAGAUAGAGAAAAAAAUGGAUUUUCACCUGAAACAUGUAUGUUUUGACUGAGUGCUCCUUGUACCUCUCAUCAAUUCUUUUAGGAUUUUACAAGAAUAGAUGAUACAAAUUACACAUAUCAUCCAUUAGUACAAAGGAGUACAUGGCAUGUUGCAAUCACAUGUUAUAGUAUUCAAAAUUGUAUUUAUUUUUUUAUUUUAUAAAGCUGUGAUUAUAUAUGUGUGGUCUUUCUCCAUGUAACUUAUUACUUUCAAAAUUUUAUAUUAUAAAUUUUAAAAUGACACUAUAGAAACCACACUUAUAAUUUUGUAUCGAAACAUCUUACUAUCAACUAACUGCAAAAUGACUUAAGCACUUUGCUAAAUCUUCAAGUAAUGAGGUUUUCCUUUUUCUUAAAAUUUUCAUUAUUUUCCUCAUGAGUCAUUACGAGAAAAGUGAAUAGAUAGAGUUUUCAAAUUAUACAAUCAUCACAACUUACCCUUAAUUUUGAGGAGUUGAUUUAAUUAACAUUGCGAGUCUCACCGGCUUGUGGGUGCGUCCAUGGGAUGGUACGUACCAGAAUAACGCAUCUGUGAUGGUUUGUUCCUUUUGACAGCACAUUAAACGAAAAUUUGAUUCCUUUUGACUUCACACAAAACGAAAAAUAUGAUGAGUGAAUUACCGCGAUUAGCCCAUGGGAAACCAAUCCAGAAAAUACACAUAUAUGAUGCUGAACUCUUGCUAUCAGCCCCGGUCCAAAAAAAAAAAAAAAAACUCUUCCUAUCAGCCCAUGUGAAACCGCGUGAAAUCAAUUUAAAAAAAAUUAUCAUGCUGAACUCUUGCCAUCAGCCCAUGUGAAACCGCGUGAAAUCAUUAUGAUGCUGAACGAUUGCUAUCAGCCUAUGUGAAGCCAAAAAAGUUUUCGUUCCCCACGUCACAGGGCGGAUGAAAUAGCAGGUUCUUUUUGAACGGCCUAUUUUAACUCUAACCCAAGACCGGCGGCAGCUAGCAAUUGAGCACCUGCAAAAUCUCUGCCAUAAUCUCCACUGAUCAUAGUCUGAGCAGUGCAAUACCAAUGGCCGAGUCUGUUGUUUCGUUCGCGGUGGAGAAAAUAGGAAACCUGCUCAUCGACGAGGUCAAAUUCUUGAGGGGAGUGAAGGGCAAGGUCGAUGACCUAUACAGCGCGCUGAGGCGGGUCCAGGCCUUGCUGAGGGAUGUGGAUGCAAGACGAGAGCGCAAAAAAGCUGUGGAAGAAUGUGUCGCACAACUCCGAGACUUUGCCUAUGAUGCUGAGGAUGUCAUCGAGAGAUACUACCUCAAAGCGGCGCUGACGGAGGGACAAAACAUCAUCAAGGCGUAUGCUUGCUUCAUGGCGAAGUGCUCGUGCGUGCAGGUUCAUGAGGUGGGGACAGAGAUCGAGAGCUUAAAAUCCAGAAUUUCUGAAAUUGGUGAUGAGAUGCAGAAAUACGGCAUACAGCCUCUGAAUGAGAGCGAAUGCGAAACCGCGAGAGCUUCGACGCCAGAACGGACUUAUGCCCAUUUCGAGGAGGAAGAUUUUGUCGGGAGGGAAGAUCAUAUCAAGGUGUUGGUGAACGAGCUGUUGAAGGAUGGAGAACAACAGAGAGUUAUUUCCAUUUGUGGAAUGGGUGGUUUGGGUAAAACCACUCUUGCUAAGAAAGUCUUUGCUCAUGAAAAAGUGAAGAAGCAUUUCCAUGGUUUUGCUUGGGCUUGCAUAUCUCAAGAGUACCGGGUGAGGGAUAUCUUGGAGGGAAUUCUAGUUAAGUUGAACCCUGAUCAAAGAGAAGGGGUUAAGGAGAUGAAAGAUGACGAUUUGUUAGAAACUUUAUACAAGACCCAAAAAGAGAAGAGAUGUAUUGUGGUUCUUGACGAUAUUUGGACCGAACGGGCAUGGGUUGGUCUUAGAAACGCAUUCCCGACCAAGGACACGAGAAGCAAGCUAUUGAUAACAACCCGCAAUAGGGAAGUAGCUCAGCAUAUCGAUCCUCAUUGUUUUCUCAAUGAACCUCAGUUCUUAUCACAAGAGGAGAGCUGGAAUCUGCUAAAGAAGAAGGUUUUCCCUCAAACAAAAGGUAAGACUUCUCUAAAGUUAUUAACCUAACAUAGAGUGACUUCAAAGGAUUAUAUUGCCUGUUUGAUUCUAAUUUAUGGUGCUUCGGUUAUCAUUGCAGGAUUAGUUGUUGAAAUUUCUUCUGAUGGACCUAGAGUUGGUCAAGAUAUUGUUGCGGGCCAAGUUGUAGAAGAUAUUGCAAAACAGUCAGAGACAGAGGGACAAAUACCGGGUAUUUCAUUGCUUAGUUUGUCCUUUCGGAAACUUAAGCAAUUUAUAAAUAAAUAGUUACAAUGGAAUUCAAAUGAUCGAAAUAUCGAGUAUUAGGCACCAUAAUUUCAAUAUUUGGGGAAUCAAAUGCCCCUUUUGUUUUUUAAUAGUAAACAAUUAUACCACUAAACCAAGAUCCAAAACUUUGUUCAUCCUUUCCUCUAAUGAGGUUAAAUAUCGAAGAGGCUUUUAUAAGGCCAACAUAAUAAGCAAUUUUGAUAGGAUUUAUGAAAUAAUGUGAAGCCUAGCUAUGUUCUUCCAUAGGCUUCAUCUCAAGUCCACCUUUUUUGCAUUUGUGAAUAGUUGGCUUAACCAUAAAAGUAGGGAGUGAUAAGGAAAAUCGUGAAUCGUUAUGUGGCACAUGAAGAUUUCAUUAGAAUUUGUGCGGGAGAUUAGUAGCACAUUCAAGUUACAAGAGAUCACGCUCAAGUGAUCCCUGCGCUGCUUUCAUAUUUCUUCAUCAAGUAGGUUUAUUGUUGUUUUACAUUUGCUUGAGUCACUUAAUCCAAGCCACGGUUUGGACUUCUUGAUUUUCCAGGCGUAGAUGGAGGCAUAUAUGGGAGCUUUGUUGUGGUCCCCAUUUUUCACCUAACAAAAGCAUAAAUGAAUAACAAAUUAUGAAGAACUAUAGCGUCUUACUUAUACAUCUAAACACAUAUAUUCGUCCUUGAAGUAAUCUUUUUAUUAUAGUUGCAUCUUCCUAUGAUUGCUGAGUUGCAAUUUGUUGCCUAAUAUUGUGUAGUAAUCACUGAAGACAUGAAGAUGUUAGCAUAUAAACUCCUUAAGAAGUGUGCAGGAUUGCCCUUGGCUGUCGUUGUGCUUGGUGGACUUUUGGCACACAAUGAUUGGGAGACAGUUCACAAAACCAUCAAUUUGCAUUUUAAUGAUAAGCGUAAUGUAUCAGAAGUGUUAGCCUUAAGCUAUGACAAUUUACCAUCACAUCUAAAGCCAUGCUUCCUCUAUUUGGGUAGUUUUCCUGAGGAUGCAGAAAUCCAUGCAAAGGAAGUUCUUUACAUGUGGAUUGCUGAAGGUUUUGUGUCGCUAAACGCAAACAACAAAGCGAGAGGAAUUUCAGUGGAAGAUUUAGCAGAGCAAUAUGUAAUGGAGUUUGUUAACAGAGGAAUGGUUCAAGUACGAUUCAAUUUAAUUGGAAAGAUCAAAAGCUUCCACCUCCAUGACUUGAUGCGAGACUUAUGCAUCUCUAAGGCUCUAGAAGAGAGUUUUCUAAGCAUUCUUAACAUUCAACAGGACAAUGAGACGGAGAAUUGUUCUGCUUCAAUGGCAAUAAAAGUUGGGUCAAGUUGCAAAAUACGAAGGCUUUCUCUUAAUAGAAAUGUGAUUCCAAGCUUAAAAGCAUCAAGAAGGACUUUGGUCCACCUUCGAACUCUCAUGUCCUUCGGAGGUGUCAAAUGGGAGUCGAAGCAAUUUCAGCCUAUUUUCAACUAUUGUAAGUUUCUCAGAGUUUUGAAACUAGAGAACCUUAAUGUGAAGAGAAGCUUACCUAAAUCAAUGGGAGACCUAGUCCAUUUACGAUUCUUAAGUUUAGCAGGAAGUGAUUUUAACAGCUUGCCGCAAUCUAUGGGGAACGUUGUAUGUAUGGAAUUCUUGGACUUGGUUGUGACUAGAUAUAUUACGGUUUCCAUCCCAAAUGUGUUGUGGAAGAUGAGAAGGUUGAGGUAUCUCCAUCUUCCCCACAAAUUUGCCAUCAAGGAGAAAAUCCUUUGGGAUCGAAAGAAGUUGCGGUUGGGCACGUUAAAGAAUCUACGGACAUUGAAAAACUUUGAUUUGAAGAAAUGUGAUGUGAACGAUAUAGACAAGUUUACCAAUCUGCAAAAACUGACUGUCCUUGACAAGUAUGGUUGUGUUAAGCUAGAGAUGUUUCCACAGCUUGUUGAAUUCAAUUUGAAACAUCUUCGAUUCUUGUCUUUGUAUCUGCAAUAUAAUUUAUGGACUGAAGGUGAAUUGAGUAAAAUGUCAAAUUAUCCUCAUUCCUGUAAGCUGUCCAUAAAUGGAAGAAUAGAGAAGUUACCAGAACAUAAGAGUCUACCCCAGCAAUUGAGGAAGCUGAUCUUAAUAGAUUCUCAGCUCAAAGAAGAUCCGAUGCCAAUAUUGGAGAAAUUGCCUCACUUGGUUUUUCUCAUGCUGGGAUAUUAUGCUUUCAUGGGAAAGGAAAUGGUUUGCUCUGCGGGAGGCUUUCCUCAACUCAAGCAUUUACUUUUUGAUGCAUUACUUGAUUUGGAGGAGUGGAGGGCCGCUGAAGGAGCCGUGCCUCAUCUUUCUCGAUUAGGGAUCUACCUUUGUCCCAACUUGAGGGUGGUGGUACCUCCACGUAUCUCUACAUAUGACGGUUACGACGAAUCAUUGAAGGAGUUGGGGAAGUGCGGCCUUUUUUGAGAGAGGGAUAAUGAUGUGGGUGGCCAAGGGUGGCCCCAGCUGUUCAGAGAGAGAGAGGAGGGAGGGGCGCGUGGAGCUUGUGGGUUGUUAGGGGGUGGGCCCCCCUAGAAUAAAUAAUCUAAUCUCAUAUAUCAUAUAUAAUUGAGUGAAAAUAGAGAGUAUUUGUAUUAUGGCAUUCCUUUACUAAUUAUUUUUCAUGUCUGUCUUUCCAUCAUAAAUCAUCAUUCGUUUCGUUUUCCCUCUCAUCCCUGAGGACUUCCCAAUCAGUGGGGGGUGGAAUCUGCUGUUUCACACUCGCUGUCGAGAGAACUCAGCGACUUUGCUCAUGGAAGACAGCAAAGUUCUCGCGAGCGCCGCGAGGAGGAGGAGGAGGAGGAGGAGCGAAUUCGUUGCGUCUCUAAAAGACGGUGGAUGGGGGGAGGCAUCUGAAGAAAUAAGAGUCGUCGCUUGUCGUGGCGUUGGAAGACAGUCAUCGUUGGAAGCUGCUGCCUUGGAGAGGGGAGGAAAGGAGAGGAGAUCCGAUCAUUUCCAUACUGCUGGUCAGGUGUUUGACGAAAUGCGAAUGCGGAGUAGGAACUGGGGUACAUUUAUCUGAAAUGGGCGUGUUGCUUCCGGCUUGUGCAAUUGAUUUCUUUGUAUAUAGAUGAACGAUGACGAGAAAUACAACGGUGCAUUUUGCAUCUGCCAAUCUCCUACAUAUAUAUAUUUUUAUCAGUAUCCCAGUCUCCUACAUGUAAAAGAUUCUGUCGUGUGUGCUCACAUUAGUCUUUCCCUUUGAACGAUGUUGAUGAAAUUGCUGGAUGUAGCGAGAAAGCAUAUGAUUAUUUGUCAAUCGGUGACGCUCAGCAAAUGUUGCUCUUCUCCUGCGACCAACAACUCACGGUAUAUAUUGAGGAGGUAAAUAUUAGAGAGGAUUCUGGCUUUUUCUACCUGGAAUUCUGUUCUCGCUUGACUAAUUAAGUCAAAAUGAUACUAUCCGCUCCAGUAUCAGUUCAGAUCUUCGAAGGGUCUCAUAAAAUCUCUUCUAUUGAGUUGCUAAUCCAUGUCCUCUUCAACUGUUAUAAUUAUCUUCUUCUGGAAUCACAGCCUGAUGUUAAACUUGCACUUACCACGUCCAUGUGUCAUUUGGCCCUUGCUGUGGCUCUGCUGAGUUUGAACUUGGAAAGGGGUGCUCAGUACAGAAACCUCGUGCUUUAAAAAGGGCUUCAUAGUGUGUGGAAGGAGACAUCCACGUAAAAGCUGUAUUGUGGAGCCUGAACAAUUACAUAUGUUAUCUUUUGGAAUGCAGGAGCAUCCCAAUUGGCAAAUGAAGAGUGGGUCUGUAUAUUUUCAAUGGAAAUGGAUAAUGACAGUCAAUGCACGAGGGUGUGAAUUUGAAUCUGUUUGCUGCAUCUUCAUUGUAACAGGUGAAGAUACUCUAAACAUUAGUAUGAUGGAUUUUCCAGUUGCCUUCUUCAGUUUCCACUUCUCAGGAAGCUUCCAAUUAUGAUGAGCUCUUCAUGAAACAGAGAGCUUGAACAUUCCAAAUAGCUGAAGGUACUUCAUAAUACACCUAUAGUUUUCUUCAGUACAUAGCUACAAAUGUGAGAUAAAUAGGUUUUCACUUCAUUGUCUUGUACCGGCUUGAGCAUUUCUUCCUGUUGCACAUCUGGUAAAUUGCCUCGACAAAUAUCGUAGAGUGGUAAACACAUUAAAAGAUUUUGCGACGAAAGCUUUCAUAAUCUAUGUGGAUCACUUGGGCUCCAUGACCUAUAAGGUCCACUGUCUCCUGGAUGACAAGAUUGAGGAAGCAUCUGCGGUUGAGCUCAGAUUUUCUUGUGUUCAAUAGUUGUGCAAUAUAAUUAGGUUUUCCUUGUUUUGUAGUAUUUAGGAUGGGAAGGGCUUGCAUACCCUCUGAUUUACCACGUGCAGGGUCUAAUAGAUUGCAACUGAUCAAGAAGAAUCUAGUUUUUGAAAAUCUGAAAUUGCUCUAGAUAAACUCCAUAAUGUGCCAGAUUAUAUCAUAUUGUGACAAACUAAUUACUAGAGCAAGAGAGAUUCUAAAUAGCAGAAGAAAUCUUGCUUUGACCAAAGUAUGGAAAAUGGCAAACAACCAUCUCUCGUGCUAUCAACUUAUUUAUCACAAAGUAACAAAUAGAACUUUCAACAAUGUUAUUGUGUUUCAGAGACUAUUGACGUCUGAGACGUUCAUAGACCAUGGAGGUUUCUCAGCACUCACUAGCGAUAAGAACUCUGGAGGACCUCAUGCGAUAUAUCUUACCAGGCACACUUCCCUUCACAAGAUAUAUCUGUUGUUUUAUUAAGACCAACAUGUCGGUGUUGGCUCAUGCUUCAUAACUUUCUCUCAGUUUCAAAAGCUAAAGACGAGGAAGUCGGCAAAAUUUGCGAUAAUACAUGACAAUUGGCUUAAAUGGCAAAAUGUCCAAAUGCUAACAUUGUAUGACCCAUUUUCUGGUUUAACUACCAUAAGCAUAUUGCAUGUAACAAGAUUGGUCUAUUAGAUGAAGAAUUUUUUUUUUUUUUUUUUUUUUUUUGUAAUUAGAUGAAGAAAGUUCACGAGUUAUAGAACUACUUUUCUUGUUCUUCGGAUGUCUUGAGAACAUGAUCUUUUAUGAUGGAUUGUCUUGUGAAUCGCCAUUAUAUCCCCACAUGAACAUCCAGUACCCAUCGGAACCGGAAGAUCCACUUCAAUAUAUACUCAUGCUGAGAGGAAUAGGAGAACUGAUAUCGAGCUUUAUUCAUGCAAAAACAAACGUCUCUUCAAGGCCUUGCUUAGCAGUUAGCAUGCGGAAGUCAAGAAGGGACAGCAAGUUAUUGAAGUUCCUGGACGAGAGCUAAGAAGAACAGGGGAUGAAAGAAAACGGAUAGGCCCAUUAUCACGGUUUCUUUGCACCGCAAGUAUGACCUAUGCUGUAUUUGUUAUGGUAGCUUAAGCUAGCUUUAAGAUUUUGAGAAUAAUUUAAUGCAAUAAGAAACGGAACGAAAAGAAAGUCCUGAUAAAAUUAAAUAAUUUCUACAAGGAAUUCCUUCGGAAGAUGGUUGCCGCUCUAUAGUCUACAGUUCACUCUUGCCUGUUAUUCCAAACAGAGAAGGUAAAGAUUGAAGAAUGUUUAGAAAGCUGAGAUACUGUUUCCUCCCGGUAAUUAAGUAAUGAUAGGCUCACAAGCCACGAUUCACAAGACACAGCUUAAGACCAGGCAACCUGGAAGGGACCAAUAAAAUUGCUUAAGCAGCUAUUUAUCAAAAUCACAGGCUGCUUUUCCCUCAGUUUGACUAAGGAGCUGCUGUUACAUGAUCUGCAUGCUAAGACACAGCUAAAACUGGGCAACCUUCAAUGGCCAGAUAUGUGUUAUCUAACGAAUAUCUAAAGUGAGCAUCUCUCUCGAUAGGAAUCAAACGAGUGUUGUGUACAAACGAACGGUCUAUGAUGCAACUUUGUCCUGCCAUAUAAAUAUUUGAAGACAUUAGAAGACACACCGAAUUAUUUCUGCUUCCUCAGCUGAACUUCUUCACCAUGCUUUCACUUGUCUUUAAUUUAACUAAUAUCUCAGAUUGACACGGGUGGCCUCUUUCCAUUUCGAUAUGUAAACAUAGUGUACCUCAAUAUGUUGAAUGUCGUUGCAAAUACAUUGAUAAUGUUGUAUAACUAAAAUGGUUUCAGAUCAGACACCUGCAAAUGGACUGGGCACUAAAACACUCCCCAUAAAUACAAGAGCUCGACUGUACGAAUUUCAUAUGCGAUAGGCACGAGAUUUUUGUGCACACCAUUCAGAUUCUUAUAGUAGUCAAUACGGUCGAUUGAGCAAUGAGCAUUGUUCAAAAUCCAAGAUCAAAACUGGGACACUCGGCCUUCACUUUUAAUUGAUCCCUAUCUCCUUCGGGGGUCUUCAAUUCAUCAUUAGCAUCGCCACAAGAACUGCUUGAAAGAGAUGCUUUGGAAGCAAGGCUUGUUACCACAACAUUUGGGGUCAGCUUGCUUGGGAGAAGGCGGGAAGCGAUAAUUGGACCAGAUGUGUAUGCUAGUCAUACAGAGCGCAGUGCAAUUGAGAAUGUCCACUUAGUAAAUGCAGAACUAGACUUUGGUUUCUUACAAGCAGUUGCUACCUGCAGCUAAUUUGUUUCUGCGUGUAUAGUAGUUUGCACCAAAAAGUUUCAACAAACAUCGAAACUCAUGAAGUUCUAAUGGAGUUUCAAGAUGCUUAUUGUCAUUUGUCAUAACCUUGCCACCAAUGGCUCAAAAAUGGAGCCGAAAGUAUUCAUUACCCUAAAUUUAACAGGACAAGUAGCCGUGGAAUAGGUGGGAGUUGCCAUUUUGAAAGCCCUUCCAUAGAGUGAAAUUCAUUGAAAUCAGAGGAUGAUUCUGAUGAAAUUCUACAAUGUAGACAAGAAAACAUAAUCUAUGAGAAAAAUAACAUUAAAAUUUGAAAGAAUGCUGAAUUGAAAGAAAUCACGGCUAAACCUACCUUUUUCGACUUCAUGAGACUAGGUAACUUUUCGUAGCCAAUGUUGUCAGCUAGAUUUCCGAUGCCUUAUACUCUACUGAAGGUAGUCUAGCAGAUGGCACUCUUUAUUUUUUAGCAACAUCAGAAAAAUUAUCUGAAUGCUGAAGCUCCUCUGUCAGUGAAGCAAAACUUACCUUCCUCUCAUAUGACUUUCUCCAGCGGCAACUUGAUAUAAUGGUUUUCGGAGGACAGAUAAUAUUUGAUAGGCCGCAUCGAUUGGAUUACAAGAGCUCAUUUGCAAGCUACAGUAAGUAACACAAUGUAAGUUCCUCCAAUAAGCACGGGAGUUACUCUACUUCUAUUCUAAUUCUCACUUUCACAGACUUUUGCAUUACCUCAUUGCAGGCUGUAAGAAUCGAAACUCACAUUUGAAACUAAACCGUCCUUACUCAAACCCCCAUAAAAAUGUGGGGAUUUGAACUCUCCAUAUCCCAUUUCCAUGUUGGACGGGUGCCCUGUGGUUUAAUAAACACGGGGAGUUAACUUUGAAGGAAAUGCAAAAUAAAGGGCACAGCAAUGCAUCAACAUCGAUACAACCACUCCAAGCUUAAUUGCAUGAAAUUCUUCUUUCAAGACCAGAUUCAUGACACGAUCUAUCUAUUUGGUAACUCCUUCAUGUGAAAAGAGAUUUUUGUUUUACACCAUUAAAUGUAUAAAUUAUAUAAUAUAUUGAUGACAAUAAUAUCAAUUGUAUUCGCUAGUUCAUUUGCCCAAAGUUGUUCCUAGAUUCUUAAAUUAAUAUCAUAUAUAUUAUCUCAUAUCAAGUUAAACCGUACGCACGCGCACUACUCGAAUUUUCUUCAUUUCACGCUUUAGUCUUUCUCUAUUGAGUCAACGCACCCUCGCGUUAUAUGUAAGAACGCUAGACUACUUCUUUCCAGCCAUCUGUGUGUAAUCGUUUCGAAGCUGACAUGACGUAUUCAUUAUCAAAAAUUCCAUCCAUUCUGCAAUUUUGCAACAUUCUGUUCGUUUCAUUUUCCCUAUCAUCCUCGUGGACUUCAAUUCGGGGGGAAUCCAUCGUUUUGCUUGCUGUGGAGAGGAGAGGAACUCGCGAAUUGCUCAUGGAAGAUUGCGAAGUUCUCCCAAAUGUUGCUGUUCUCCUGCGAAGAGAGGAUUUUAGCUUCCUCUACCUGGAAUUCUGUUGUAAAUUGACUAAUUAAGUCAGAAGGGUAUUAUACUCUUCAGCAUCAGUUCAGACCUUUGGAAAGUGUCGCUCAUAAAUUGACUGUCGCGACCUCUUUUUUUCUUUCGGCGCCCGAUCACGGACGGGCGCCUAAGGAGGCUAAUGGCCCGGCUGAAUUUAGUUAUGCCUGGACUCUCCCAAGUCCACCAAUUCACAACUUUAAUAGUCUAAUUUUUUAACCUGUAAGUCAAUUAAAAUGGAGUUACCACUAAUCGAUUUGAGAUUGGUUGAUUAGAAACCCAAGCGAAGUAUCGGGAGAAAUACUCACUCCUACGCAAUCAACUCCUCCGCAACCAGAGAAAUUAGGAUCGAAAACUUGAUUACAUUAGUUAAUCACUAAUAUCCUUUCGGUACCUAAUCUUGUUUAAACAUUAAGGUUUUUUUAUGUUCGAUAGAUUUUUCAUGCAUUUUUUGGAGCAAAACAUUUUUUUUUAGUCUUUUUCUAAUUUUUUUGGACAUAAAAGGAUUUUUUGGUUUUUUUGGAAAAAUACAAGUCUUUUUUUGGCUUUUUCUGAAUUUUUUGGAUUUUUCAUGAAUUUUCGGCUUUUUUUUAUUUUUGGCAUUUUUUGGAAAAUAUGUAAUUUUUUUGAUUUUUUUGAUUUUUCGAAAAAUAAAAUAUUUUUUUAUAUUUUCAAUAUUUAUGGAAAAUAAAUUAUUUUUUAUUUUUCUCGAUUUUUUUUUAAAUAAAACAUUUUAAACAUUUUUUAAAUAAUUUUUUUAAAUAAAACAUUUUUUGAUUUUUUUUUAAAAUAAAAUAUUUAUUAUUUAUUUAUUUAUUAAAAAUAAAAUUUAAAAAGCCGACCCGGGUCGGAUCCGCGGGUUGGGUCCAACCCGGGCCAGCGACCCGAAUGCGGACGGGCCCGCGUUGCGAGCCCGACUCGGAUUUUUUUGUCUUUUUUUCUUCUUUUUUUUUUUAUUUUUAUUGAAACGGCGUCGUGGCUAGGUGUUUAGGGACACCCGGCCCGACCCGACAACCCUGUCCGAUAGCCCGCUCCACGACCCGGCUCCCCGGUGAAAACCCUACCCGGAUCCGACCCGACUCGCGACCCGACCUCCGCCGCCCCCGGGAUUUACAGAAUCCCUACCCGAUUCUCGAUCCGGGUCCGACCCGACAACCCGGGAUCGUGACUUGGAAAAUCGGGAACCCUAGGGUUUCCGAAUCGAGGCACCAAGGAGGCGCAGCGGCGACGACGGCGAUGAUGGCCACGACGGCGGCGAUGACUGGACUGAGGAGAGGGAGGUGACGACGGCGACGGCGACGGUGCGGUACCUGCUCGUGACGACGGCGCGACGAGGGCGGCGAUGAUAGCGAGACCCCCGCAAAUCUCUUCUUCUCUGGCGUCUCUCUUCUCUCUCUCUACUCCUCCCUCCGGCGAGACCCUGAUCCGAAGCCGCGAGACCUCGGCCCCACUGAAGUCUCUCAGUGGGGUGUCCAAGGGUCGCGACUUCGAUCCCCUCUGCCUCUCUCUCCCUUCGUGUGUCUCUGUGUUCGCUUCUCCGGCUAGAUUCAAGAUCUCCAGCGGCUCGUCUUCGGGCCUCCCCUGAAGUCUCUCAGGGGAAGCUAUCGAAGCUUACUAUCAGUGAUAUCCUCUUCGCCGUCUGUGUGUCCUUCGUCGGGGAUGGAGGGCCUAUUUAUAGGCCGAGGGGUGGUCGGUCGACGGAGCUCGACCGUCGGUUGCCACGGCCUUCCCCAGCCGAACCGGCGUCCCAUCCGACGCCAGCUACCCCCCUGCUCCACGUCCCAUCGCCGUCCGGUGCUAGCUACUCCACGUGCGUCGCUGCUCCUCCCCUCCGCUCUGGCGUCGCGCCUCCGGCGCGUGUGGUGCAAAGGCGCGAGGAAGAAGAAGACCUGGCUGGGCCGGGCUGAGGCGGAAAUGGGCCAAGGAGGCCCAGAGGAGGGGCUUUUUCUGUUUUUCUUGUUUUUUCCGUUAUUUGUUUAUUUAUUAUCCAAUAAAGAAAAUAAAAACUUGAUAAAUAAAAUAAAAUAGACCUAAAUAAAAUUAAGGCGUCAACAUUGACCAAUGGACCCUCGCCCCUCGGUGACAGUAAUUGUCUUCAUUGGUCAAAGAGUCGCAAAGCAUUGAAAUAGUCGUUGCACAGCCGCGGGCUCAUGCUUACUCUUGAUUGUUGGUAUUCAGAAACCAUCUUUUAAGAUCGAUUUGGACGAGUCGCGUAGCAGAAUCGUGUCAGAUUUUUCUUUUCCCCUAUAUUUUCUCCUAGACUCCAGAUUGAGCUCUGUGAACAUGAGAUUCUGCUUUCUACAUUUUCUGCAUAAAGCCCCCAGGACAGAGCAGAAUCGAUUAUUCUGGGGUUUGCAAUUCCAUUGAGUCUUGCCUGAUAGAUGAUUUGGCCUUCGCACGGUUAAAUCGUCGCUAAAUGCUGUUGCCCGACUAUGAUAAUUGAUGUUCCUCCUACUGGGAAAGAACAAUGAAAGUCAUUAUUGAUUGACUCAUAGCUGUUGCGUUGCGACAAUCAUCAACAAAUCUCAUCAUAUAGUACGAUGAUGUAUCAUAAAAGUCUGAUAAGGAAUUCCCAACCACCCAAAAUGUUCCAAAUUCAUGACUUUUUAUAUCAUGUCCAUUCCAUUAUUUUCUCAAAUGACUUGCUUUUUUUUGUUUCUCUUCAAGUUGGCGGUUCUACUCCAAAGUGCAUGUUUCCUUUUCAUCUUUACCAUGAAAUCUUGCUCAAUCUUCAAGAUGACGAUGUUAAUAAAAAGUUGACAAAUGCAAAUAUUUUGCUACCUCACUUUUAAUUGCGUUUACAGGAUCUUUUGCAAAACCUCACUUUCAUUGGAUUUGCAUGCACAGCUAGAGUAGGUCUAUGGUUAGAUUAAAUGUCAUUCGGUAGCUUAAUUGAAUGUGUAAGUCCCGCAUCACCCGACUUCCUAAAAAAGUCCGUUGUCUCUUGUACAAAUUGAUUAUAUCCAAAAAAGGAAAAAAAAAAGGAUCACUUUAUUGACAACUAAAUUAAGCACAACUAUCCAUUGAGGAUGCCAUUUUACAUAAUUGGUACCAAAUAAAUUUUUAGAUGAAUGCAAAUUGAGUUGGGAAUUUCACUGAAUCCACAUUUUAAAUGUGAUAGAUCUACCCUGUGCAGGCUAAUGAAUGAGAUCAAACCCAUCCUUGAGUUCAAAUCAAGCUCGACAAAUUUGGGUGAAGAAUUAAACUGAAUUCAUCAGUGAGCAAGUUGGGUGGGACUCCCAACGACUUUAAUGGCAAUGCCAUUAUCAUUUACCAGCUCAUCACAUGAUUUUAAUGUAGGCAAAAAGCAAGUUAGUCUUUUAUUUUAAGUGAACGAAGUCUUUUCUAUUUUUCAACUUUUUCCACAUACUAAUUUAGUGUGGCUCAAAUGAUAAAAAAAAGCUCGAGCUAACAGCACCAGACAGCUGAUGCAUGUUGGCUACGUAGAGGAUCGACUUCUAUGUAGUACCAAAUGCCAAACUGACACGGCAUCAUUCACACAAGAAGAAUGUUAAUGCUUUCGAUGGACGAGAGUGAAUGAAAAUGACAGUAUUUCUCACUCAUAAGCAGAUAUUACACUUGAUCCUGGCAAAAGAAUGACUUGAAAAACCCCUUCUCACGUGUCAUGCCGCGUAUAAAUAUCGGGAGAUGAGAAAAGUAGUAAGCAGAAUGAACGGAAGCGGAGAUUGAAUUGGUGAGAAUCUACCUUUAUGCUAGAUAUGUAAAACCUUAGAUUAUUAGAUGGAAGAAAAUGCUCAUACAUGACAGGCUUAUGGGCAAAAUAGCGAUUAAGAAUUAUUGGGAUAUUAUUGUAUUGGACAUCUCAGUUUUGUGGUGUUCAGUUUGGGUGUGCGUUGCUUUCAGUACUUAAUCCCAAAAAACUCAGCGCCUUGCUUGUCCUUGUUAGGAUGGUGCAGCCUUCAUCAUACCCCAAUUAUUGCUCUCCCCAACAGAGACACUCAAACAACCUUGUGACAGAAGCAAAAGGCACAAAUCACUAUGACACUUGGUGGUGACCCAUUUCUGCAAGAUGAUUUUUCUACUCUCUCUCCCCCUCUCUCAAUAUCUAAGGUGAAGAUCACUAAUUUUGGUUAUGGCCUUUUGGAUAUCUUUCUUUGCUUUUCCUUAUCAGAGAAUGUUAGGGAGCUGAAAGGAGGCUUGGGACUGUGUUGCAGUAGAUAAAAAGGAGGUAACGUCAGCUUCAUAUUCUUCGCAUAUGCUUUUUGCUCUCCUGUUGAGAUUUUUUGUCUGGUUCUUUUUGGAUCUGCGGUUUGGCAAUGCUCUGUGUGAUCCGUGAAUUGACAAAACAAGAAGAAAUGCUUCCAUUGGCAAUAACUGUUGUCGUCGGCACAUGGAGAACUCUGUGAGCAUUGCAAUAUCUCAGGAUUUUAGCCUCGGCUUUGUUGGAAGGAAAUGGUCGAGAUAAGAAUAGGGAAAGAAUGUCAAGAAGAAGAAAAUACGUCGUGGAAAUAAAUAAUGGUAGUCAGUGCCCAAGGGUGUGAAGUUGAAUCUGAUUGCUUCAACUUCACUAUAACAGGUGAAAAUACUCUGAACUUUGGUAUGAUGGAUGCUUGCCAGUCACCUCCUUCAUUUUCCUCCCCUCGAGGAGCUUCGCAUUAUGAUGAGCUCUCCAUGAAAGAGAGUUUGAUCUUUUCAGAUAGCCUGAAGGUACAUAACUACUAGUUACUUUUUCUUGGUUUACCUUAAAAUUCGAUUGAUGUUCCUCUAUUUUUUUCACCUAUUAGAUGAUCAAAUUCCCCAUGAUCUAGUUUACAUCAUGUUCGCGUGAAAAGAGUUUGUAUUUGUCUUGCAUGCUAAUCAUAAGCUUUUCUCUAAACAGGACUUGAAGGAUCUUAGGAAGCAAUUAUACUCAGCAGCUGAAUAUUUUGAAUCAUCUUACAACGGACAAGAUCAUAAACAAAUGUGAGAUGCAUAGGUUUUCAAUUCAUGAUAGUGUACCGGCUUGAGCAUUUAUUUAUGUUGCGCAUCUCUUUGUUGACCUUGUCAAUACUGUAGAGUGGUGAACACGCUCAGAGAUUAUACAACUAAAGCUUUCAUCAACACUGUGGAUCACUUGGGCUCCAUGACUUAUGAGGUCAAUUGUCUCCUGGAUGACAAGAUUGGCGAAGCUUCUGCAAUUGAGCUUAGAUUCUCUUGUGUUCAACAGGUGUGCCAUAUAAUUAGGUUUUCCUUGUAUUAUAGCAUCAUGAAUGAGAAGGGCUUGCAUACCCUAUGAUCUACCAUGUGCAGGGUCUAAUAAAUUGCAACCUACCAAGAAAAAUUAAGUUCUUGAUACCGUGAAAUUACUCCAAAUAAACUACAUGACUUGCCGGAUUAUAUUACAGUGUAACAAACUAAUUGGCAGAGCAAAAUAUAUUCUGAAUAGCAUAGUAUAUCUUGCUUCAACAAUAAUAUGGAAAAUGGCAUAGAGAACAACUAACUCUCAUCCUGUUGACUCAUUUAUCACAGAUAACGAAUAUAAUCUUCAACCCUAUUUUUGUGUUUUAGAGACAACGAAUGUGUGAGAUGUUCAUAGACCACGGAGACCUAUCUCAACAGUCGCUAGCAAUAAGAACUCCGAAGCACCACAUGCGAUAUAUCCUACCAGGCAUGCUUCCCUUCACAAGAUUUGUCAUUGGUUUAUUAAGACCAAAAUAUCGAAGUUGGUUCAUGCUUAAGAACUUUAUUUCAGUUUCAAAAGCUAAAGACGGUGGAGACAACAAAAAUCUGCGGUAUUGCAUGACAAAUGAAGUAAAUGGCGAAAUAUCAGCAGGUGAACAUUGUAUGACUCUUUUUCUGGUUUAGCUACCACUGUGCACAUUUCACGGAACAAGAUUGGCCUAUUAGAUGUAAAAAGUUCAUGAGUCAUAGAAGUAGCUGUUCUCUCGCUCAUCAUUUGCAAGUGUUCAACUUAUUCCAUCAAAAAGCAAAUUAUCAAAUGCUACUACUGACGUACUAAUAACUUUUUUUGCUUUCCAAAGAAGUAUAUCCGAGAAAUAUAGAGACUUCUGCAUCAAUCGUCAGGUAACUUUUGACUGAAUUUGUGCUCAUCAUCCUAGCUCCGGAAAGACCUGAUGCUGACAAUGGAACCCUGAUGCAGGAGACGGCAUUUGGCAACACAAUUUCCACAAUCCUCCCGAACGGGCCCCUUUUCAUUCGCAAGUACCUUGUCCAACAAAAAAGCAGGUCGGUAUCGAAUACUCCAAAUUGGGGGGUAAGAGCAUUAAGAGUGCCCAAACUUUCGUUUGUGCUUAUCUAAGUGCCAAAACUUUAUUUUUGCUCACUUUAGUGUCACAAAUUUGAAAAAUUAAUCAUUUGAGUACUAAUUCCGAAUUAUCUCCCCAAAAAAUUUGACAUAGACGCUGGUUGUUUAACGUGGCUUUGCAAGCACUAACGUGUACAAUUUUUAAAAUACUUUUUUUUUUUUUGGCCUUUUUAUUUAGGGCAGGCAAGAGUCACCAGCCACAAAAUCCUUGCCCAAUCUGGGCAAGGGCUGCCUCGCCCUUGGUCACGAAGGCACUAAACGAGGUUGCGAAGGCCCUAAGUGAGGUCACCAAGGCCUCACUAGCCACUACACUGGCGAAGUUAUGAGGGCCCUCGCCUAGGGCCUUCGUGGCUAGAUUUGUGUGAGGGCCGCCUCUCCCUCGUUGUGAAGGCCCUAUGCGAGGGCAUCACAUCCUCACCGGCCACUGGCAACAUUGCCCAAAGCUGGUGAGGGCUCUCACGGCCUCGCCUAGGACUUCACACCCGAGGGCGAGGGUUUCGCAACCAACGAGGGUCACUGGUGACCCUCGUGGCAAAAAAAGAGAAGAAAAAUAAAUAAAUAAAUAAUUUUAAAAAAAUUCAAAAAAAUAAAUAAAUUCAAAUGUAGAAUGAUUUGCUAGAAUUGACACUCAAAUAAUUGAUUUUAUUCUGAUGUGGCACUCAAGUGAAUAAUUUUUUUUUUUUUUGACACUCCUAAUGUUCUUACCCCCUCCAGAUUGCCAUACAUAGCGUUUACAUCAUGUUUUCAUGCCCUAUGAUUGUAUCAUUUAUCAUGUAGUCAGACAAGCUACUAAUGCAAGCAGCACCUUUUCUAAACAGAAAAACGCACCUCCCCAUUUCUAUUUCAACUCACACGUUCAAGUUCUCUGUCCGAUAAAUCCACAUCUCCAAACCCUUCUAACGCCAAAAAACGAGUAAGCAUCAAUGAAAUUCAGUGCAGCUUAGCUAUUAAGCUUCAUUUUUUGUUGGACAUGUCUUGCGGACAUGACCUCUCAUGGCCGAGUCUGUUAUAUGCCCAUAUGAACAUCCAGUACCCAUCGGAACCCCGAAGAUCCACUUCAAUGUCUACUCAUGUUGAGAGGAACAGAACUGAUAUCGAGCUAUGCUCCAGCAAAAACGAAAGUCUCUUCAAGGCCUUGCUUAGCAUGCGGAAGUCAAGAAAGGACAGCAAGUUGUACAAGUUCCUGGACGAGAACUAAGAAGAACAGGGGAUAAAGGAAACCAGAUAGACCCACAUAUGAGUUUCUUUGCAUCAAAAGUGUACCUAAAUAUGUUGAAGAUCACUGGAAAUACAUUGAUUAUGUCGUAUAACUAAAAAUGUUUCAGAUCAGACAGCUGCAAAUGAAUUUGGCACCAGAACGCUCCACAUAAAAACAGGAGCUCAACUGUACAGAUUUCUUAUGUGACAGGCAGAAGAUUCUUGCGCACUCCAUCCAGAUGCUUGACAGUAGCAAUAUUGUUGAUUGAGCAAUGGAUAUGGUUCAAAAUCCAAGAUCAAAACUGGGACACUCAGCCUUCACUUUCAAUGGAUCUCUAUCUCCUUCUGGGUCCAUAAUAUUGUUGAUUGAGCAAUGGAUAUGGUUCAAAAUCCAAGAUCAAAACUGGGACACUCAGCCUUCACUUUCAAUGGAUCUCUAUCUCCUUCUUGGUCCAUUCUUUUAUCACUAGCAUCGCUGUGAGAACCGUGUGAAAGCAAUGCUUCAGAAACAAGAUUGUCGCUCCAGCACUUGGGGUCAGCUUGCCCAUGAGAAGGCUGCAAACGUUAAUUGCAGCAGAUGUACACGUUAGUCAUACAAAGCUCAGUGAAAUUGAGAAUGUCCUCAAGGUAAACAAAGAACUAGAUUUUGGACAGAAAUGCAUUAGAGAAUUCAAGCAGGGUCAUGCAUCUAGUUUGAACAUUCCCUGCGAGCAGUUGCUACCUGCUGCUAAUUUAAUUCAGCUUGUCCAAUAGUUUGGACGAAAGAGUUACAUCAAACAUCAAAACUGAUUAAGUUCUGAGGGAAUUCCAGAUGCUUAGAGUGACAAUCUUGCCACAGACGGGUCAAAAUAGAGCUGAAAGAAUCUAUUACUGAAAAUAGAGCAGGACAAGUAGCUGUGAAAUACCUGUGAGUUGCCAAUUGCAAAGUCCCCCAUCAAGUAAGAUUCAUUGAAUUCAGAGGCUAAUUCUGAUGAUAUUUUACAAUGUCAGAUGAUGAAACAUAUAUUACAACAAAGCUAACACUAAAACUAAAAGAAUGCUGGAGUGAGUUAGAUUGCACUAAACCAACCUUUAGACUUCAUUAGACCAGAUAACUUUUCAUUGUUGGUGGUAUCAGUCAGAUUUCCAGCGUCCACAUUCUCCACCGAAGCCAGCUCAGGAGCUGGUGCUCUUUGUCUUUGAGCUCCAUCACAAAACUUCUCUGGAUCCUGAAGCUCCUUGGUUAGGGAAGCAAAAGUUGCCUUCCUUUCAUAUGAAUUUUCAGCAAUGGCAACUUGAUCUAAUGGUUUUCGCAGUACAGAUAGUAUUUGACAGGCUGCAUCGAUUUGAUUGCAAGAGAUCAUUUGCAAGCUAUAGUAACACACAUAGGUUCCUCCAAUAAACAUGAGAACUAACUUUCAAAGAAAUGCAAAAUGAAGUGAGCAAUGCAUCAAAAUCAAUAAAACCAAUCCCAAGCUUAAUUGAUGACAUUCUCUUUCUAGAGCAGGUCCAUGAAACAAUCUAUCGAUUUUGCGGGCUUUACAAAGCUUACUGUAAAUUACUUGAUGCACCUGAAUAAGAUAAAAUUAUUUUCAUUGUGCCUAAAUCUAACUACACAUGUGAAAGAUAGUAACAUCAAAAGGCAGAAGAUAAUUCUAAUAUAUAGAAAUUUCUCCAUAGUGUAAUCACCAUCACGUAGAGGCUUGGUCUCGGAAACUCUCCUGAUGCAAUCUGUGCUUUUCAUACCAGAUAUUCCACUGUUUGAAUCCGAAUCUCUCGCUGGGUGGACCUUCCCCAAAGUUUUGUCUCCAUGUUUAUGCCAGGGUACUGUAAUAUCCAAAGGUCAAGCGUUAGGCAUCAAACAAUUGAGGCACAUAGAAUUAAUAUCUAUAAAAGAAAGAAUUAGAUGUUCCAAUUCUGAAUCAUCUUGAGGUGACCAUAUCAGGUGUACAAUCCUCCUCAUAUAAGUGCCCCUACUUGGUUAGGAAGGUAGCAACUUUCUCUUAACAUGUUCUUUCAACAUAUUCAUUUCCAAUUGUAUCUUAACACCCACAGAUCCACAUAAAUAACCUCCUUAGUACUUCACUAGGACAUAGCUAGUCAAACAGGAUGCAUCAAGGAAAACUACAUCUACAAUGAAGUUAUUGAAACAUCUAAAUAGCAUUGGCUGAAUCAAUAAUGCUGCAAACCUCCCAGGAUUGAUUGAUCAACUUUAGCACCAUCCAACUCCCCAUGGCCUGUCUUCAUUUCUCCGGCAGCACGACAUGGUUCACAAUCAUUCAAACCCAUUGGCCCCUUUUCUUUCACCACAUGCUCCCCAAUAUCAACCAAGUGAGAAUCGAACACCAGAGAUUUUCCAGUUCCCAACACUUCAUCUCUCCUAAGAAAUUUAUUCACCAAGAUGUUCCUACUAGCAUCAUACAGUGUGACCUGAAUGAUCCAAGGGGAAGAAAACAAUUAGCGGAAAAGUGAUUCCAGGACCUAUAAAAAGGCCUUUGAACUUUUUUGGGUAAUGAAAUGCAUUUAAUUAGUGUGAUGCUUAGGGCACAUAGUGAACCACUAUCCAAAAAACAGAAGUGAUUCAUGUUGGAUCAGCAAAGAAAGUGCCCAGCCCAGUUUAAUGAAAAAAACAGUGGCUUAAUGAAACAUCCAUGAAAGUGCCUCGAAAUGACCUGCCUCCCUAGGGAUCCGCAAACUUCAAGCUGCAGAAAACCAUCAUGGUAUUUCUUGGCCUUUUGAGUUACUUGUGUUGUGUACAAAACCUGCCAUUCUACAUGACAGGAAAAUGUCAAUCUCCAAGUAGGACAUGCUCAGAAUAAUACAAAAGAGGGGGAGCACAUAGGCCACAAAAGCACAUUCACAUGCUCAUGGGUGUCAAAAACGGCUGAAGGACAAUAGUGGACCUGAUAUUGAUUUCAUUAUUUCAGUAACCUCAAGCUAAAAUGAGGCAGUAAAUAUGAAGCAAUAUGAAGACGAUAACUGGCUACUUAAUGAAAACUUUAUUAGAAACUCUAUCAGGAAGUAGAACAAGCAACUGGCUCGUUAAUGAAAACUUCAAUAGAAAAUGUAAAAACCAUGAAGGAAUACGCUGAAGAAUCCAUGUAACUUAGCCCAUAUGAUCUCCUCUUUUGCAUGGGGUUCUCUUAAAUAGGAUUCAUUCUUCAAUACCGAAAGCAUGGUGCUAGAGCUAUGAAAAUAUCAAGAACAUAACCUGACAAGGUAAAUUGCGGAUUUUCCAAGUGAAAGGACAACCUCAGACCACCUCUGAAGCACAAAGCCGGAACGUUAAUACACAGUUUUCUAUUUGGUAAAUCUUCUAUCUACUAUACAUUCUCUCCACUUUAACUCAAGUGUGCUAUCUGUCAUAUGCAAGGAAUUUCAAAAAUCCAUCUCAUUAAGCAGUAUAGAGUUUUGCCUAUGACAAGUGUGAAAGUUUCCUAAUGGCAACUUCGAUUUCACCAAGUAAAAAAAAGUGAGUUCAUAAUCACAUAAGAACGUGCAACAAAUGUAGAGACAAGGCAACUAGCAAACACUCUUAGCAAACUGAAGAUGCAUACAAGCAAAAUCUAACCUGUUACGCCUGAUUUUCCAGCAUCUAAUAUACUCCCCUUUGCCCCAUUCUGAUGCAUCUGGCCAUUUUUUUCUUCUGAAAGAGUACUAAUGAAUACAUGUUUCAGUGCAUCACAAUUGCAGAAUCAGGUAAUUAUCGUAGAUCAUGAAAAACAUGAAGAGAAGGGAAUCUCGCUCCUUAACAGAAAAGGAGAAGAUGAUAUAAAUAACAGAUAUGGUUUUCAAUUGUGAUCUCUCUAUAUUUGGUCAAUGAAGAAAGUGUUAACUACAUAUAAAAACAAUGAACUGACUCUUGGCAUCUGCAAGUUCCGGAAUUUGUUGAAAUCGUCCCACAAUCAUAAACAUCCCAUGAAUUUGUGUCCGUAAAGCACCAAAUCACAUUGUGUUAAAAUAUCAGUUUGGUGAGUACAGAGCAUCCCCUAUUUACAUAAAUUUGCAGAGCAGCUGAAUGAUAGGAUCGGUGGGAAUAUAAACAAUCAGGGAGAAAAUGUUGACAAUCAAUUGACAGUUCAAGACUUUAGGAGAGGAGGUAAGGCAAAUUACCUCCAAAGAAAGAAUCAACAGGAAAAAACACAGCUAUUUAUAGAACACCUGCUAACAAAUCAAAUUGAACUCUACUCCAGGGUACCUUCUACAGCAGAUUUAACGGUAGUAACAUUACGCUGCUGCUUUUGCAUAUAUAAUUUGUGAAGAGAACUGAAGCUGUUUCCACUUGCAUUUAGAUUUAGUUCCCUCAAAGAUUCAUGGUUUGCUUCACGAUUGCCAACUUCAACCAAAUGACCAGGAAAUUCCAUCAUCUCCCCAGGGCUUACUUCUUCAGCUUUGUUCAGGAACCUACUAUCUAAAAGUUUCCAGCUCGUAUCAUACAAGAAAACCUGGUAAAGGCCCCAAAAAGGUUUCAAUGAUCUGAGCCAUGUUUAUCCUGAUAAAAAAAAUUCGCUAAUCUGUAGAGAAAGGUAUACACCAUGAAGAAGAAAACUAACUAAUUCAGGAAGGAAGACCUGAAAUAUUAUUUAGCAACAAGACAGCUGGUAUUAUCUAAGGUUAAUGAUCAGUAGAGAUGUAGACUGUAGAGCUUGACCUGCCGAGUGAUAGAUCCACUGCUUGUACAACGCAAGAAGCCAUCAUGAUAUUUCUUUGACUUUUGAGUUAAUUGUGUUGUAUACAAGACAUGCCAAUCUAUAUCAAAAGGAAUAUCACGUCAACUGCAGUGCUAAGACAACAAUAACAAACUUAUGAAUGUAACUACAUAGAGAAUAUAGAGACCAGUUUUCUGAGGGAAAGUCUGGAGUUAUGCUAGGAAGCUCCAAUGUUUUUCAAGAGAAGCGAUUUAAAUAUGUGAACAAAAUACCGAUGUGACUGAGAAGAUUUGAUAGACAAAGCAUCAAAUUUGAGUAAAUAUUUUUUGAAUGGAUGCCACACGUAGUGUAAAAACAUGCAGAAAUUAUACACCCAAAGAAAAUCAAGAACAGAUUCACAAUCCAGGAGAUACAUCAAGAGAAAGACACGGCCUGGCAUGGGCAUAGAUGAGUCAGUAUAAGUCCAAACUCACCUGUCGUACUUGAUGUCCUUGAGUUCGGACUCGCCUGCAAUAUGCCGUACUUGUUCAUUUCAUUCUUCUUGAAUUCUGAAAAUAAAAAAAGCAAAGGAACACGCGUGCUAAGUUUUGCACCUAGCAUUUACUUGCAAUUAAGAGAGAAUUAGAUUAUGUAGGAAUUCAUCGCCAACCUCUAAUAAUCUUCUGCGAUGGACUCAGGCUGAUCGUCUGCUGUUUAUGCUUCUCCACUAUGGUCUUCUCAUCUCCUUGAAAAGAAAGCCAAGUCAAUUAUACGAUAAUACAGGUAGAUGAUGGGCACAACAUUGCAAACGUAUGAGCACGAGUCAUCGAUUUUCAAACCAACGGAGACAUCAGCAUUUAGAAAGACAAAUAUGUAAGAACAGACAAUACCGGCACAAUCAGAUACGUUGACGAACUUGUUUCUGUGAAGCAGAUUCGUUUGCUUAGGGACUUUAUUUUCUCGGCUGCGAGCAUAAGUAUCAUCGAGAGGCUUUUGCCCUCCUUCAGGCUCUCCAACAUCAACCAGAUAAGCAUUGAACGUCAGCGUCUCACCGGAGCAAACAACUUCGUCAUUCUUCAAGAUCCUGCAUUCCAACAGCUGGUCGCUGUCGUCAUACAGCAUUACCUGUCGAAAAAUCCGAUCAUCAAUCACGGCAUGGCCUAAUCCACUCGGAACAAGCUCAAUCGCGGGGAGCACAACGACCAAAACCACAGAACAGAACAAUCCGCGAGGACAGUCAAAACCGAAAUCCUUAGCAGCAUCGAGCCGUUGCUAUCUAGCCUGAUCGAGCGAGCUGAAUUCAGCGAAUCGAUCGCCACUGCACUGUCGACAUGGACUACUACUAGCCGAUCGAAACCGAAUCAUGUCCCAGCCCAAUCGAAGGUAACCAAAUUCGCCGAUCGAGUUGAGCUGGACAUCAAUGGCGGAGAUGAGUAGGGAGUGAGAGAGAGGGAACGCACCUUGGCGGAGGAGGAGUGGAGAGAGAGGAAGCCAUCGCGGUAGACCUUGCGCUUCUGCUUGAGGUGCUUCGUGAAGGUGACGUUCCAUUUCGUCGGAGCCUCAUCCAUGGCGGUUUCUGCAUUUGCAGCAUGAAGAAGAAGAAGAAGAAGAAGAAGAAGAAUUUCUAGGGAUUUCGGAGAGCUGCGAGUGAGGUGAUACCGCUUUCGAGAGCAGAAAUGUUAUGGCGGGAAACGAGCUUAAGAGCGCUAAAGACGGUCUCCAAGCAUUUUAAGGUUUUUCGGUUGAGCCAUUGAAUUCAUUGUUACGUGCCAAGUAGGUCAUCAAUUGUUUUUUAUUAUCUUUUUUUUUAUAUAUACAUCUCUAGACAUUCAAUGCGAGAUUUCUUCUUUCCCAUGACUCUCACGUGGCAGGUGCAUACUUUUGACAUCAAAAUAAACACCGUACAAAAGUCAUGGUGCUACUGAUAUACUUAUUCCCAGUUGAAAUGGCUAUUAAAAAAAUCUAGCUUCAAUUGUUGGGAUAUGGCUUCCAAAUUGAAUGUGAAGUGUUUGCAUGUAAUGAAGCGUUUGUUACAAGGAUAUUCAAAUGAAAAAUGUGUUGUUGUCGUAGCAUGGAGCUUUGACUUCCCAAAUUGUGUGGAUGGGUAUAAAUGGGUUGGAUCGGUAAAUUGUACUAUACUAAAAUGGGUCAACACAGAUUAAAAGAGUCGGAUCAUUUUCAAUUUAAUCCAAAUCCAAUCCGACUCACUCAUCUAAUGGACUCCUUCAUGUGAAAAUAUAUUUUCAUUGUUCAUUAUAGAUAUUUUUUAAUCGUAUAAAAUACAUUUUACACUAAAAACUGAAAACUAGUACAUUUGUAAUAAAUUUACCUUAAAUCAAUUUUUAGAUCACAAAAAACCUGAAACUAUUAUACUUAUGAAAAAUUUACCUCACAUUAGUGAUUAUUAAAUUUUAAAAGUUGUUUUUACUAUCCAUUUUUAUUAGUUUAGUCUAAUUUAAUAAAAACUAAUGAAUAGUAAAUUUAUCACAAAUAUACUAAUUUGCGAUUUUUGUGUCAUAAUAAAAAGUUGAUGGUAAAUCUGUCACAUUAAUACAAAUUUACAAUAAAUGUGUUAUAUGGAUAUAAGUUUUAGAUUUUGUCACAAAAAAAAUUAAAAUAAAUAUGUAAUAACGAACAUAAUUUAGAGUUUUUUUUUCUUUUUGGUUUUUCCCCAUUUUGCGUACCAUCAACAUUAAAAAAUCAAGGGCUGUUUCUAGAAAUAUAACAAUACGAAUUGGAAAUUGGACUCUUUCUUUUCGGCCGUUGGGCGUGGCAGUUUGGAAGCUCGCACUCACAUUAUCUAAUUCAUCCAUUCUGCAACUUGCCCCAUUCGUUCUUUUCAUUCUCCAUACCAUCCUCGUGGGCUUCAACCGACGGAAGAAUCUGUCGCUUCACCUGCUGUCAAGAGAGAAUUUGCGACUUGCGGCAUUGGAAGAUUACGAAGUUCUUCGCGAGCGCCCCGUGAGGAGGCAAGCCGAGGGCGAAGGGCGUCUGGGAGGAGGCGGAGCGGAUCCAAUGCUUCUCCGAAGACGCUGAGGCAGUGCUCGUCAGAUGUUUGACGAAAUGCGCGAGUGAGUAGCAACCGGGCCAACGCAAAACUGAAAUCGGCAUGUGCAAUUGAUUUAUUUGCAUGUCGCCAUCACCCGAUAGAGUACAUGAUUCAUAUUGAUCGGCCACAACCUCUAUCUUGCAAAGAUUUGUGCGCGAGAGCACGCGCGCGACUGGAAGCAAAGAUUCAUCUACCGACUUCUAUCUUGCCGACUUGCAUGCACACAAGAACGUGCACGUAUCUUUGCGGGUGUGACUUGAGAGCGCAGAUUGCAGAGUACAUUCUGAAAAAUAUCGAAACAAGCGACACCUACUGUUUCUAAUCGUCCUUGACUCUUUUUCGUGUUUGCAAUGCAUUGCUUAGUUGUCUCAUUUUUGCAAUAUGAUCGAAUACGUCUUUCUCAAAUACAAAGCAGCCAAACAAAUUUGUCAUCAACCAAUCCUCCCCUCAAUUGCAUGCGCAGACAAUUCUUCACAAUGUUCACUGUAGAGAAUGAUCUUUUUUUGUAAAUCAGUUUACCUCUACCGCUCAGAGUUGAGGAAUGACCAGGGAGAACCAUCUUGCCAACUCGUCAUUACAGCAAGCAAAAUCAAUCUACAAGCAACCAGAUCAAAGGAAGGACGGUAUCUUUCUGCCUUCUCGCAGACUUAUUCCUCCUCUAUUGUAUUCUCUUUCUUUGGUGUUUUCGUAAUUGUUACAAACUGAAGAUGAUGUUUGUGUUGGGCUUUAUUCCGCUAGCCUCAUAGCAACAAAUGUUUAAUGGGGCAGAAGCGCGCAUGUUAAUGGGGUCUAACUUUAUGUACAAGAAUAAAUCCGAAAAUUUGUAUCGAUCCCGCACUUGAUUCCUAAACUUGCAUUUCGUGCAUUAGUCAAAAAAAAAACUUCUUGUUAUCCUUCACCUUAGUCCUUUCGCUAGCUCCAUUAGCUUCAAGAGGAUGAAAAAGUUGGAGGCGACAUCUUUCAUCUGUCCAUGUUGGCGCUAAUAAUAAACCUCCAAAGCAUGUAGAAACGCAUCAUUUUUGUGUUAGGGUUUAACACAAAAAUGACACCCUCUUGGGUUAAAAGUAAUCUGAACACUAAAGAAAUUAGCUGAAAUUUGACAGCACUGAUAACAUCCAAAAGAUUCCUUAUACUUGCAGAGAGAAUAUGUACCUGUAAACGUCCCCAUUACUCUAUUCUUUUCUUCUCGGGGUGGUUUUCUUGCAUCGGUGGACAUAGAAUAUGUAUUACCCGAGCAUCACGCAACUUUCGAAGCACCUAUUCCUUUUCCUCUCUCCUUCACAACUCGCAGGCCUAUAUGUUCACAGCUUGUGUAACGCAUCAGAAGUGAAUUCUCAAGUCAUUCUCUAUCAUAAGUUCCACUGUUCAUAGUCAAGUAGUGCGAUACCAAUGGCUGAGUUUGUCGUCUCAUAUGCGGUUCAGACAAUAGGAAAGUUGCUCGUCAACAAGGCCGAUUUCUUGUGGGGCGUGGAGAGGCAGGUCGAGGACCUGCUGAAGGAGCUGAAGCUGAUUCGGUGCUUUUUGAGGGAUGCGGAUGCGAGACGAGAGUACGACGAAGCUGUUGGAGAAUGGGUCAUGCAGAUCCAAGACAUGGCCUAUGAUGCCGAGGACGCCAUUGAGGGAUACAUCCUCAGAGACCCGCCGAAGAAGGGAGAAAACAUCAUCAAGGCGUAUGCUUGCUUCGUGGCGAAGUGCACAUGCUUGCAGGUUCAUGUGGUGGGGAUCGAAAUUGAGGGCUUAAAAUCCAAAAUUUCCGAUCUUGGAAGAAAUAUGCAGGAGUAUGGUAUACAAUCUAUGAAGAAAGGCGAGUACGGACACGCGGGAGCUUCCACCGAGGAGGAUUUUGUUGGGAGGGAAGAUAGUAUUAAGGAAUUGGUGAAAGAGCUGUUGAAUGAUGGAAAACAGCACAGAGCUAUUUUUAUAUUGGGAAUGGGUGGUUUAGGUAAGACUGCACUUGCCAAGAAAGUUGUCGCUCAUGACAAAGUGAAGAACAAUUUUGAUGGUUUCACUUGGGCUUGUGUAUCUCAAGAAGAUAAUGAGAAAGAUAUCUUGGUGGAAAUUCUUGUUAAGUUGAUCCCUGAUCAAAGGGAGAGGAUUAUGAAGAUGAUGGAUAAUGAAUUGUCAAAAACUUUGUACGAGAUCCAACAACAGAAGAGGUGUAUUGUGGUUCUUGAUGAUAUUUGGACCAAAGAGGCAUGGGAUAGUCUUCGAGCCGCAUUCCCGAUCGAGGACACGAGAAGCAAGCUAUUGAUAACAACCCGCAAUAGAAAAGUAGCAGAGUAUAUUGAUCCUCACGGUCUUUUCCAUGAACCUCGGCGCUUAUCGGACCGGGAGAGUUGGAAUUUACUGAAGAAGAGUGCGCUCCUUCAAACAAAAGGUAAGGCUUUUUAAAGGUUAUUAGCAUAGUAGCUUCAAGAGAUUACAUUGCUUGAAGAGGUUAUAAUAGGCAGAGACCGACGCACAAAUAUGAGGUACUUCAUUACUUAAUCUGCCCUUUGGAAGGUUUAAUAAUUUAUAGAUCGAUAGUUACUAUAGAGCUCAAAUGAUCGAUAUACGGAGUAUUACGCAUCGAAAUUUUGAUAUUUGGGGAAUGAGAUUCCCAUUUUGUUCCUUAAUAGCUAGCGAUUUUACCUCUAAACAGACAUAAAAAAAAAAAACCGUGCUCUUCCUUUCCCCUCGUGAGGAUAAACAUCGAAGAAACCUUUUUUAUAGCCAACAUAAUAAGCUAUUCUGAUAAGAAUUUAUGGUAUACUUGUAACACCCUAAGUAUGUUACAAACUACAGGUGUCAUUUCUAAUUAGAUUUUUCUUUUGAUUUAUAACAUGCGAAGGCACUGCAAAAUACUCACAGCAUACCAUAAAAGAAAAGUGCAUGACUUAGAUAUUAUACAUCUAUCUCAUUACAUUAACUUCAUAUUUGCAACCCAAAAUUGUAUCCCAUGCAACACACGAAAUGCAAAAGACUUGGGAAAGGUUAGGGUCACCUAUCACCGACGCCACUCUCACGCCCAAAAGCCUGCUUGUACAAUAAUCAACCCAUUUGCUACGAGUCCACAAUUUCACCCAUUGAUUUAUCGCCUUCACCAUCAAAGCCCUUCAACGAUCCAAUCAAAUCACCCUCAAGGUUUACUGAACAACAAAAUAGUAGAGAACCCAUUCGGUGAACCCCACAUCGACCCAUAUAGUAGAAGUACACUUAGGGUAUAUAGCUUUCGAACCCGGUUAAACCAUACUCUCAUAGACACAUUCGUGAUGCAUAGGAACCCCAAAAAGCAUUGGCAGUGAGCAGUCCAUCCUACAUUUCUGAAAAAUAAAGGAGUGAGCAUGAGUACAUAACAAGCAUGUGUGACGAGUGCAUGAAAACUAUGUUAUUUUUCCUAUUAUGAUAUUGCUAAUGAAAUUCAAGAGUUACAUUGUUUCACUUAUACAAUUGCGCAUGACAUAAGAUACUUUGAUGCAAGAUAACCACCAAAUUAGUUCAUUUCUUGACAUGAUAGCUCAUAUAUGCAUAUACACAUGUAUUAGGUUCGUAUCUUCCCCCAAGCUCUCUUGGGGCAUCCCGACAUACGCAGCGCAUCCAGAUCACACAACAAGGCAUCUCGAUUCCUAAGGCAUCUCGGUAUACCAUUCGAGGCAUCCCAAUUAAUAGGGCAUUUCGACUCCGGAGAUAUCCCAAAACACUACUUGAGGCAUCCCAAUCACAUAGCGAGGCAUCCCAACCAAAUAGCAACACAUAUCAACUUAUGGCAAGGGAUCGUAACCCUUAUUUUGCGGGUAACAGUAAUAUUUAUACAUAUCAUACUUUCCUUCUUUUUUUGUUCACAAUCAUACUUCCCUUGUUUAAUCACAUAGCAAUAAUGCAUCUUAUAAUCAUAUGAUCUUCCUUGCAUCAAGAACGAAAUCAAAACUCAUUUUAACAAUCGUCAUCCAAUAUGUAAUAUUUUUUUCAUACAUAUCAUUGUCUUGCCCUUUAAUAUAAACAUAUGUUGGUGAUGAUAAUCACAUUUUUAACUCCUUUCAUUUCUCAUGCUAGCAAGAUUAACACAUUCAACCAAAUCACCAAAUGCAUACUUGUUAAGUGGGUACACUCGGCGAACACCAAGUGGAUGUGAACAAUAUGUGAUAAUACUUAAUAAGUGAAUUAAAGCAAUAAGUGGUCAUAUUCAGAAGGUUAACAUGAGUAGUUUGUGAUGAUACUCAAGUGAAUAUAUGCAAUACGUGGUCAUAUUCGAAAGGUGGAUAUAAGCAAUAUGUGAUGAUAUUUGGCAAGUGAAUAGAAGCAGUAAACAAUCAUAAUCAAAUUGUGGAUAUGAGCAGUAUGUGAUGAUACUCAAUAAGUGAAUAUGAUCAACAAUCAAUGAGUAAAAGUGAAUACGAUCAACGGCUAGUGAGUUAAAAUUACGAAAACAACAUUGCCAAACCCAAACCUUGCCAUUUUCACAUUUUUAACUUCAAACAUAUUAUCACACCUCACAAAAAUCAAUCAAACACCUUUUUGCAUAAAAGAACUGAACAAAAAUAGGACAUAUCACCACAAUAACUCAACACACGAUUACUAUAAUUUGCUCACACUUACCAUCAAAUUCAACUAAAAUGAAAAUCAACAAUCAUCAACCAAUGAAAACAAAAUUACUAAAUAGAUCAACCUAACUUGGCUCCCGGAGUCUUCACUAACCCUGCAAACACUUGACAGCUUCAAAACUUUAGUCAUCUUCAAACAAAGUAAACAAAAUCAAUAAUCAAUCAUUUUCAUCCUUGAAACGACAAAACCCAUUUAUGGAAUGUAGGGGAAAUUGUAAUAAUUUACCCCACCUGCACCUAAAAGAUUGAGAUGGAAACCUUAAUAAUAUGAGUGUGGGGCCUCCGCUUUUACUCGCAGAAUUUGAAAACAAAAGUUAAGAAGAAAUUCGAAGUUAAUGAAGCGGCGUCUUCUAUACUUGGGACUUGAAAGCUUCUCCAAGAUUCAUUUACACGGCCAAGACAAGAGUGAUAAGGAUGAGAUGAACUAACCGAGGUUAAAGUAAUAAUUGUCCUUGGGUUAAAAUCAUCAGCUCUAAAAGUAGAAGAUAUGUGUGUUUCAAUAGAAAUGUUUGAUGUGGCCAAGUUAGUGUGUACAAUUGGCUUAGUAAGAGUAACCAAGAGGAGAUAUUUUGGUUCGUAUGAAAGAUGGCUCUUUCUUGGCCAAGUAAAUUGGUGAGUUAUAAGGGCAUUAAUUAGCCAUGGUUAAAAUAGAUGAGAUAAUGCAUGACAUCAAGGUUAGACUAGGUUCAACGUUGCUAAGAGCAUGUGGUUUAACAUAAUAAGUUGAGCAAGAAGAGAUGGCGCAAGUUGAGGACUAUUGAAUGGCUCAUCUAAUUAGUUUCCAACAUAAACCAAUACGUAAACAAGAAAUCAGUGUCCAUUCUAAAUAGUAUUAAGCCUGAAAAAUAUUUUGAACCCACUAAAAUUAUGAGUGAACAAUAUCGAAGAUUUGGAAAAUCUCAAUUCUAUAAAUUUAAAACUUGAAAAUUAUCAAAUAAGCAAUUUAGAGUAUUCCAACCCUUUUUCUACAACUAAUAUGGCGGUUAAUUAAAUAGUCAUUCUAACUACAUACAUGUCACCCUCUAAUGCGCUAGACUCUGGACAAUUAAGUCAUGUUAAAUUGUCCUAAAUAUUGUCGAAUAUGAAAAAUUCCGGACGUCACAAUAUUGUGUAGCCUAGCUAUAUUCCUUCUUCCAUUGGCUUCAUAUCAGGUCCACCUUUUUCGUAUUUGUGAAUAGUUAGUCUAAUAAUAAGAGUUGGGAUUGUCAGAAAAUUCAUGAAUUAUAAUGCGACAAAAGAGGGUGGCAACAUAAAGAUUUCGAUAUAAUUCCCGGAGAUCACUAGAACACUCAAAGUCACGGAUGUUUAGUAGCACACUCGAGUUAUCUCUGCUGCUUUCCUUUUCUUCAUUCAGUAGGGUAUUAUCGCAAUACAUUUGCUCAAACCCCUUAAUUCAAGCCACAAAAAACAAAGAGAAAAGAUUUCAUACGUUCAUUUGGGGUUCUUGUUCUUCCAAGUGUAGGUAGAGGCAUUUAUAGGAUCUUUGCUUUGGCCAUUAUAGUCUUUUCGCUUACGGAAGUAUAAAUGACUCACAUAUUAUAAAAAAUUGUAGCAUCUAACUUACAUGUCAAAAAGCAGAUAUUUAUCCUUGGAGUUAUUUUCUCAUGACAGUCGCAUCUUCAUGGCACUGCUAAGUUGAAAUUUAUUGCCUUAUAUUGUGCAGAAAACAUUGAAAUGUACCCGUUAGGAGAUGAACUCCUUAAAAAGUGUGGAGGAUUACCCUCAGCUAUCAUCGCGAUUGGUAAAUCUAUAGCGGUCAAUGGCUGGGAGAAGGUUUACAAAAACAUCAAUUUACAUUUUACCAAUGAAAGCGAUGUAAAAAAAGUGUCGGCAUCAAGCUAUGAAAGUCUACCAUGGCAUCUAAAGCCAUGCUUUCUCUAUUUGGGUAGUUUUUCGAAGGAUGUAGAAAUCCCUGCGACGAAAGUCCUUCACAUGUGGAUUGCUGAAGGCUUUGUGUCGCCCAGUGCAUACAACAACGAAGAGAGUGAAAUUACCAUGGAAGAUGCAGCAGAGCAAUAUUUAAAGGAGUUGGUUAAAAAAGGAAUGGUUCAAGUACUACUCACCUCAAGUGGAAAGAUCAAAACCUGCCGCCUCCCUGAUAGGAUGCGAGAUUUAUGCAUCUCCAAGGCUAGGGAGGAGAGGUUUCUAAGCAUUCCUAAGGCUUGGCAGAUUGAUGAAUUGACAACACGGAGGCUUUCAGUCACUGUUGAAGAAAAAACAUUUUGGAGAGUAGAAAAAAGAGUAAAGACUAUGUUCCACCUUCGAACUCUUAUGUUCUUUUACUAUGGGAGAUUUGUCGAAAAGAUGUGGGACAAAUUUCAACCUAUUUUCCUCAGCUGCAAGUUUCUUAGAGUUUUGAAGCUGGAGGGUAUUCAUAGUAGGACAGGAAGUUUACCUAAAUUAGUGGGAAACCUAGUCCAUCUAAGAUUCUUAAGUUUAGCACGAUGUGUGCUCAAGGGCUUGCCGAAAUCUAUGGGGAACCUAGUACACUUGGAAUUCUUGGACCUGCAAGUAAAAGAUUUAGUUGAGGUAAUCAUGCCAAAUGUGUUGUGGAAGAUGAGAAGCUUGAGGCAUCUCCAUCUUCCCAUCCAUUUUGCCGUCAAUGACCUAAAGAAGUUGCGAUUGGACUCUUUAAAACAUUUACAGACAUUGAGAAACUUUUCUCCAAAGAACUGUAAUGUGAUCGAUGUAGGCAAACUGACCAAUCUACGAAAACUGACUGUCUCCAACCAGUAUGGUGGGGAUGAGUUCAAGAUAAUUCCACAACUUGCUAAAUUCACUUUGAAACAUCUCCAAUCCUCAUCUUUUAGAUUCAUAAGCCAUGGUUCAUUCUGUGAAGGUGAAUUGAGUAAAAUGUCAAGCUAUCCUUAUUCCUGUAAACUGUUCAUGAAAGGAAAAAUAGAGAAGCUACCAGAAGACCUACCCCCACAGCUGAGGAAGCUGAUCUUAAUAAAGUCCCAGCUCGAAGAAGAUCCUAUGCCAAUUUUGGAGAAAUUGCAUCACUUGGUGGUUCUCAUACUACUAGAGGAUGCUUUUGUGGGAAAGGAGAUAGUUUGCUCUGCAAGAGGGUUUCCUCAACUCAAGCAUUUAGCUCUUGAUAAUCUGCAAAAUUUGGAGGAGUGGAGGGUCGCCGAAGGAGCCAUGCCUCAUCUUUCUCAAUUAAGGAUCAGCAGAUGUUUCAAGUUGAAGACUAGACCUGAAGUAGUUUACAAAUUCGAUGGUUCCGUAGACAAUGGUGAUGAGCAAGAGGACAUGAGGCCUUUUCUUUCUGAGGUGAGUUUUGCGGCACUUCUCAUCAGAAGAAUUAAUGUGACGGAUUUAGUGUACUGACAAUUAAUGCAAACUUGAUGUUAAAAGUGAUGUGGUAGCGAUUCUCGUUGGGUGUUGGGAUAGGACUCGCUUAGUUAAACUAUCAUUACAAUAUAUUUACAAGGUUUUGGUAUACAAAUCACAUAUAUUACCUAACGUUACUCCUAAUUAAUGUAUUUAGACAGGUUUUCAAAUGAUUCUUUGCAACAUUACUUGACAAAGAUACAAUGUAUGUUUACGUCAUCAAGCGAACUUGAACUAUUUUCCCAAAUAAAGCCCUCAAAGUAUUACUUCGGAUAAGAGUUACGUGCAUAGGUGAAAGGUCUAGACUUAGCUAGUUCAUGAGAUUCACAAAUGUUUCAUAAGCCUCUAGGUAACCGGUCUCCAUGUCUGCAUCCAUGGUUUAUUAAAAAGAAACUCAUAAAAAAUUUGAUGUCACGUGAAGAACUUUUAAGUGCACCAAUUGAUAACUUACCUCUGCAGUUUACUUAAAGGACUGAUAAUUAUUCUACUUUAGUAAUUUUUUUCAAUAAAGUGUUUGAUUGGCUAGUAAGUAGUAAGUGAUCAUAACAUUUUGGAUCAAAUCUACAUCUAUGCAAAUGGAAAAAUUCUAGAGAUUUUCUACUCAUUUUUGUCGAUUUGCAGAGUUGGCAACGUGUGACCUAUUCUCUUUCCCCCCUUAACACUACCCUUUCAUUACUUGGCUCCCUCCUUGCUUUCGCUGUCCGUUGUUUCUCUUCUUUAUUUGUAACUCCUUUGUGUGAAAUAUAUAUAUAGUUUUACUUCACAAAUUCCAUAACUUGUAUAAAUAUUUCCUUAUUUUAAUGUGCCAAUACCCACACUCCUCACACUCUCCGAUUGGUAAAAUAUCUUUUUCGAACCCUAUACUCGACUCUACUCUAUGUUAUUAUGCAUCGGGGAAAUCUUGCGGUCCAAACAACUCCUUAGAUGAAGCCUUUUAAUGACAUGUUUAGGUCAAACUCUCCCACCAUAACACUACCGAUUUAUUACUCAUUUCCCUCCUUCCUUUCUCGAUCCGUUGUUUCUCCACUUUAUUUGUAACUCCUCUGUAUGAAAAACAUAUUAUUGUUUUUUUUUUUUGUAAGGUAAGAAUUAUAUUGACUUUUAACCACAACAUAUUUUUGUUUUACUUCACGAAUUCUAUUAAUUGUAUAAAUAUUUCAUUGAUUCAAAUUGUUCGCAAAUUCUUUUAAGUUUAUAUCAUAAUUAUUAUCAUCUAAUAAUACAUUAACAUUGAGUUGUCUUUAGGCUUAAAUUCGUCGUCCAUCAUCUUUUAUCAUAAAUUUGUCAACAAUUCAUGGAUUACAUCUAGUUAAUUACAUUACGGGUAUAACCCAUGAAUACUGCUCGAUCAUUCCACACACUAAUUAAUUGAAACCUUUUGACUGCAGGAGAUACAGGAGUUCAAAGAGUAUUAUGAAAGUUUGCCUUGAGGUAAACAACAAAUUAUCGAGUAAUUAGCAUUUUUUGAGAAAUCGAGAUAUAUUAAUGUCUUAGCAUUUCUUUUGUAAGAAAAUUCAUCUUUUAUCUUUUUCUCAUGCAAUGGAUUAAAAGAAGACGAAGAGCAAGGAAAGAGCACAGGCCUUCAUACUAGGGAGAACUCUCCGGUAACGUAGCUUAAUGAGAUGUCUACUUGGAUCGCGGUUUGAAAAUGAAUAACAGGCAAUUUGUUCAGAGUCAACUAGUUAAAAGAUCAAGCUGGAUCAUCUUUAACUUGAGCUAGGUCAUGAUACAGGCAAUUUAGGGCUGGAAGGAUUUGGCACUUUGGGCAAUGACCGUGGUUCAAAAUCCAAGAUCGAAACUAAAACACGUGGCGCUCGCAGAUUUUUGCCGCAGCAUUUGGAGUCAGCUUGCUUGCGAGAAGGCUGCAAACAAUAAUUGCAGCAGAUGUUUCUGCUGGUCAUACAAAAGCUCCGUGCAAUUUGAGAAUCUCCACUAGGUAAAUAAAGAACUAGAUUGUGGACUGGAAUUUAUUAGAGAAAUCAAGCAGGUCCUGACGCACCUAGUUGGAAAAUUCCCUACAAACAGUUGCUAUCUGCUGCUAAUUUGCUUCAGCUGGUAUGGUAUGGUAGUUCGCACCAAACAGUUUCAACAAACAUCAAAACUCACGAAGUUCUAAUGGAAUUUCAAGAUGCUUAGAGUCACAACCUGGCCACCGACGGGACAAAAUGGAGUUGAAAGAAUUAAUUACUACUGUAAAUAGAAUAGGACAAGUAGCGUGAAAUAUCUGGGAUUUGCCAAUUCCAAAGUGAAAUAAGAGACCUAGACUGAUGAGAUAUUACAAUGUCAGAUAAAGAAACAUAAAUUACGAGUAUUGAGGAAAUAAGUGAUUGAGCAAGAAAUAAAUCGGAUAUUAGAUUUACGAUGUUCAAUUGUUGGAACUUUCAUUCUCAAGGAAAAUAGCAAAAGUAUUUUACUAUAAAUCAAGCAACACAAUAAAGAUCACAAUCAUAUUUGAGUUACUCAAAUACUCUCAGUAUUUAUCACCUCUUAAUUACACUCAACGACUCACCCAAUAUUUGGACAACACAAACACUCGCAAAAUAAUCACUCACUUUUGUAAAAGAAUUCAAACAUAAUUAGUUUUUUUAGUCUCAAAUUCAAGACAUAUUUUCUAACAAUAUCCAUCUUGGCUCGAUGUUUACGUCAAAUAAUAAUUGUUUCACUAGAUUUUGAAUUUUGUUGCUACUCUUUCACAACUCCUCAUGGGCUCAACCGCCACAAACAUGUUCCAAAUCCACCGCGCGUGACCGUCAUCAUAACUAUGGACCUCAUCAGAACACUAACUCCGCUUGCACCUUCAUUUACUCCACAAGGGUUCGCCAUUACACCCAUAUUUUUGUUAGAAGAUCGAAAAUGCACUUUGUAAAAUUCAGCAAUUACAACAGAUGUUGGAUCAACAGACUUGACCUCAUUAUAAGUACCAUCUGUGUCGAUUACUACAUAAGUACUCUAUACCUCGUGAAUUUUUAGUUGCAACUCCACCUUGAGAUUGUCUAGAUUUGUCUAACAAUACCACAAUUACCCUUACUCAAAAGUAUUGAAGAUUCAUCAAAUAUAACUUUUCUACUAAUAAUAGGCGAAUUUAAUUCCAGACACUACAAUUGAUAACAUAGUUUACCAUGUGUAUGGUCUAGGAAUAUACAUUUCUAUCCUUCUCAUUAAGCUUACCAUCACUCACUUAAAUAUAUCUAACAAUUGAAUAAUCAACAACGUCUCACUAUGACGUUGUGUGGUGGCAGAUUUGGUCGAAAAUAUGUUAAAGUAGAAGAAUUUUAGUAAACAAAUUAAAAAUACAUGGACUUAAUUUUAAAAAGAGUAGAAAAGUAAGGGUAUGCAUGAUAACCAUUUUAUUUCUAGUCAAGUCUUUUUUUCUAUUCUAAGAACAAAUUUGGAGCAUAAAUCCAUUUAGUAAUACAAUUUUAUUUUUCUAUUUCGUGAACACAUAGUCCAAAAAUAGAUUUAAAACAAAAUAAGAAGUAAAAAUUUUCCUACUCUCUUAUUUCAAGAAUAUAAAUGAGAAAUAAAGACUCUUUACAUUGCUCGCCCUUGCCACUAGCCAGCCGCCUGCCCUUCACUAGCCACUGCCGCCCCCCUGUUGUCCUCUGUUGUCAGCCAUCCUUCGCCAACUACCUCCCGUCGCAACUCGCCGACUGCCAAGAAGGAGAAUUUUCGUGUCCAUGCAUAAUUUUUCUCUAAAACUCGUCCUAGAAAAAAAAUAGAAAAAUCUAUUUUUGGCGAGAAAUUGUGUUAAAAAAUAGAAUGAUUAUCAUUCGUGUCCAAAUCGAAAAUUCAAAACUUUUUCCCCUUUUUUUCCCUUUGACUAUCAAGAAAAAAAUGAUGAUGCUUGAAAAAUAGUGGAUAAAAGUAAAGCUUGUUUGCGGUUCCCAAAUCUAUGCGCUUCAAGACGGAAAACUCAUAAAUUAUGGACUAUGUGCGACUUGUGGAGUAAAUGAAUGAAUAUGAAAAUAUGAUAACAGGGCAGUGGUGAAUCGGGUGAACCCUAGACAAGGUAUGCACGAUUCAUCAUGCCUUAAUCAUGUCGCUGCCAAUUCUCUCUUCUUUGUAAAAGUUCUCUCUUCCUUGAAGAGCUCACCCUAUCCAUGGAGAUAGCUAAAUUCUAAAAACUCAAACCUCUUCUUCCCUUUCUUGCCAUGGCGUGCAAAACAACACUACACCAUCUUCCCACUCACCUAUUCACAGAACCAUGUCCCCCAAACUGAACCCCCUCUACUAUGUUUUGCCCUACUGUACUUUUCCUUUCUUAUCGUAUCCCAAGCGAAAUAGCCAAACUCAUAGUACAGAUCUUGUCCCUCAGUAUCCCCUGUAGCAGACCAGAUCAUGUUUUUUUCUCUCAUAAAACUUUAUCCCAAUUUCACAUCCAUUCCCAAAUCAUAGCUCCCUUGCCUUUACCAAAAUUUAGCCUUCAUUACUUAGAACUCCCUUCAUCCAUAAACUCCCAUCCUUCUUCGAAGACUCUUGGAGUGGUUUUCCUCAUUGAGCCUCAUCUUCCUUCUCGAGCCUGUUUGUAAGAGGUUAGCAUGGAGGGUGAGAGAGAUGGAGAGCAAAGAAUGGCAGCAUUGUGCAGAAGAUUGGGGGAUCUGUGGUCGGGAAUGUUGUAACCAACAUGUUCGAAAAAAUUUGAAGAGAAAAUGAAGGAAUGCAACCUUACCUUAUCGGAUAACUCUUUUCUAAACCAAUUAUAAACUUCCAGGCCUCCUUAUAAACAAUGAAUAAAGUAUGGAAAACAGAGAACGUGGUUUGUGACCAAAUGGAACAACAUUUUUUCUCUAUCACUUUCAACUCGGAUGCAGAAAAGAAAAAGGUCCUUGAAGUUAGUUCAUGGUCUUUCUUGGGUAAUCUUUUAAUCCUUCAAUAACUCUAUCCUAAAGUUCCUAUUUAUUGCCAUGACUUUACCCAUUGUGCCUUUUGGGUACAAGUUCAUGGCGUCCCGUUGGUUAGGAUUACUGAGAAUGUGAUGUUAGAAGUGACUUCUAAGUUCGGGACAGUGCUGAAAUUGUCAUUAAGAGGAAAAGGGGGAAGCCCGUGUAAGGUAGGAAGAGGUAGAGUCCUUAUUGAUCUUGUAAACUUGAGGAUGACCAAUUGCGGGUUAAUUUCAAGUAUGAAUGACUCUCGCUUUUUUGCUACUCAUGCGGGAAAAUUGGUCACUGCACAAUUAGUUGCAAGGAAGUUCUGUACAAAAAAUCAGGCUUGGAGGAAAAAAUUGCUGGAAAUUUUGGCUAUGGGCUAAAAGCUUAAGCGCACAAGACAAGCCCAUUCUGGAAGCUAUUCUAUGGGACUGAUUUCCCAAAGAUAGAGAAGGAUGAGAUUAUACCAGAAACUCCACUGCAAACAGAUAUUCCAAAGAGUACACAACCAGCUGAGGUUGAAAUGGUACAAGAACCAAACCCAUGUACAUUCAGUAAGUUGAAAAAUUGAAUUAAACUGGGAAAGAAAAAGCUGAUGUGAUCAAGGCUACUAGGGGUAAAAGAAAUCAAGAAACGCAGCUACUGCUUAUUGAUUCCCCAUGAACCGAGAUGAUGAAUGAGGAGCUAAUCAAAUCCUCCAAGAAAAGCCGAAAGGAUAAAAAAAAAAACUCCAGCAUCGAAGAAAAUGAGAAAAUACAAGCUUUAUGACUCCCAAGGGGUUGAACCAUUUGUUCUCGGUGAAUCCAAGUUACUUGAGACUCCUAUUAUGAUUGAGGGUGGAAUGAAGGAAUGGGUUUUACUGGCUAGCCCUAAUAAGCCACCGGGAGAUGUAUGAAUAUCGUGAGCUAGGAUUAUCUAGGGUUUGGGCACACCUCCAACAUUCCAAGCAAUUCGGGUCCUUAUGGCUCGGGAAAGACCAAUGUGAUGUUUCUAAUGGAAACGAAGAAUAAGGAGGAAGUAGUGAUUCAUAUAAGACAUCAUCUCAAUUUUUCACAUUUAAUAGGAGUUAAUCCAGUAGGUAUUGCUGGAGGGUUAGCAAUUUUAUGGAAUGGGGAGUCACUAAUAAAGGUAGUGUCCGUGAGUCGGGAUUUCAUUGAUCUUGUUUGCACUUGCCAAAGUAGUGGCACAAUUAUGAGGCUCGCCUUUAUACAUGCUUCAACGAAUUUUCGAGAGAGGAGGAUGCCACGGGAGAAUGAGAAACAUUCAUUCAUCAAAUUCCCUCCCUUAGGUUUGUAUGGGGGAUUUUAACGAGAUAUUAUACCAUUGGGACAAAGUCAGGAAAAGAGGGGCAUACCACUAAAGGUUAACUGCUUUUCGAGAAAUCUUAAAUGAAUGCUCCUUGAUGGAUAUUGAAAGUAAAGGACGUGCGUUUACUUGGACUAAAAAUAGGGAAGGAGGCUCUAAUGAAGAAAUGGCUUGAUAGAGCACUUUGCACUAUAGAAUGGAGAGUCUUGUUUCCAAAUGCCGAAGCCUUUGCAUUGCAAGCCAUAGGCUCCAACCACAGCCCAAUUCUUCUGUCCUUGGAACCCAUAAUUAGGAAAAGAAGCAAUGCCUUCAAAUUUGAAGCUUUUUGGUUAGAAAACAAGGGGUACAUGGAGUUGGUUGGAAAGGUGUGGCAUGAUCUAUUGUGGAAGAAUGAGGGCUUGGCGCACAAACUUAAAGUAAUAACUGGGAAACUACAAGCUUGGAGCAAAAGGAGUUUUUCCAACGCUUCUCGCCAAAUUGAAGCUUUGAAAAGAGAUAUGAUUGAAUAGGUAAACAGGGGCUUAGAAAACUCAAGUGGCGAAGCAACGCAACUUAUAUCUAAAUCCCAUCAAUUAUAUCUAAGGAGAAAACAAAAACUUUAAAAUCCCAUCAAUUAUAUCUAAGGUCACAUAAAUAAGAACUGUGAUGCAGUGACUACUUGGCCCAACACUGACAUUUAUUACACUGUAGCUCAUUUCUUGAUUAAGCCUAGUUUGCAUAUGGUAUUACCCAUCUCUAUAUUGUGUCUUUAUAGGCAAUAGUAUGAGCAUUGUGGUAUCACAAUAUGUGACAUCGACAUGGCAAAUUAAAACUUUGAAUCAUUUUGCAGUUGUCUGCUUGAUCAGUUAACAGCUCCCGGAGCUCAUUUAACGACCUUAUGGAUGUACGCAAAUUGUACACUUAGCUAAAUCCAAACCCACAAGAACCCGAAGACAACUCUCAAAAUCGCUUACCAGUACCAACACCAAUCACAACAAAAAUGCACAUGAAGCUACAUGGAACGAAAAUGAACAUUCCAGAAGAACAUGCACCUAAGGCUUUAGGCUAUCGGGAUUUGAAUGAUCAAUCAUCUCGACUAUACCACUGAUCCGUAACUGCUCCCUAGAGUCGAUAAAGUACCGACAUAUCUAAAGAGAGGAAAUCAAGUUCUAACAUAACCCCUACACACAUUGUGGCAGAACAAGAAAACGAUACCAUCCUCGCCAGCCACACCCAUCAAUUUGCCAUUGCAACCACGAAAAAUAAAUGAACAUAAAAAAUCCAACUUAUAUCUAAAUUCCAUCAAUUAUAUCUAAACAAGUUAGCAGUAGUUUUGUAGCAUAGAUUAAAAAAAAAAAAAAACUCCCGAAAAUAUUAUGACAUAGCAUACAUCCCUCAAAUAACGAUUACCUCAGCUAGCGGGUUGUGUUUGAGCUCUUCGACCGACAGAAUGCAAGCCGAAUUAAAGCAAUCAGUCCUCAUAAUUCAAAAAGUAUUUUCUGCAAAAAGCAUUUUCCGUUUCGGGUGCUGCAAAUAUGACAUACACGGUCUUAAAGCAUAAAUGGAGGAAAUGGAGAUCGUCCUCUGCUUUCACUGUAUGAACGGAUGGCCGUCCAAUGCCUGAAGAGGAUAUCAACAAUAAACGAAUAGAAUCAUUCGAUAUUUCUCUAAUCUUACACUAGCUCGGAAAAAAAAUUAUAAAUCCGUACCCUCUAAAGGAAGGCUCACGGGCACACUUAAACGACUUUGAGCCGAGCUGAGCAUGGAGGGUAGAGCAGUCGCUUCUCGAUUCUGCAAGAACAAGCGAGCUUCCAAGUGCUUUCUCCACCAAAACAAAGAUGCAAACGUAAAAACCCGGUAAAUAAAAUCGAACCUAAAAAGAGGGACUUGCGGUUGCAGAUUUAGGGUCUUCUCGAGGGACGGCUUUGAGCAGAGUGGAAAGCAAGCCGUCAACGGAAGAUUAGACAAGAGGACGGGGCGAUUGCUUCUCGGUCGCGAGUGGAGAGGGACGAAGAGAGCCCAGUGAAAUCGGCCGUCGGGAAGAGAGAGGCCGCAGGGGUGCUUCAAGAGAAUGCAGUCCAGAGGAGAGCAUCGGAGGACGAGGAAGAGAGAGCUGGUAAAGACCAGAGAGAAGAUAAAAGAGAAGAGAGACCGCUCUGCCCUUUGCCCGCGCGUUGAGUUUAAAUUGGGAUGACGUGGACCAUGUCCAGACAGCUGUCAAGUGCAGAAUGGUUCAAAGCAAAAAUGACGUGGCACUAUUAAAGGUGCCUAAUUUUUUCUUGGGGAAGCUUCUGCCGGGUGGAUUGUCACAGGGUGGGCCCCCAAAAUAAUUUACAGAUGUGGAAAAUGAAAAAUUGAUGAAUAAGCGCAAUGUCUUAUAUAAUUUGAUAAGAGAGCAGAUAUCUAAUCUCAUAUAUUAUAAGUGAAAUUAGAGUAUUAUGGUAUAUGCCUUGACAAAUUAGUUUCCAUGUCAGCCUUUCCUUCAUAAAUCGUCAUUCGUUUCGUUUUCCCUCUCAUCCCUGAGGACUUCCAAAUCAGUGGGGGGGGGGGGGUGGAAUCCAUUGUUUCGCUCCCUGUCGAGAGAACUCAGCAACUUUGCUCAUGGAAGACUGCGAAGUUCUCGCGAGCGCCAUGAGGUGGAGGUGGAGGAGCGAAUUCGAUGCUUCUCUAAAAGACGGCUGAUGGGAGGCAUCUGAAGAAAUACAAGUCAUCGCUUGUCAUGUUGGAAGACGCCAUCACGAAGCUACUGCAUUGGAGUGGAGAGGAGAUCCGAUCAUUUCCGUAGUGCUGGUCAGAUAUUUGAUGAAACGCGGAAGUGGAGUAGAAACCGGGGUGCAUUAAUCUGAAAUGGGCGUGCUGCUUUUGGCUUUGAUUUAUUUGGGUAUAGAUAAAGAAAACAACGAGAAAUACAACAUUGCAUUUUGCACGUCCCAGUCUCCUACAUUUUUGUUUCUACUAGUAUCCCUGUCUCCUACAUGUAAAGGCUGCAAGAUAUAAUUUAAAGAUUCUUUCAUGUGUGCUCACAUCAGUCUUUGUCUUUGAACAAUAGCGAUGAAAUUGCUGGAUGUAGCAAGAAAGCAUAUGACCAUAUGCCAAUUAGUGACGCACGGCAAAUGUUGCUCUACUCCUAUGACCAAGAACUCGCGGUAUAUAUCAGGGAGGUGAAUAUUAUGAGAGGAUUUUGGCUUUCUCUACCUGGAAUUCUGUUCUCGUUUGACUAAUUAAUUCAAAAAGACAAUAUUCACUCCAGUAUCAGUUCAGAUCUUUGAAGGAUCUCAUAAAAUUUCUUCUAUCGAGUUGCCAAUCUAUGUCCUCUUCAACUAUUGUGAUUGUUUUUUUUUCUCUAGAAUCACAGACUGAUGUUAAACUUACACUCACCACAUCUAUGUGUCAUCUGGCCCUUGCUGUAACUAUGCUGAGUUCACACUUUGCAAGGUGUGCUCAGUAUAGAAACCUCGUGCUUGAAAAAGUGCUUCAAAGUGUGAAGAAUUAAUCCACAUAAAAGUUGUAUUGUGGAGCCUGAACAAUUACAUAUGUUAUAUGUGACAUCCCGAUUUUCCAAUUCUAUUUUUCAAUAAAUUGAGACGGGCAUUUCAUUGGCACGCAUAUAAUUAUUUUCCUUGAGUCGGCCACUCAUGUGAAAACUAAUCUAUCGGGUGAAGCCGUUAAGAGUUUCUAAUGCAUCAGACUCGAGAAUUUGACCAGAAUGCGACAUUUCGACCGAGCUAAUCUGCAAGGGUCAUUACGGCACAAUUAAAAAUCGAUUAGAGAUCGAAGAUAGGUCGACUCGACUGAGGCAUGUGAUCAGGUGUGGGUGAUUCCACCAGAUUGCACAAUUCUUGUCGAUCGGCACUGGACCGACUUUUCUAUCGAUUUGGUACCCUGUGUUCGUAUUUGAAACCUUGAGAUUACCCCGACAACCGAAAGUCGCCAAUAUUUCAAAGAUGUACAUUGUGGCUUGAGAUGAUCAACCACAGGUUAAAUGCAUGAAAAUUUCUAAAGGCUAUCUGGUAGGUUGGGCCGUGCUAAUAUCGUAUCAAAGUGAAAUUAACCGUGAAAUUGAUACCAAAUUGAGAAAUUGGAAGUUAGAGUGUGUCACAAAUCAUUUCAGGAUCAUUGACUUAUCUUUGGAAAAAUUUUCAUGUAAUCAGAAUUUUUCAGAAAUUAAAUCAGAGAAUGGUUAUUUUGGCUCGAGAAAUUAGUAGGCCCGCCUUUGGUCUUGCUUUUGGGACUUAAGUUGGUUUUACGGACAAGUGAAGAUGUGAAUUGAAGUGUAGUGACAUUAGAUUAAUUUUAUGGACUUUAAUUGGAUUCAAUUAGAAGAGAAUUGAAUGAAAAUUUAAAGAAAUUGGAUGUACGAGAAUUGGACCCCGGCGAAAAAUGAAAGUGCAACCAUUGGAAAAAGGUUGUGGGAGUUUUGAGUGAGUGGAGUAUGACAUCAUCCAUGAGGUCAUGGUGGGCCAUUUUUGUGGGAUUAAAGAAAAAGAAAAAGAAAAUGAGGUGGUCCCUCUCCUUUUCUCUCCUUCCUCUCUCCCUUCCGUUGGUUUCUCCUCCAUCUUCAUUGUGCGAAGACUAGAAAAUUUGCAAAGGAGAAGCCGGAGCAGCCCUUCGCCGCCCGCUCAGCCGCUCGUCGCCGGCCGUCCGCACUCACCCGUCGCCGAAGCUUGCCGCUGCCGCCGUCAUCCGCGCGAAGCUCGCGAACAGCUCCGCCCGCUUCGCCCAGCCCGCGCUAGCCCACACCGCCGUCGCCCUCCGUCAGCUAAGCCACCAGCCACCGCCGUGGGCCACCGCCGAAGCUACCGCCUCAUCCGCUCGAGCUGCCUCCGCCCAUUCCGACGCCGGAUCCACCCUUCUCAGCCCCAAAGCAGUUAGGGGUGUGCAUGGUCUGGGCGAGCGGUUCCCGACCUAGAACCGGGAACCGCCUGUUAAGGACCGAUUCCGAAAAAUUGGAACCAAGAUCCACCCGUUUGUUGCAUGGAUUCACCUGAGAACCGGACCGUCGGUCCGGUCCAAUUCCCGGGUGGAUCCAUGGAACCGAUCUUGACGCGAAACAAUUUUGGUUUUCAACAUAAAACGAUUACGUGACAUCAAAGAAAGCCAAAGAAAGAAAAACCAAAUUUAAGUAUGUGGAGAUGUGGACGACGGGAGAAGUAAACGCAAUGAAAUGGUGAUAGGAUUAAGAGCCGAAGACGAAGAGAGUGAGAUGAGAUCUAGGAUUUCUUUUAGUAAUUUUUUUUUUUAAUAUUAAAAAUGUUCCGGCCCGGUCCGGGUGGGCGGGCGGGCGGGCGGAUCCGCCCAUGGAACCGGGAACCGGACCGGUGGGUACCGGUUCUCAUAAAUUGGAACCGGGAAUUGGACCGGUUCCCUCAAGAACCGCCGGUUCCGGACGGUUCUGGUCCGGUUUCGGGCGGUCCAGGCGGUUCCCGGGUAUUUUGCACACCCCUAAAAGCAGUGGCUGGAAAAAUAGGUAUGGCAGCGGACGUUUGGCCCAUUUUGGCCGCCUUCCCAAGCUCGAAUGCUCGGCCCGCCUUGAGGAAGUCGUCCUCGUCGUUUUGGUCCCUUCGGCUCGCUAAUCUAGUGAGUUUGGCUCGCUAAUCUAGUGAGUUUAGCUCACUAAACCUCGCUUAGAGGGUUAAUUAUGCUUAGGGUGUUCUUAGUUUAAGCUAAGUAAGCUUAGGUGAUUAGUUUAAUUUAUUUAAUUGCGAAUUAGAUUAAGAUGUUGGUUUAAUUUAAAGUAUGUUUAGUUAAGGUUAAAUGGAGGUUUAUAUUAGUAUAAUGGUGAUUUGACUCAAAUGAAUUACUUUUGGAUUAAAUAAAUAUUUCGAAAUUGUUUAAUAAUUUAAUAAUAUUUUAUUAUUCGAAAUUAUUAAAAUAUUAUUAUUUAAUUAAUUUCGGAAUAAAAUUAACUAUUUAAUAAAUUCCGAAAUUAUUUCGGGACCUUAUUUUCUCAGAAUUUUGCGCUGAUCGCUGCUGUGUAUUCGGAUUUUGAAAUUGAUGGUUGGAUAUUAUAAAUUGAGUGUGGAUCGUGAAAGAUAUGGAUAUUAUUAUUUAAUUAAUUUUCGGAAUAAAUUUAAUUAUUUAAUAAAUUCUGAAAAUUAUUUUGGAACCUUAUUCUCUUAGAAUUUCGUGUUGAUCGCCACUCUGCAUUUAGAAGUUGAGUUUGGUGAAUGGAUGUGGCAAAUUGAGUGUUGAUUGUGAUAAAUAGGGAUUUUAUUCAUAAAAACCCAAGUGUCGAGUUUUGAUGCAAAAAUUGGAUUUUAAUGAUUAUAUUAAAUAGUGGGGUUUGAAAAAUUGAGAUAUUGGCUUUCUGGUUCGAAAUUAGCGUGCCCCCGCACACGUGAAUAAUUUCUUGAAUAUUUUUAAUAUGAAGAAAAAUGGCCGGGAUCACUAUUUUAAGUGGAAGUAUAGAGUGAAAUGCAAAGUGUCCUAGGGCCGAGUAUGCUUUGGCAGUGUGAUAACUAAGAGGAAUCGUCAUGGGCUGUUGAGCCGAACUUGCCCCUAUAUGGGAUGCCCACGCGGUGGAUGCGGGUCGCAGUUGAUUCUGGGCCCAUGGUCCUUCGGGAACGCCGUCGAUGUACUGACGAAGCCGCGCUCCAAGGUGGGGAGGCGAUGCCUGGCUAUGUGUCAGUAGAUAGCCGAACCGCGAGUAGGCUAUGCCCUUGUGUGGCAGUGAAUAAUAAUUGGAAUGCGUGGUGAGUGCGAUUGUGAUUUAUAUGAAAGUGAUGGUGUUCCAAUUGUUUGAAUUAUUAUUACUACCUGAGAUUGUGUGAUUCAAAUUGUGCUAAUCUGCAUGAAUGAAUUAAGACGAGGUAAGUCUUCUGUGUGACGCGGUUAGGCCACCCGGGGCGUAUUUUCUUUCUAAUAGGGUUUAGGGGGUUGAACUUACUGAGACAUUGUCUCUUCCCGGUUUGGGGAUUACAAGUUCAGAUCCCUAGUGGACAAAGCGGCUAGAUAGCUUUGGUUGGCCUUGAGGAGUUGCAGAGCUGAAGUCAUAAUGAUUGGAGAACGUGUCCGACUUGUAGGUCGUAGGACAGUUCAUUUUUAAGAGCCGGUCUUUUGUAGACUUUUGGCCGUAGACCUAUGUUUGUAAUUCUGUUGAAUUAUGAAAGUGUUAUGUUGUAAUUUUGCUUCCUGCUUUUCUAUCCCGUAUUUUAUUGUCAGGGGUUUUAUAAUACGUUCCGCUUGCGCAAUAAUAAAUAAAUAGGGUCGGCGACACUACCUAGGAAUGUCGCAUUUGCAUGACCAUGAUGGGAUGUUGGCGUGCUCGAGGUUCGGGGCGUGACAUUAUAUGGUCAAAUGCAGGAGCAUCUCAAUUGGCAAAUCAAGAGCGGCUUCGUAUAUUUUCAAAAGUGAAGAAAUCUGUAUCUUUGAAGGAAAUUCCUUCGUGGCAGCUUAUCAAUCAGACAUUGAGUUACACAAGAGAGUUGGAGCGGAUAUUGUAGGACCUGCCACAGUGCAUGGUGAUUUGCACUGGUAUUUACACACUUUGAAGAUUACUUAUUUUGCGCUAAUGGCAUCUCAUCCCUUUUGCCCAUUUCGAGGAAUUUGAUAUUUAUUUUUUAAGUCUAUAACUUUAUUUGAUCAUUGUGUUGGAUUUUAUCUCAGCAAUCAUGUUAGUACUCAUAUCCAUCAUAUUGUUGAGCGCAAUUAUGUAUUUGGUCGGAAGGAUAUUUUCCUUGUCUAACCAGCUCGAAGCAGAAACUUGAAUCAAUGUUGUGACAUGGAGAAUGUGUAGUUUCUCGUAAUCAAUCUAAUACCGUGAAUAGACAUAGAUACAAUUAGGUUUUAAUAUGUUGUUAUAGUAGAAUCGAAUCUGUGCACACUUGGUGACAUCAAUUGUCAUCGUUGGUCAAAGAGUUGCAAAUCAUUGACGUGGGAAGGCCAACUAGGGCUGCUCGUGUCCAGUUCAGUUUUUAGUUCAGUAAGUUGAAACAGCCACCAGCUGAGGGCUUGUGCUCUUGAUUGAUGAUAUUUCAAUGAGACGGCGUAGCAAAAUCGUAUCAGAAAUUUCUUUUCCCCUUAUAUUUUCCUAACUUCCAGAUUGGCCUCUGUGAGCAUGUGAUCUCGCUUUCUACAUUUGCUGCAUAAGCUCUCAAGACUGAGCAGAAAAUGAAUCUGGGGUUUGCAAUUUGGUAGUCUUCCGUGAUCCAUGAUGUAGCCUUUGCAUGAAAGUCGUCGUCAAUUUGCUUAAUUGAUACUUCUGGCGGAUCCGGAAAGAACGAGAGGAAGAAUUUAAUGGGUGGGUGUCCAACAGUGGUCCCCCUCUUCUAAAUCAUGGUUUUAUGAUGAAUUGACUCCUUGUCGUUGGGAUGUGACCAUGAUUGAGGACCUCAUCAUACCGUAUGAUGAUGUAAUAACGAACGUCUGAUAAGGAAUUCCCAACCACCCAAUGUUUCCAAUUUCUGUGACUUAUUUUCUUGUUUAUUUCAUUCCAUUUUAUUUCAAAUUAUCGUAGGCUUUUCUUGUUUCUUUUCAAGUAGGCCCUUCUACUCCACAGUGCACGUCUUGUUUCCAUCUUUCCAUACAGUCCUACUCGAUCUUCAAGGAGACGAUAUUAAUGAAAAGUUGGCAAGUGCAAAGAUUUUUCCACCUCAUUUUGAACUUUGGGAAACUGCAUUUUCAUUGGAUUUGCAUGCACAAUGGACCACUAGCGAAUGCUUGAGACCUAUAUAGAGGAUGUACGACAUAAGUUAAGAGUUGGUUUAUGGGGAGAAAGAUUAAAUGUCAUUCAGUUGCUGAAUUGAAUGUGUAAGCCCCACAUCACCUGACUUCCUAAAAAAGUCGAUUGUAUCUUAAUGCAGUGGGCCUCAAUAGAUGAAAAUACUCGAGCUAACAGAAACAGACAGCUGAUAUAUGUCGGCUCUGUAGAGGAUCGACUCCUGUGUAGCACCAAAUGCCAAACCGACAGGGCAUCUUUCACACUAGAAGGAGAUCAGUUUUUUUGGUGGACGACAGUGAGUGAAAAUGAUUGCAUUACCCAUCAUCAAGAAUAGAUUUUACACUUGAUCUUCACAUAAGAAAAACUCAUAAAACCUCCUCUUGCAUCAUACUUCGCAUAGAUAUGGAGGAAUGGGAUAACUCUGAGCCAAAUGAAUGGGAGCAGCAAUUGGAUCAGCAGGAAUCUACCUUUUAUGAUGGAUAUGUAAAACCUUAAGACGAAGAAUCAUUGGGAUUUUACCAUUAUUAGACGUCUCACUUUGGCAGUUUUCUGUUUAGGUGUGCGUUGCUUUCAACACUUAUUCUCAAAGAACUUAGCGUCUUUAUUUUCCUUGUUAGUACAGAGUAGUCUUCAUCAUACCCCAAUUAUUACUCUCCCCAACAGAGACGCUCAAACAAUCUUGUGGCAGAAGCAAAAGGCACAAAUUGCACAAAAAUUAUCUAUAGCCAUCUUCAGCAAGAGUCAUCACUGUCGCACUAUGACACUUGCUGGCGACACAUCUCUGCAAGAUGAUUUUUCUGAUCUCUCUCUCCCCCUCUUCAAUAUCUAAGGUGAAGAUCACUAAUUCUGGUUAUGGCCUUUUGGAUAUCUUUUCUUUUCAUUGCCGUGGAAUGUUAGUGAGCUGAAAGUAGGGUUGGGACUGUGCGGUUGUAGAUAAAAAGGAGGUAAUGUCAGCUUCGUAUUCAUCGCAUGUGCUUUUUGUUCUCCUGCUGAGAUUUUUUCUCUAGUUCUUUUUGGACUUGCGGCUUGGCAAUGCUCUAUGUGAUCUGUGAUUGACAAAACAAGAAGAAAAGUUUGCUUGCAUUGGUAAUAACUGUUGUCAUUAGCAGAUGAAAAACUCUCUGAGCUUUGCAAUAUCUCAGGAUUUUAGCCUCGACUUUGUUGGAAGGAAAUGGUUGAGAUUAGAAUAGAGGAGGAACAUCAAGGAGAAGAAAAUAGGUCUCAUAAUUUGUCAGGACGGUGAAAGAGAAGGUAGCAAGAAAAUGUCCUCUCGGUUAGAAGGAAAAAUAGAACUAGGACGAGAUGGUGUCUUGGAAAUGGAUAAUGACAAUUAGUGCCCGAGGUGUGAAGUUGAAUCUAAUUGCUUCAUCUUCACUGUAACGGAUGAAGAUACUCUGAACUUGAGUAUGAUGGAUGCUUCCCAGUUGCCUUUUUUAGUUUACGCUCCUCAGGAAGCUUUGCAUUAUGAUGAGCAGUAGACUCCAGAAAGAGAGAUUGAACAAUAAGAGCUGUACCCAGAAGAGUACGUGGAGGAGGAACCUGAGGAGGAGGGAUCUGAGGAUGAGCAUGAGGAGAAUUUUGAGGAAGAAGAGCUCGAGGAUGAACCCGAAGCAAAAGAAGAAGAAUCCGAAGAAGAGGAUAAUCCAGAGUAUGACCCGGAUGAAAACUGAGAUCCCAUUCUGUUUGUAAACCUAGGCUGAGAAUUGAUGUGUGAUAGUUCAGCCUUUAAUGAAUAGUAUUGUUAUAUAUAUUAUGCGGUUUGCCCUGUAUAAAAGUGUGGUUAUGCCCUACUUUUCUAUUCAAUUAUUUUAUUAUUUGGGGAUUAUUUUAUGUUUCCAUAUGCGUAUAUAAAUAAAAGGGUCGGCGAUGCGUUCUAGGAUGCUAUUAAUCGAUUAGGUAAGAGAUGGAUACGUGCUUAAGGAUUGGGGCGUGAUACACGUAGUGUAACAACAUGCAGAAAUUAUACACCCAAAGAAAAUCAAGAACAGAUUCACAAUUCAGGAGAUACAUCAAGAGAAAGACACGGCCUGGCAUGGGCAUAGAUGAGUCAGUAAAAGUCCAAACUCACCUGCGUACUUGAUGUCCUUGAGUUCGGACUCGCCUGCAAUGUGCCGUACUUGUUCAUUUCAUUCUUCUUGAAUUCUGAAAAUCAAAAAAGCAAAGGAACACGCGUGCUAAGUUUUGUACCGAGCAUUUACUUGCAAUUAACAGAGAAUUAGAUUAUGUAGGAAUUCAUUGCCAACCUCUAAUAAUCUUCUGCGAUGGACUUAGGCUGAUCGUCUGCUGUUUAUGCUUCUCCCCUAUGGUCUUCUCAUCUCCUUUAAAGAAAGCCAAGUCGAUUAUACGAUAAUACAGGUAGAUGAUGGGCACAACAUUGCAAACGUAUGAGCACGAGUCAUCGAUUUUCAAACCAACGGAGACAUCAGCAUUUAGAAAGACAAAUAUGUAAGAACAGACAAUACCGGAACAAUCAGAUAUGUUGACGAACUUGUUUCUGUGAAGCAGAUUCGUUCGCUUAGGAACUUUAUUUUCACGGCUGCAAGCAUAAGUAUCAUCGAGAGGCUUUUGCCCUCCUUCAGGCUCUCCAACAUCGACCAAAUAAACAUUGAACGUCAGCGUCUCACCAGAGCAAACAACUUCGUCAUUCUUCAAGAUCCUGCAUUCCAACUGCUGGUCACUGUUGUCAUACAGCAUUACCUGUCGAAAAAUCCGAUCAUCAAUCACGGCAUGGCCUAAUCCACUCAGAACAAGCUCAAUCGCGGGGAGCACAACGACCAAAACCACAGAACAGAACAAUCCGCGAGGACAGUCAAAAUCGAAAUCCUUAGCAGCAUCAAGCCGUUGCUAUCUAGCCUGAUCGAGCGAGCUGAAUUCAGGGAAUUAAUUGCCACUGCAGUUUCGACAUGGACUACUAGCCGAUCAAAACCGAAUCAUGUCCCAGCCCAAUCGAAGGUAACCAAAUUCGCCAAUCGAGUUGAGCUGGACAUCAAUGGCGGAGAUGAGUAGCGAGUGAGAGAGAGGGAAGGCACCUUGGCGGAGGAGGAGUGGAGAGAGAGGAAGCCGUCGCGGUAGACCUUGCGCUUCUGCUUGAGGUGCUUCGUGAAGGUGACGUUCCAUUUCGUCGGAGCCUCAUCCAUGGCGGUUUCUGCAUUUGGAGGAUGAUGAUGAAGAAGAAGAAGAAGAAGAAGAAGAAGGUUUUCUAGGGAUUUCGGAGAGCUGCAAGUGAAGCGAUACUGCUUUCGAGAGCUGAAAUGUUAUGGCGGGAAACGAGCUCCAGAGCGCUAAGACGGCCUCCAAGCAUUUUAAGGUUUUUUGGUUGAGCCAUUGAAUUCAUUAUUAUGUGCCAAGUAGGAAUCGUCAAUUGUUUUUUAUUUUCAUUUUUUUUUAUAUCCCUAGACAUUCAAUGCGAGAUUUUCCCACGACUCUCACUCACACAUUUGGUAAGUUUUGGCAUCAAAAUAUGCUCUAUACAAAAGUCGUGACGCUGCUAAUGUACUUAUUCCCGAUUGAAAUGCCUAUUAAAAAAUCUAGCUUCGAUUGCCAAUAUGGCAUCCAGGUUGAAUGUGAAGUGCUUGCAUGAAAUGAAGUGUUUGUUGCAAGGAUAUUCAAAUGAAUGACGUGUUGCUAUCGCGGCAUGGAGCUUUGACUUCCCAAUCAUGUGGACGGGCAUAAAUAGGUCGAGUCAGUAAAUUUGCACUAUACUAAAAUUGGUCAAAACAUAUCAAAAGAAUUGGAUCAUUUUCGACUUUACCCAAAUCCUAUCCGCCUGUCUAACGGACCUACUUUAAUUGUGACUCCUUUAAGUGAAAAUAUAUUUUUGUUAUUCAUUACAGAUAUUUAUGAAUCGUAUAAAAUAGAGUUCAUCACCAAAAACGCCAAAUUUGUGCACUUGUGACCGGUUUAUCUUAGAUUAAUUAUUAGACCAAAAAAAAAAACUUCAAACUAGUAUACCUAUGAAAAAUUUACCCACCAUUAGUUUAUAUUAAAUUUUACAGUCAAAUUACUAAGUUGGGUAUGUCACAAAUAUACUAGUUUGCAGUUUUUCGUAAUAUCAAUAUAAUUUAACAAAAACUAACGGAAUGUACCAAUUUUAGAUUUUUUGUGUUAUAAUAAAAAGUUGAGGUAAAUGUGUCACACCAAUACAAAUUUAGGGUAAAUGUGUUACAUGGGUAUGUGUGUGUAUAUGGGAUUUUAUCACCAAAAAAAAUUAAAGUAAAUAUGCAACAGUAAACAUAAUUUAGAAUUUUUUUUUAUGAUUUUAGAAAGUUGUUGUGACAGUUCGAAUGGCAAAUAAAUCGUGCCCUAUCUCUACCUUGGACGUGCAAGAAGUGCAUCAUCGAUCAGGAGACAACAAACUAAUCCUUGCCAUUAAAUCAAAUUCUUCUCAAAUCGACAAUCGGAUUUUGCCCAAUAACUUUGUCGUGCAAAAUUUCGCAGCGCGGAAAUAAGUUCUUGCAUUAUACUUAGUGAGAUAGUAAGUACAAAGCCAAGACUACAGUCCCUCUCCCUUCCCUUAGGCUUCUCACUGUGAAGCUGGCUAUCAUUGACUAGUAAUUAAAAACAAAAUCCGUUAAUGAAGCUCGAUGGCAUAUUUAGUACAAUGGCUAAUGAGAUAAAACAUCUAAUUGAUAUCUCGUUAUUUGUCUAGAAGAAAUCAUUACACAAGCCAAGUUCAAGCACCGACAAUUACACUAUUUUUAAUUUUAAUAAAUGAAUUUAUUCCAUUGAGGUUCCAUUUUACCAUCGCUUGUUUAAAAAAGUAUUUUACCUUAUUUAAUCCUUUAUCGUCAUGUGACAAUAUGAGCGGAAUUAUAUGAGAAAAGGCAUUUAUUAAUUGAAUUGUAAAUAACAGAACUAAUGAUCAACUUAGUUGAAAGUUACAGCUUUAAUUGUGGGUCUUAAACUUGGGCAACAAGUUAGACCGCUACUUCAAGCUCGGCUUACCCAAUCAUCAUCUCUAAAAUAUAUUGUAUCACAUUUAUACCCAAAGAUAUGUCUUUUCUUUUUUUCAACAAUGAACUGGAAACUAGACUAUUUCUUUCUCAGCCAUUGGGUGUAAUGGCUUUGAAGCUCAUGGAUACGUUAUCAAAAUCCAUCCAUUUUGCAAUUUGACCAUUUUGUUUUUUUCAUUUUCCCUAUCAUCUUGUGGAUUAUUUAUUCGUAAUUCUGAAAAAAAAAAAAUCUUUGACUCCUAUUCAAGUGAGGGUUAUUUUGACUCAGUAGAUAGCAACACAUGUAAUUGAUUGAUGAGAUUUAAAAUUGACGAACAUACAGAGAAAAUUGAAAAAGAAGGAGUGCGCAUAAAUGAUAAAAAGAUGGAUGGUUCUAUAAAAGAAUGCAAGGAUUAAAUUUUUUACUUUUAAUUGAAUCUUUCAAUAAAGUGGACUAGUAAUUUCUGUUUAAAAAAGAAAAAAAAAAAGUAUUGCUCCAAUCUAGCUCAUGCACCUUUCUAGCCUUCCUAGCGAAUUGAUGUUUUGUGGCUUCAAAUUGGUUUGUCGUAGUCAUUUGGAUUAUGUGUCUGCUGAAAGGAUCGAUUCGCUUAAAUCAGAGAGCACAAAUACCAAUUUGGUGAAAAUUUAAUUUCACGUACCAAAUUUAACUAAAAUUUUAGGGUCCAACUAUUAUUUUCCCUCUCGUCCUUGUGGGCUUCAAAGGCGGAACCUCUCUUAUUCCGCUCGCCGGACAGAGAGCUCGUGACUUGCUCGUAGAAGAUACAAAAUUCUCACGGGUUGCGAAGGGACAAGUGAAGGGCAUGCGAGAGGAGGCGACGGUGAAUCCGAUGCUUUUCUCGGUGGACGCUGAUGCGAGACGAGUUGCAAUGAGCGUCACUGCACAUUGGGUUGGAGACACCGUCGUCAAAGUUGGUGCGGAACCGAAGAAGAGGGGAAGAUCCGAGCAUUUUCAAGUGGUGGCCGGGUGCUUGACAAAAUGCCCACGUGGGGAGUUGAAACGGUGUUCGGGCGCAUGAAAUGGAAGCGAUGGGUUGCUCUCGUUUUUGUGGUGUAGUUCUUGCAUUGUGAUGAACGAUGGCGUAGGAUAAAAAUGCCGCGAUUAAGAAAAAGACCAAUAGGCGCAUCCACUGUACAUUAAUUGAAGGGACAAGUACUAUGGAGAAAAAACGACAAAGAAACGGCGAGGCACCUCCUCAGGUUUCUUCUCAUAAUAUCUUCAGCUCUUGUGCUUUGGUCUUUCUUUACAAUUUUUCGUGCAGUUGUCCAUCAAAGGGACCUAGAAAGAUAAAAGAUAAAGACAAGAAACCAAAAGGGACAAAGCAAUUGGUGGUCAGAAACGCGAAGCCAUGAAGCAACCUCUCUCGUUUUCCGACAUUCUCUGUAGUAUUCCUGUAAUACACUCUCCGCUCCAACUGCUCAUUUCUUCUUUAACAAUUGACUACCCUCUCGUGGGCGUUGUUUGCUGCAGAAGUUGUCUGAAUCUUGAAGUAAGGAGGUUUUCCUUUUUCAAAAAAUUUAAUCACUUUUCAAAAUAUUUAAUCAUUUUGAUGAUGAGUUAUAAUUUUUCAGGAUGCGAGAACUGCAAUAACGAAUAUUAAAAAAAUAUAUGAUGCUAUAUUAUUGCUAUUAGUACCAGCCCAUGGGAAACGAAUGUUUUGAUGGCACAUUAAACAAAAUUGCAUCAUUACCUAUAUGUCAUUGUCUAUAAAUAUUUAGUUGUAGAGACUGAUGAUGAUGAUAAUGGCGAGGAUGAAGAUGAUGAGCUCAUUGACCCCAUCCCAGUAUUAUUAUUGAGCAAUAAUCCUCCUGCAUUAUUAUUUCUGGUUGAUCCUAGAAAAAAGUUCCGGCUCAAUCGUAAGAUCGGUAGCGGAUCAUAAGGAGAGGUCUACCUUGGUGGACUGCUUGUUGAUUGGUACUUGAUUUUUGCCCUAUCCAUUGUGAUCUUAGUUUGAUUUUGUUUGGACGAACGAGGAAGUCUCAAUUAAGCUUGUGAUGGCUCUUCUCCCAUUUUUUUUUUUUGGGGGGGGGUCAGACUUCUCCUAGUUAAAUUGACCAUUUUCUUUUUCUAAUUUUUGUACAUUUCUUUUUUUUUAUUAUUGUUGUGGUCAAUGCAUCGGUGUUUUGAUGAUAUAGAAUUCUGAUUUUUUAUUUUUACGUUCUUUCGGGCAACAUGGAUUGUGCUUUGCUCCGUUUCUUUCUUGAGUUGUGCAACUGGCAUAGAUAUUGAUAGGUUCACUUGCUUAUUGCAAGUCGAUGGCGCUAACUUUUAUAUUUCAGAAUUAUUAUUGUUAACAAGUGGAACUUUUUUGGUUUUGUGGCUUUUACAUGCAUGUGAGUAUAUGUUUGAUGCUGUGAUGCAUGAAUUCAUGUCAUGCUUCUGGUAUAAUACGAUUGUAUGCCCAAGUAAAUGCUCCUUUGUCCCUUUGUCCCUUGUUGAGCAUUGACUCUUUGCCUGAAAGAUUACCUAAAAGAAAGAUUGAUAUUUUGCUCGAGACAUGUAUGAAACAACUGAGGCAACUAUAGUAUUCUAGAGAGACCACGCGAUAGACGUUGCGGUCAUGCUUCAAGUGCUUUGUGAAGCUGACUUAAAUAAAAAUUGGAGCUUAUGCUUGUUGCUCCAAGAGUUCGCAAGCUUCAAGACCCAAUAAGCUCCAAGCCAUUUGUGGGGUGCUUUUCUUGCGCAUCCAUGGAUAUAGAAUAUGUAAUUAUCAAUGCAAUAUGCAACUUUCUAAGUGCUUAUUCCUCCUCUCUUCUUUGCAACUUGCGGGCCUAUUGGUUCGGAGCUUGUUAACGCAUGGAAAGUGAAUUUCCAAUUUCCAAGUCAUUCUCCAUCAUAAGCUCCACUGAUCAUAGUCAAGUAGUCCAAUGCCAAUGACCAAGUUGUUGUUUUUGUCGAUGAGGCAGACAAUAGGGAAGCUGCUCAUCGACGAGGCCAAAUUCUUAUGGGGCGUGGCAGGCAAGGUCAAGGACCUGCAAAAGGAGCUAAAGCUGACCCAGUGCUUGCUGAGAGAUGCGGACACUAGAUGAGAGCAUGACCAAGCUGUUGGAGAAUAGGCCGCACAGCUCCGUGACAUUGCCUAUUGUUGGGAUUGUCGGAUUCCCAAAAACCGGAUUCGACACUAAAUCGAACCCCUAAAACGAAUGCGGAAGACAAGCCCGGGAAUUCACAUGUAUCACCGAUCCUAAAGCACACCACGGAAUCGAGCGUACCUUGUUAGCCAAAGAUUGAAUACCAACGCCGAUAAGAGGAAGAGAAACCGAUCCCGUUCCAUCCGAUGACGUCGAUUGGCCUUGAACGGAAGACGGCAUCGCCUUUUGCGCACUUUUUUCUUUUGGAGGGAGAGAGGGAGAGGAACGUACAUUCAUUAUGCCAACAGUUGUCUUCCUCCCUCUCUCUUUCUCCUUUUAUACGUCCCUCCAACAGAAAGGAACGUACCCCUUCAUCCAUGGGCCCUAAUCUUGUGGGCCGGGCUUUUAGGCCCAACAUGGGCGGACGGGCCAACUUAAGGCCCAUCACCUAAAACCAUCAUCUCACACUCGCACAUGGUGGACUAAACAGGAUUCUCUUUACCUCUCUUCAACAUUCAUACCGGUGAAUAAUCCGUGCAACCAGCAUACUUUGAAAGCUUGUUGCCAUACAUCUGUUAGGAAUAUAUAGCAGCUCAUAAUGGGCAUCACACUUUGAGUAGAUUUAGUAUGCACUACCCUAGAUCGAUUGAUCACAUUUAUAUCUCUCUUAAUCUCUUUUAAACAAUGAUAUAUAUAUAUAUAUAUAUAUAUAUAUAUAUAUAUAUAUAUAUAUAUUGUAUUCACAAUUAUGAUUAUCCCAAAGACAGUCAUAAUUGGUUAACCAGUGAAUACAAAACUACAAUGUGAUUCUCCAAAUUCGAUCUUCCUCUUCCCUUCAAACUCUCAAUUUCAGUUUAGCUUGCUUUUCUAGAAAUGUCCCAUUAGAUUGAAUCAACUCAUGACCAUUGGCAACAUCCUAAGAUAGCAAACACUAAAUAAAAAUCUUGAGAAUAAGUAAGAGUCAUGAUGGGACUAAAAAAUUGAUGAACUCUUUUCCUCAAGAGUCACACACGACAUAAAAGUUGAGAUCAAACUUUUGCCACUCUUAUUGAUCGUCUCAUGCAUACAUAGUAUGAAAUACGUAUUACGGUAUUAACUCAUUUCCCAUGGAGCAUAUGUCUACAUUUUCAAUACCGUACAGAUGAUAGUUCAGACAUACCCAAUGUCUAACUUGAGUUCACGUAUCUACUCAUUCAUAAAAUUCAUCAAAACUCACAUCUGGCAUUAUAGACAGAUAAAGUAAAAUAUGUGGGGUAUUUUACUUUCAAACAUAGUACAUAUCAUGUCCUCAUCUUAACACUUAGUUAAGGCGACAUAUAUUUUAAGCUUGAGUUCUCGAUUAUCACCUAGAUAAUAAGUUUAAAAACAGUCUCAUUUUUAUUUAUCACACAGUAAAUAGAGGCAAUUACCCGUGUGAGUGGGCUAAUCUUAUAUCUGUCCGACAUACUUUCUCAACUUAAAGUAAUGCACUGAGCAUUAAGAUGCAUAAAGAUCAAAUAAAGAAUCAUAAGCAUUAAUUAUGAAAACACAAAUUCAUCAAAUGUGAACAUUUAGGGAAUUUACAAUAUUCAGUACAUCAGCCUCUACACAAUUCUAGAGAUUUCAUAUGGCCACAAAACACAUCUCUAGGUAUUGGCUUUGUCAUAGGAUCUGCUACCAUUCUAUGCGUAAUAUGUAUUGUAAGUUCACAUCUUUUCGUGCAAUCAUAUUUUUGAUAAAAUUAUACUUGGUAUCUAUAUGUUUGGUCUUGCCAUGAUAUUUUGGAUCUUUGGUGUACGCUUUUGCUGCUUAGCUAUCACAGUUAACCAACAAUGAAUGUGCAGCACUUCUAAUAACACCUAAAUGAUCCAAUAAUCUCUUAAGCCAAACAUCUUCUUAUAUUGCUGUUAAUAAUGCCACGAACUCAGUUUCCAUCGUGGACAAGGCUAUACACUUUUGUUUCUUACUGCUCCAACAUAUGGUGCCAUUAUUCGGUAAGAAAACAAAUCUAGAGAUAGAUUUUCUUUCAUCUAAAUCUCCUCCAUAAUCAACAUCAAAAUAGCCUUAGAGUCGCAGAUCCUUUCCUUAAUAACUCAGCAUAUAAUCAGCAGUCCCCUUUAGAUACCUUAGUAUUCUCUUAACGGCCUUCCAAUGUGCUGGACCUGGGUUGGAUUGGUAUCUACUCACAAUUCCAACUGCAAAACAUAUGUUAGAUCUUGUACACAUCAUAGCGUAUAUCAAGCUCCCAACAGCACUAGCAUAAGGAACAUAUUUCGUUUGUUCCUUCUCUUGUAGAGUCCUUGGACACAAUCUAUGGCUCAAUCCUUCACCUUUUGCAAUAGGAGUGUCUAUAGGUUUACGAUCCCAUAUCCUUCAAUUUAAAGUUGGAAGAGAACCAACUCUUAACAGUAUUGACAAGCUCCAUAUUGCUUCCAGCAAUUUGUAUAUCAUAAACAUAUAAUGAUAUGAUCACAAAUUGAUCAUUGGAUCUUUUGAUAUAUAUACAAUGAUCCUCAUCUAUCAUUGUAAAAUCAUAUGCCAUUAUGGCAUUAUGAAAACGUAUAUACCAUUGUCUUUGACGACUGCUUAAGGCCAUAUAUCGAUCUCAAAAGUCGACAUACAUUUUCUUCUUGGUCUUUCAUUAUGAAACCAGCAGGUUGUUCCAUAUAUAUUUAUUCCUCUAAUUCUUCGUUGAGGAAAGCAGUCUUUACAUCCAUUUGAUGUAACUCAAGAUUCAUACUAGCCACUAUUGCCAGAAUAAUGCGAAUCGAGGUAAAUCUCACUACAGGAGAAAAUGUUUCUUCAUAAUCAAUUCAUUCAUGUUGAUUAUACCUCUUCGCCACAAUGCGAGCCUUAUGCCUUUCUAUCGAGCCAUUAGUCUUUCGCUUUAUUUUAAGAACCCACUUGUUCCCAAUAGCUUUGCGUCCUUUUGGAAGAUCAACCAGUUCCCAGAUUUGGUUUGAUUUCAUUGAUUCUAUUUCCUCUUCCAUUGCAUGAAUCCAUUUCUCCUUACUAGGGCAAUUCAGAGCCUCAUUAAUAUUUCUUGGCUCAUCCUCAUCUAAUGGAGCAAUCAUAAAAGUUUCCCCUCCAAUGUCAAAACGUCGACGAGGAAUACUUUGGCGACUUGUUCGCCGCAUGGGAGAUUGUACACUUUGCACAUCAUUCCCCAUCAAGCUCCCACUCGGAUUACAUUAUGAUGAUGUCAUCUCAUUAUGUGGUUGUAAUUGAGAAUGAGUUGAAUUGAAUUCAUCAUUUCUCAUAUUACUCCCACUUGGACGAACUACACUAAUAUCAUUAUCUUGAUCCAAGGUUUCAAAUAGGGAGUAAUCUUCCCUUAUUUCGCCCUUCUUAGGAAAUUCACCAUCUAAGAAUGUGACAUCCCGUGAUUCAAAUUCAGUUAUACUCCCACUUUCCUGCUCACCUAUGAACACAUAUCCUUUCGAGUGUUCGGAGUAUUUCAUUAAAAUACUCUUCUUUCCAUCGGGACCCAAUUUCCCAAACUUGUGAGAGGACUCAUGAGUAUAGGCAACACAACCCCAUGGCUUAAGAAAACUUAAGUCCGAUUUUCUACCUGUCCAUAACUCAUAUGGAGUGGAACUAACUGAUUUGGAAGGCACCCGGUUAAGUAUAUAGGCAGCAGUUAACAACGCAUCACUCCAAAAAGUGAUAUGUAAGUUAGCAUGCGCCAUCAUGGACCUAACCAUUUCCAGUAGGGUUCUGUUUCUUCUCUCUGCAACACCAUUUUGUUGAGGAGUAUAUGGAAUAGACAACUAUCUUUCUAUUCCUUUUUCACCACAUAAUUUUAUGAACUCAUCAGAUAAAUAUUCUCGACCUCAAUCGGAUCUCAAUGCUUUUAUUUUCUUGUCUAAUUGAUUUUCUUCCGCGUUCAUAAACCUUUUGAAACAACUUAAUGCUUCAGAUUUAUGAGAAAUCAAAUAGACAUAUCCGAAUCGAGUAUAAUCAUCUAUAAAAGUGAUGAAAUAAACAGCCCAAUGGCUUCCUCUCACAUUCAUUGCACCACAAACGUCAUAAUGGAUUAUAUGCAGAGGAAAUUUAGCUCUUUUACCUUUUCCAAAUGGUUUCCUUGUCAUUUUCCCUACUAGGCAAUGCUUACAUAUGGGCUAAUCGACUUUUUCAAUGUUGCCCAACAAGCCCUCUUUGGCCAGUCUAUUCAUAUGUUGGCCAAUAUGACCAAGUCUAGCAUGCUACACAUUCACAUCAUUAUCAAAUGAAUUAAGAAAUGUGAGAAGGGAAUAACAAACAUUUGCAUUAACAUAGUCAAUAUCUAAUACAAUGAAACCAUCUAGAAAAUAACCACAAGCAUAGUAGUUUGUAUCCAAAUACAAAUCUACACCUCUAUUAUGGAAGUUCAUAUAAAAAACAAGCUUAACCAACACCAAAACAGACACUAAAUUUCGACGAAUCUCCGGAGCAUAUAGAAUAUCAUGUAGGAACAAGGUGCGUCCACCACGCAUGUUCAAUUGGCAGGUGCCAAUCCCUUUAACUUCAUCUCUGGAGUUAUAUCCUACAUAGAUCCACUUAGUUCCAGUUGGUACUCGUCGGAAUUCCACGAAGGAUUCUCUAUCCUUCGCUACAUGGUCUGUCGAUCUUGAAUCUUUUUCGGCUCACAACAGUUGCGAGCAUAGUGACCUUUCUUGUCACAAUUAUAACACCUCACCCUUGACAUUUUCUUCACUUGAGGACAUUUUCCUCUCUUGUGUUGAUUAACUCUUGAUUUCUUGCAAUAAGGACUUGAUCCUUUGCAUUCCCACAUAUUGAACGAAUCAAUACACUUGCGCUUAGAGCUCAAAGCCCUUUCCGAGCUAGAACUUGCAUUGCAAAUACCUAUUUUCGGCUCAAAUGCCAUUAUGCGGUCCUCUACUAGCUCAAGGUAGCGCACGGCAUCCUCAAGAUCUUCCAUAACAUGGUCAAGAGCUUCUAGUGAUUCUUGCUUUUCCAGCAUAUAUUGAAUCUUCAUAUUCAAUAUUUCACAAUUGUUGCCGUUCAUAUCAGCAAUUACGUUCUUAGUUGUUGAAACCAUCGAUCUGAACACAUCAGACAUAUAUGCAUGAACAAUUAAUGCCUAUCAUUUAUGCAUCCACUUUGCACAAACCCAUCAUAUCAAUGAACAAUUUCAAGUAAGGUUUCAGAAUCAAAAGGUCACUAUGUUUCCAAUCAUCCUCCAAAAAUCCUAACUUAAAACUAUUAUUAAUAUAAUUGUCUUAUGCAAAAUAAAUUCUAUGAAGUUACAAAAACUUCUAUGAACUACCUACAGUAGUCAACAAUAACAGAAAGCAAAUAAUAUUUGACAUCCAAUAGAAUAAUAAUGCUUUCACAUAAUACAAUUAUCCAUUACACUAAGUAAUAUACACAGAGGAAAAUAUCAACAUAGAAAGAGAUAUUUACACCCAAAAACAUCUCAAAUUAAUCUAAGAAAUAAAUAGGGAAUGUCCAUGCUAAUCUAUCAGUCAAAAUAUCUGAGAAAUUUGAAGGCAUAUUUGCCAAUCAUGGAAAAACUUUUGGAGAGCUUUCAUGUCGCCUCUAAGGCGCAUUGACUUUGCGCCAUGUGACGCUCAAUCUAAGGGUUGAAGUUUUGGUUAACUCAAUCCUAUAGUACUCUCUUACAAAAGCUACCACUAGCCUCCUAUAACCCGGGACCACGUUGACCUCCCAUAGCCGAUCUAACACUGCUUGCCAUUCAAGUGGAAGAGUGUUCAUCAAAGCCGGCACAUUCUCAAAAUCCGGCAUAAGAUAACCAUUCCAGAUGAUUUCUUGUAUCAUAUGAUUGACACUGACCACAUGUGAUACUAAAUCACCGUCAUGCCACCAAUAAUCAGCUAACUCUGUCAUCAGCCUUUUAAGUCUUGCUCUUCCUUCGUCCGUUCUCGGGAUUGUAGGUAUCUAUGCAUAACGCAUCAUAGUUCCUACAACAAAUGCAGAACUAAAAAUGGAUCACUUAUAAUCCAUAAUAAAUAUAAUGGAAAAUACAUAAUUUUCCAUGAUUCUAAAAAAAAAAAUGGAUUACCUCUAACCCACACAGACAUAAUUGAAAAAAAAAACAAAUUCCUUUUUUUUUUGUCAACGGUCAACGGUCGUCGGUCAUCGGUCAACAGGUCAAUGGGUCGGGUCAAUGGACGGCGGGACGGACCGGUCGGGCCGGUCAGACUGGUCGGCCCGGUCGGCCCGGUCAGACUGGUCGGCCCGAUCGGGCCGGGUCGGAUGAACCGACCAGCACGUGUUGCAUGCGUGCAUGGGCUGACGUCACGCAGACGUCAGUCGGCGCGUGCGCGGCACGUGCUAGGCUUCCAUGCAUGUCGAGUCGCCGGCCGGCCAGCAACUGUCGCUGGCAAUGACGUCAUUGAUGACGUCAUCCCAGCGGUUACUGACCGUUGGAUGACGUCAUCACGCGUCGGUUCGCCGACUAGCGCGUGCCGGUUCGCCGGCCGGAGGCGUCACGCACGUGCCGGUUCACCGACCGAUGCGUGUGGCGCACACGCUGGCCGAGCCAGCGCUUCCGACUCGUGGCGCCCACGCGCAGCGGCUUCUAGCCACGCGUAUGGGCGCGUGCGGCGUCGCCCGGCGGCGGUCGACCCGUCGACGGACUCGUCUCGAUGAGCUCUUUCACCCUAUGCCAUCAGAAAUUGAUUUCGACUUAUGGAAACUCGAAAAAAAAAAUGGAUGAACAGUGCUCGGGUGUCGGGAUUUUUUGCCCCGAUCGAUUUCGGCCGAAUAAUUCCGCGAAAAAUCAAUCAAAAAUCAUUCAUAAACAUGAAAAGGGUCGGGAAAAACAUAAACUCGGGCUCUAAUACUAAUGUUGGGAUUGUCGGAUUCCCAAAAAUCGGAUUCGACACUAAAUCGAACCCCUAAAACGAAUGCGGAAGACAAGCCCGGGAAUUCACAUGUAUCACCGAUCCUAAAGCACACCACGGAAUCGAGCGUACCUUGUUAGCCACAGAUUGAACACCAACGCCGAUAAGAGGAAGAGAAACCGAUCCCGUUCCAUCCGAUGACGUCAAUUGGCCUUGAAGGGAAGACGGCGUCGCCUUUUGCACACUUUUUUCUUUUGAAGGGAGAGAGGGAGAGGAACGUACGUUCAUUAUGCCAACAGUUGUCUUCCUCCCUCUCUCUUUCUCCUUUUAUACGUCCCUCCAACAGAAAGGAACGUACCCCUUCAUCCAUGGGCCUUAAUCUUGUGGGCCAGGCUUUUAGGCCCAACAUGGGCGGACGGGCCAACUUAAGGCCCAUCACCUAAAACCAUCACCUAUGAUGCCUAGGAUGUCAUAGAGUGAUACAUCCUCAAAGUCAUGCUGAAGAAGGACACAACAUAAUCAAAGCAUAUGCUUGCUUCGUGGCAAAGUGCACGAGCAUGCAGGUUCAUGUGGCGAGGACAGAAAUUGAGGGCUUAAAAUCCAACAUGUCCAAUUUGAGAAUUAGUAUGCAGUGUCAUGGAAUACAAUCUGUGAAUGAGGACGAACGCCAUGCCAUUCGAUGUAUUUCCAGUGAUCUUCAACCUAUUGAGGUACACUUUAUGAUGCAAAGAAACUGAGAUAUGGGUCUAUCCAAUUUCCUUUGUCCCCUGUUCUUCUUAGUUCUUGUCCAAGAACUUGUAUAACUUGAUGUCCUUUAUCAACUAACGUAUGCUAAGCAAGGCCUUGAAGAGAUGUUUUAGGUAAUUUGUCACGAGUGUACUAAUUUAGGGUUUAUGUGAUUAAAAAAUUAGAUCGAGAUCACAAGUGUACCAUUUUAAAUUUUUUUGUUAUCAAAAAAUUAAUUUUGGAUAAAUUCAUCACAAAUGUACCGGUUUGGUUUUUUUUUUUUUGUGUUGGAAGAACCGCUUUGACCGAUAGCCGCCACGUAAACCCCUAGGUGUCGCUAGCAGGGAAACCACCAUCCUGGCGCCACGCAUCAAUCACCUAAUAGCUCGUCAGUCUCUUUGCAACUUGCGUCGCAAAGGCUUCGAACUCUUAACCUUCCCUCAAAGGACUGAAGCCUACUUAGCGAAGCCACCACGGCCGACGGUCCAGUUUGGGGUUUUUUGUAAUAUUAAAUUGUCAACAAAUUGGAAUAGUAUUUCUUGAGAAAAAAAAAAAGAGAGAAGAAGAUUGGCUCCAAUCUAGCUCUUGCACCUUAAAUUAAAGAGAACAAAGACCAAUUCGAUCGAAAUUAAAUUUCAAAGAUCAAAUUGAACAAUGAUUUUAGAAUUUAGGGACCAACUUUGAUAUCACCUUCCCGUUUAAAUCUGAAGCCCAUUGGCCAAGUGAACUUUUAGAAUUAGAUGCUACUAAACACAUGCAUGUCCACCUUCCUUUCGCGCAUAUAACUCUUAACAAGACAUUGAAGUCUCGUGAAAGCUGCAUUAUCAUAGAACACUGUCAUUCCGGAAUUUACUCAUUUUGUUCGUUUCAUUUCCCCUUUCAUCCUUGUGAGCUUCGAUGUCAGAAUCUCUUAUUCCACUCGCUGUAGAGAAAUCUCACACUCGCUCGUAGAAGAUGCGAAACUCUUGCGGGUUUGGCGAGGGGACAAGCGAAGGGCACGCGAGAGGUGGCACAAAUCCAAUGCUUCUCGAAAGACGCUGAUACAAGACUAGACGAAGUGGGAGUCAUUCCUCGUGGCGUUGCAGAUGUCAUCGUCAAAGUCGUUGCUAAACCAAAGAUGAGGGAAGAUCCGAGCAUAUUUUUCAAAUGCUGGCCAGGUGGUUGACAAAAUGCCCAUGUGAGUUGAAAUCUACACAGCGAAAUGGGACUGUAUGCACUUAUGGAAUUGGGAGCAAAGCAGGUUGCAGCCCUAAAGUCGACGAGCAAUAGCAGAACUAGGCCCUUCAUUUAAAGCUUUAGGGAGACAGAUUCGAACACGUGAAUAAUGGGCUUUUGUUCAUUUGCCAUCCCAUGGCCCAAGAGAAUAUGGGCAGGUAAAAAUGCAUCAGUCCUCUACCCUUUUUCUUCAAAAAAGUUCGAUCAAAUCGAAUCUCCAACAAGCAAAUAAUUCACAAAUUUGAUUCGAUUUUAAAGAAUUGAGAUCCAGCUGAAUUAAUCGAAAGGCUUUAAGAUCUUUUCAACUCGAUUAAUCAACCCCAAUUGAAGCAUAUCCUUCUGGAUUGUUUCUCAAUCAGAGAAGUAGUGCCAAACGAAAGAACAAAAAGGGACCGGAGAGAGACUAAUAGCGCAAACCAGGGACAGCAGUACAUCACUGUCGUGGACCAAGAAGUAACCUUAUCGCAUUUUCAGAAUAUGCUCGAAGCAUAUACCUUCGAAUUGUUAAAAGCUCUAUCUCACACAGCCAUAAUUAUUACUUUGCACCGGUAUUUGCAUAUUUCAAAGAUUAGUUGUUUGGGCUGAUGGCAUCUCAUUUCUUUUGGCCAUUUUGAGAAACAUGAUAUACUUUUUAAUGUCUAUAACUUUAUUUGGUCAUUGUGAUGGAAUUAAUCUCGGCGAUGAAGUUAAUACUCGUAUCCAUGUCAUUUAGUUAAAUAUGAUUUUGUACUUGAUCAGUAGGAUAUUUUCCUUAUAUUAGCUACUGGAAGAAGCGAAUAUCAAAUUAGUGUUCUCACAUGGAGAUAGACAACUCGAAAAAUGCAUGCGUCGCUUUUAAUCAUUCUGACCCAUGAGUAGACCUAGAUAAAAUCAAGUCUAACAUGUUGUUAUAGUGGAAUUGACUCUAUGCACAGUCGGUGACAUCCACAAUUUUCAUUGGUCAAUUUUGUUGUGAAUAAUUUGUAAGGAAAGUGUUCCUUAUCCAUUUACCUUGCGCCGCAUACCAGACGCAUACAAAAUAAAUUUUAUGCCUCAUCAUAUAGCAACAUGGAGAUAUAAUGCCUUCAUAAAUGUUAAUGAAUCACGACCCAGUAGUUAUCUGGUUUGAUUUGUGAUAUCCUUCAAGCAGAUCGACAAAGGAGAGCUUAAUUUGCGCAAAUAAUAGUUGAAGAAGAGAGGGAAAAAACUGGGCAAAGUUUCAUGUUCCAAAGUGAGUUAUGGAUUCGUGCAUCGAGGAAGUCGUCGUAAUGAUUAAAAACUGCUUUUUUUUAUUAAUUGAAAUCCUUCGUUUUAAAGUAUGCAUUUCUCCAAAGGUUUUUUUUUUUUUCCAAAUAUCGAACCAAACAUAUCCUUAAUUUUUCUCGAAACACAAAAUCUCAUGCCUCGGUAGCCACAUUAAGAGAGAAAAUUGCCAUGACUCUUCAAAUGGUUAAAAAGUUGUGCCUCGCCUCUGCCAUUGGAUGUGCAAGAGACGCAUCAUGGAUCGGGAGGCAACAAACUAAUCCUUGCCAUUAGAUCUGAGUCUUCUCCUAUCAGAAAUUGAAUUUUGCUCGAUAAUAUUUUCAUGCAAAAUUCCACGGCGCAGUAAGAUGAUUUUGAUAUUUAAAGUUCUAAACACCAAAAUUCGUUAAUUGUUUCUGACUUUUAUCUUAUACAUGAUGGUGUGAAAAAUAAUUACACAAGGCAAGAUCAAGCACGGAUACGUAUACUAUUUUUUAAUAUUAAUAAAUGACUUCAUUUCACUGACUUUUCAUUUUACUAUUGCCUAUUUAAAAAAUAAUUUACACCCGUGUUGUACCUUAUUUGAUUCAUUAAUUUUAGCAUAUGUAUGUGGCAACAGGAGCGAAAUUAUGCAAGAAAAGAUAUUUAGCAUGGGUGAGGCGCUCAACCGGUCAAGAAAGUUGGAUAUGAAUGAAGAGAAGCUCUUGAUUGAAGAAUUGAUGAUCGAACUUUAAGAACAGAAAACUCCAGAAAAGGAAAUCACCAUGGCUUUGAAGGAUUUGGGCCUACAAGCAGGCCUGUUGUUGCUUGAAUUGUCAACAUUGGAAUUGAUGAUCCACUUGGUCGAAAGUCACAUCUUUUAAAUGUGGGUCUCAAACUCGAGGAACAAGUUAGACCGCUACCUCAAGCUCAGCUCACUCAAUGAUCAUCUCUAAAAUUGAUUAUAUCAUAUUUAUGCCCGAAGCCUAUCUUUUCUCUUUUCAACAAUGAAAUGGAAAUUAGAUUGUGUCUUUUCAGCCAUUGGAUGUAAUAGUUUCGAAGCUCACACGCACACGUUAUCAUAAUUUAUCCAUUUUGGAAUUUGCCCAUCUUGUUGGUUUCAUUUUCCCUCUCAUCGUUGGGAGCUUCAAUCGCAGAAUCUGUUAUUUCACUCGCAGUAGAGACAUCUCGUGACUUGCUCGGAGAGCAUGCAAAACUCUUGUGAGUUUCACGAGGGGACAAGGGAAGGGCACGCGAAAGGAGGGGAUGCGAAUCUCAUGCUUCUCGAAAGACGCUGAUGCGAGACUAGACGAAGUGAGAGUCAUUCCUCGUGGCGUUGCAGAUGUCAUCGUCGAAGUCAAAGCUAAACCCAAGAAGAGGGAAAGAUCCGAGCAUUUUGCAAAUGCUGGCCGGGCGUUUGACAAAAUGCUCAUAUGAGUUGAAACCGUGUUCGAGUGCGUGAAAUAAAAGUGGCGUGUUGCUUUGGGUUUGUAUAGUCCAAUUCUUGCAUUUAGAUGAACAAUGAAAUGUAAAAUAUAUACUCAAUGAGAAAAACGAAAAACCGUGAUUAAGAAAACACCGAUUGGCUUUUUCAAUCCAUAUUAAUCAAAGGGAUGAGUAACAACAGUUAGGCACCUUCUCAGGUUUCUUCUCAUCUUCAGCUCCGGUGCUUCGUUUUUUCGUUACAAUUUUUCGUGCAGUUGCCCAUCAAAGGGGGACCCAACAAAGACAAAAAGAGACAAAGCAUUGGAGGUCGAAACGUGAAACGUGAAGCGGGAAGCAUGAAGCAACCUCUCGUUUCUCGCCAUUCUUCAUAGUGUCCCUGCAAUAAAUUCUUAGCUGCGAGCCUAGCUCAUGUCCUUUUUGACAAUUUCUGUUUAUCGACUACCCAUGCGCAUCGGUCUUUCCUACAUCUUUUCCCUGUAGAAGUUGUCAUGCCUGCCAAGCUUUUUCUCGGUCACUUUCGAUGCAAGUUAUUGAAUGUGUCAGAUGUGAGGUCACAUCAUAAUCUUAUGGAAAUCCUUCUCUAAACAUGUGAAAGGAAGUAGUGAGGGGGAGGGGGAGCGAGGGAGCCUCCCUCGUGGGGCGACUUUCGAGAGCCUUUUAUAAAUUUAUAAAGAUCUUAUUGAAGAGUGUUUCAAAGGACAAUAAAAUAAUCAUACCUAAUAAAAAAAGAUUUUCAUUUUCGUUAUACUAAUUGCGUAAUAGAUGAGAAAUUUUUCCACCAAAAUUUACACGGAAAUAUAUCAUAUACUCUUUGAGAUAUCUCUAUUUUCCAUAUAAAUUCGCACCAAUGUCGACUUAGAGAUGCUGUGAGUGUAUUCCAUGCUUCGUUUGGAGAAAUGUGAGACAAACUACCAAGAUUACAAAAGUAGUCCUUUUGGAAUCUGCCCUUCCCGAAAAAGCAGGAGAUAAUUCCACUACUUAGGCUCUGUUUGUUUGCAUUUCUUUUUUUUGUUUUUAAAUACUUUUUCUGUUUUUUUUUCCUGGGAACAAAAAAGGAAUAGAAACGCGUUUGGUGCGUUUCUGUUCCUUUUUUGUUCUUUUGUUCCCAGGAACAAAAAAGAAACACAAAUAAGAAACACAAAUUUUGUGUUUCUUAUUUCUGAAACAAAACUUAGAAACACUUUUUUUUUUAUUCUUCUUAUUUUCUUUCUUUUUUCUUUCGCCGGUCGCCGGCCAUGGCCGAGGCCGGCGACCAGCCAAAAGAAGAAAAAAGAAAAUAAGAAAAAAAUAGAAUAAAAAUAUUAAAAAAUAAAAAAAAAUUAUACAAAUUUACCAAACGUGUUUCUGUUUAUUUUUUAUUUCCGGAACAAGUUUACCAAACACGUUUUUUUGUUCAAAAAUUGUUCCCUGGAACAGAAACACUUUUUUUCUAUUUCUGUUUCCUAGAACAAUUUUUAAACAGAAACGCAAACAAACGCACCCUUAGUAAACUCACGAACGCCUCGAAUGUGUGUCCUUUCGUUUCUAUGCUUCUUGGCAAGGGUUAAGCCUAAACGGUUUGCGUAAAAUGUCUAGCAGCCCCUCUGCUUGUAAACUAUACUUAUAUGGCCAAAUCAAGAAGAUGCAGUAACACAAGUAUUUGUCCCUGCAUCUCAGGGGGCUAGUCUUAGUCGGUCCGUGGAAUUUAGAAAAACGGAGAGUUGGUAAAGGAGCCAUGCCACGUCUUUCUCAAGUCGGGAUUGAUGUCUGUCCCAAUUGAUGACCAUACCUAAAGGAAUCCCCGGAUGCAACACUCAGGAAGACACUGUGGAGAUUGGGAAGCCAUACUGACGGGAGAAAUCGAAACACCGUGUGAUUUGUACUUAGGGUGCAUGUUUUUAUUUCUAUUCAUUUUCUGUUUCUGGAAACAGAAAUAAAAAAAAGUGUUUCUGUUCCGGAGAACGAUUUUUGAACAAAAGAACGUGUUUGGUAACGUUUGUUCCAUGAAUAAAAAAUGAAUAGAAACACGUUUGGUAAAUUUUAUUCUUUUUAUGUUUCUUUUAAUUUUUUAAUAUUUUUAUUUUAUUUUCCAUUUUUCCUUUCUUUUUUAUUUUUUUCUUCUUUCGGCCGGUCCCCGGCCUCCGACGACCGGCCGACGGGGCCGGCAGCCUCUCCCAACCACGGCGAGGCUCGCCAGUCCCCGGCGAGGCCAAGCCUCGCCAUGGUUGGGCGUGGCUCGGCCUCGCCGGAUCUGGGUGAGCCCGAGCUCGCCUAGCCAAGGCGAGGCGAGGCGUUGCCGGCGUGGGCGAGGCCGAGCCUCGCUGCCCUGCCGUUGGAGCCGAGCACUUGUGCCUGCGAUGCCAACCAAGAUCUCGCCUGCCACUACUUCUCGCGACGCCACCACUCGCCGCCACUCCGCUUGCAGACUCGUGCCCCUCGCAGCAGCCUCCUCCAUAGACGCUACCGUCGCGCCGACUAUCGCGCCGCCCCGAAGCCCGCCGCUCGAUGCCGUCCCGAUCUCACCACGCCAUUUGCGACGCCGUCCGCCAGUCUUUGCCCGCGUCGCCCCGUGUCGAUCUUGAAGCCUCUAGUGCCGCACCGCCGCCGCACCAUCCUCCGGAGCCCCUCGCUGGAACCCUAGCCGAAGAUCUUCCCUCGAGCGAGGCCGAGCCUUGCCGGCGCGGGCGAGGCUCGGCCUCGCCGGGGGCCGGCGACGCUCCGGCGAGGUCGCCAACCCUCAACGGCGUCGCCGGCCAUGGCCGAGGUCGGCGACCGGCCAAAGAAAAAAGAAGAAGAAAGGAAGAAGAAAAGAGAAGAGAGAGAAGAAGAGAAGCGUUUCUUUUAGGCGUUGAAGAAGUGUUUUUGAAGUCCAUAAGUAAAAAAAAUUUGUUUCUUUUUUUUGUUCCUAUUUUGUUCCGGGAACAAAAAAACAAAAAAAGAACAGAAACGCAACCAAACGCGUUUCUGUUCUUUUUUUGUACCCGGGAACGAAAAAAGUACAAAAAUGUUCCAGAAACAUUUUUUUGGAACGUUUCCAUGCACACCCUUAGCUACUUGCUUCACCUAGUUGUCAAAUUGAAAGCGAUAUGUCUCGAAAGCUAAUAAUUUUGCUAGUAAAUUGCUCAUUUUGCAAAUUAAGUGGCAAUGGUAAUAGACAAUAAUAAUACACAAAGUUUUUUUUUUUUUUUUGUCUGGUACAUAAGAAGAUUAAUUGGUUUGAAAUCAUCGUGUCAAAUCAAAUAUGAAAUCAAAAUGCAACAUUUCUUGAUUUCACUAGAUUUUGCUAUACAAAUCUACUCAGAAUAACCACCCACCAUUGUAGCGUAGAAGGUAGAGCUUGUGUUCUCCACCGAGGAGAACCAGGUUCGAAGCCCCUGCGAAGCAGGGAGGCUGAAGCGCUGUGUGGUGGGUGUGGGUAGUGGUUUCCUGCGUGCCUCCCUAUAGUUUACUUUCCGGCCGCUGGUCGUGCGGGGGUUCCCUGGGUCACAAAAAAAAAAAAAUCUACUAAGAAUAUAUCCAUCCCAUCUUAAUUCGCUCUUUUAUGCCGUUUCUUGGCCUUGCAUUUUUCUUGAAAAUUAUCACAAUUAGCCUUGAACUUCAAUUUCUUCAAGGGUUAACAUGAACAGUCUUGUAUUUGGCACUAAAUUUGAUCGCUGACCAGUCUUUGAUCGGGAAAAAUUACCGAAAAAAUCUGAAACCUAUUGCAGUUGUGCAAAUUCAAUUAUAGACUAUUUUUUCUUUUUUUGCUAAAUCAAUUCUAAACAUUUUGCAUGUGUCAAUUUAAUCUAUCUAACCAAUUUUAACCCGUUAACAAUAAUGUGAAUAAUGAGUGUCUACCUAACACUGAAGCGAAUAAGUUUUAAUUAUUUUUAAUUUUAGUUUUUUUUUUCUUUUUUUUUUUCGUUUUUUUUCCCAUUGUCACUGGCCAUGGGCAAGGUCAUAGCCGCCUUCACCUGUUGUUGCGCCUCCAGAUCUUUUCAAGUUGUAGGAAGAGACCCGCUUCCGCAUGGCAACGGUUUUGGGUUCACCGCACCAAGGCAUUUGCAUGUUUGCUAUGCCGUCAUCACCGCUUCUUAUUUAGGUCGCCAUCUUUGAGUCAACCAUUGCUCUGUAUUUUGGCGCCUACGAAGCGUCGUAAGGGAAGAGCAGCGAAGGGGCUCGGGCUUAGGUUGAUGCUUGGUGUCGGGAGGAUUGUCUUGGAUGCAAGAUCAAUCAGCUCAAGGAGACGGAUCACAGCAUGCCUUACAAGCUUUUCUUUUAAGUGGGGACAUUCACCAGGGACAAGUUGAUGCACUUGUGGGAUGCCAAGAUUGGGCAAGGGCCGUGACCCUCUCGCUGACCAUUGUGGAAAAAUAAAGAAAAGAAGAAGAAAAAGCAAAGGGAAAAAAAUAAGAAAAUAAAAAUACUAUUAAAAACUAUAUACAUCAGUAUUGAUCGACGUUCACAUCAACGCCAAUUGUCCGGAAUUAAUCGUAUGUACUAAAUUGAUACAAAUAUAGAAUGUUUAUGAUUGAAUUAAUAAAAAUAAAAUAUUUAAAAUUGAAUUGACAUGAUUAUAAUAAAUUUAAGUUUUUUUUUCCUCUUUAAUUGGUUAAUCUAAGGAACCAAUUUGUGCUUUGGUGCAGGUAAUCGUCACCCAUAUGACAAAGAAACCCUGAUAUCCCUUCCCUCUUAAUCAGUCGCUUGUCUCGCCUCCCUCAACAAGAGGGAUUGUCAUUUACGAUCAGGUAGUCUGAAGUCAACGUUACCACAACCCCCACGAAUGUUGUUAUAGUCUUAAAAAUAUUGACAAUUCCCAUCAUGCUCCGGUCUGAAGGUCGAUGAGAAAAUAAAUGUUGAAUCCUCUCCUUAACUUUCAGGCACAAAACUAAAAUCUCAAUCCUCAUUCUUUCGUGGAUUGACCACCUAAAAAUAGGGUUCCGUAAUAUCACUUUUCCUUUCUAAUUUAAUAAUCUCAAACUAUUUAAAAUGCAAAAUCUCGAUCAUCUGAACAACUCUCUUAUUUCUUGUGUUGGUUGGAUUGUUAGGAGUUUUUCACGUUAAAAACUUGGAAAUUGCCCAUUAAUGUCACCAAUUUCAUGCAAAUUGCUCUAGGUCAAGCUGAUUAUAUAAACUAAAUGUCUGAACUUAACAGGGUUGGGAGGUUUGUAGAGUAUUUCGCGGGCUUUUAGGUAAUCCUUCCUCUACAAUCGUGGCAUGAAUUGUAAAAGAAAAAAGAAAAAAAAUGAUGCAACAAACUCUCAUUAAUCUUUUGUAAGACUAUGCACGAAUAGACAUAUACAAAUUACAAAUGAUAUCAAUAAGUAUAAAGUUGCAUGUAGCAUGUUGUAGUCACAUGUUAAAGUAUUCAAUUAUCUCAUAGACACCCACCAUACUUAUUUUUUAGAGUCAAAACAUUUGACCAUCAACCUGGUGCAAAAUUACUCUAGCACUUUGUUAAAUCUUUAAAAAGUGUGAGAAGUGCAUAUAUAGAGUUUCCUAAUAAUAUGAGCGAGUUCGAUCACCACUAUUAUCUUUAAUUUCGUGAAGUUGAAUUUAAUUGACAUGGACGAGUCUGGUUGAUUUAUACGUGUUAUUAUUAGAUGGUAUGGGCCAUAAUAUAUCUUACGGUACAUAUAUCUGCGAUGGUUUGCUUUUCCCACAACGAACAAAAAUGUCGCUAUCAAUAAGCCCAUGUGGAACGAAGGACACAUAGAGCAAAAAGUAUGAUGAUGAAUUCAGAGCACAUAAAGUGGUUGGCCCGUGAGAAAGCAAUCUUCUGACAACGCGUAUAGCGAAGCUGUGACGUUGAAUUAUUGCCAUCAUCCUACGUCGAACCAAUCUUCUUUUGACGGUACAUAAGGCAAAAAUCUGAUGCUUAAUCACUGAUCUUACCCUGUGUAAAACCAAUCUUUUGAUGGGCCUACUGCUUAAUAGUUGCCAUUAGCCCAUGUGCCAUUUACUUAUAUGCCAUUAUUACAUCGAGUUAGCUUUAGAGAGUGACAAAUGACGAUAACGACGACGAUGAAGAUGAUGAGCUCAUUGAUCCAAUCCUAGUAUUAUCAUUGUUUCUCAGUUGACAAGCCUUGGCUUAGUCUUAAGCUAUGAAACACCAAUACUUUUCGAGAGUUUUCAUAUUGUAUCGACCAACUCUAUGAUAUUCUUAGAUACUUUCAGACACUUGAUUAAUUUUGCUAAUACUCUAAUUGGAAUUCUGACAAUGUGAGUUUUCGACAUGAUUGAUUCCGAUAUGCUAUGUCAGUUUUAAAAAAAAUUCAAUGAUUGAAUGGUCGAAAUACAUAUAUAUAUUAAAUAAAAAUAAUAAAUGGGGAAAUAAAAAAAUAUAGUUUUCUCUUUUUUUUUUAUGAUUCUCACUUCUUGUGAUACAUAAUUAUUCUCAUAUUUUUUUUCUAUCUUCCAACACAUUUAACACGAGGGUCUAAGAUGCAAAUUGCUUGCUUUUUCUUUUUUUCUCAAAUUUUUAUGGAUUAUUAGAAUGGAGUUGAAUUUGUUAAAUUGAAACAAUAAAUGAUAUAAAUAAGUCGUGGAUUAAUAUUUUUAGUGUGAAAUCAUUCUAAGCUUUUUUAUUUAUUUAAGAAUUUAAAUUAAAUUAAUUUGAUUGAAAUAAACAUAAAAAUAAUAAUUUAUUAUGUAUAUGUAAAAAUAUUUAUUUAAUACACAAUGUGUCUCAAUGUAUCUGAUUUUUUUUUAUGAUAAACGACGUGUCAGUAUAUCGUAUCGUAUUAUGUUGUGUGUUGCGUAUCGGUAUCGGUGCUACUUGAAUCUUAAGAUUGGUAGCGGUCGUCCAAAGAAAUCUACCUUGGGGGACUACUCACUAACUGAUGCUCAAUUUUUGCUUCACCUAUUCUGCUUUUAGUUUGAUUUUCAUUGAAGUUUUCUGCGAAUUUUCUUCAGGUUCUAAUAUUCAGACGAAGGAAGAAGUCGAAAUUAAGCUUGUGAGUGGCAUUUUCCCAAUUGAAUUGGCCCCUUUUCUUUUUCCGAUUUUCUGUGCUUUUUUUUUUUUUUGUAUUUUCAUAACCAUUGCAUCGGUAUCUUGUUGAUUUAGAGUUUGAUGCUUUACUUUGGCGUCCUUUUAACUCUUGGGUUGUUUGAAUGACGUAGAUAUGGGUUCACAUGCUUAUAGUAAGUCGGUCGUGCUAACUUUUAGGACGACUAUAAUUGAUGCUGAAUUAAUGCCAUCGGCCCAUGUGACACGAAUCGUCUGAGGACUUAAAAGACAAAAGUACAACAAUGAAUUGAUGGCACAUGGAAUGCUUUUUCGUCCUGUUUGCAAAUGAGCUUUGAAUAUAAUAUAAAUACUAAAAGACAAAAUUAUUUGAAAAAAUAUAAAUUGUGUUUGAUUAAAAAUUAUUUAUAAAUAAACUUUAAAUUAAAUAUGUAUUUAGCACAAAAAAUUUCAUAAUAAAUUUUAAUUUACAUUUUUUAAAAAAUCACCCAAACUCUUCGCCGCCUUGGGCGACUUCAAUCGAAAGUUUUUGGGACGUUGAAUUAAACGCACCCAUGCAACAAUUCGCCUUGAGAAAUUCAUCUUCUGACGGUACAUGGGGAGUGACAGGACAUGAAGCGAAAGGACGAUGCUGAAUCAUUGCUCUUAUACCGUGUGAAACGAAUCUUUUGGUGGGACAUAAAGCGAACAUGUGAUGCUGAAUUAUUGCUACCAGCCCAUCUACCAUUACCUAUAUAUGCCAUCGCCCAUAUAGAGUUCGCUGUGGAGAGAGACGAUGAUAAUAAUAAUGAUGAGGAAUGAAGAUGAUGACCUCGUCGACCCAAUCUCAGUAUUAUUAUUGAGCGAUAAUCGUUCUGAGUUGUUGUUUUCGGCCAGGUCAUAAGAUUGGAAGCGAAUUGUUCGGAUACAUCUAUUUCGGGGGAUUGCUUGCUAAUUCAUACUCAAUUUUUGUUUUAUCCGUUCUGCUUUUAGUUUGACUUUGAUCAAUAUUUCUCCUGAAUUUUUUUUCAGGUACUAACAUUCAGAUGAAUGAGGAAGUGAGUCGCCAACUAACACUUGAAUUUUCCUUUAUAUGCUCUACUUUUCCUUAUUUUCGGACAUUUUACUUAUUUUAGUAUUGUUGUAGUCAUUGCAACGUAUUUUGUUUAUUUAAAAUUUUGAUGUUUUAUUUUUACAUUUUUUAAGACGAAAUGAAUUGUGCUUUCUUGCAUUUUUUUCUUGGAUGGUUUGAACAACGUAGAUAUUGGUUCACAUGCUUCCGGAAAGUCGGCGGUGCUAACUUCUAUACUUUAAAACGAUUAUUAUUAACAAAUGGAAGCUUUCCUCAGUUUGUGACUUACCACAUGCAUGUAUACCAUAACUUCUAUACUUUAAAACGAUUAUUAUUGGUACAUAGUAUGUGUAUUGUUUGUUUAGAGUUGUGAUUGAGAUUCCGGUAUAGUACCAUUGUAAGCCCAAGCAAUUCAUUUUUGGUGUUCUUUUACUAUUCAUGUCUCAAUAUUUUCGUCAAGCCCGUGCUCCUUAAGUCCGUGCUCCUUGUACCUUGUUGAGUAUUGGCUUUUUCCGUUACUUAGAAGAUAGAGAAAAAAAAAUGGAUUUUCGCUAUGUUUUGACUGAGUGCUCCUUGUACCUCUUAUCAAUUCUUUUAGGAUUUUACAAGAAUAGAUGAUACAAAUUACACAUCAUCCAUUAGUACAAAGGGGUACAUAGCAUGUUGCAAUCACAUGUUAUAGUAUUCAAAAUUGUUUUUAUUUUUUUAUUUUAUAAAGCUAUGAUUAUAUAUGUGUGGUCUUCCUCUAUGUAACUUAUUACUUUCAAAUUUUUAUAUUAUAAAUUUUAAAAUGACACUAUAGAAACUGCACUUAUAAUUUUGCAUCGAAACAUCUUACUGUCAACUAACUGCAAAGUGCUAAAUGAUUUAAGCACUUUGCUAAAUCUUCAAGUAACGAGGUUUUCCUUUUUCUUAAAAUUUUCAUUAUUUUUCGUUAUGAGAGAAGUGAAUACAUAGAGUUUUCAAAUUAUACAAUCAUCACAACUUACCCUUAAUUUUGAGGAGUUGAUUUAAUUAACAUUACAAGUCUCACCGGUUUGUGGGUGCGUCCAUGGGAUGGUACGGACCGGAUAACACAUCUGUGAUGGUUUGUUUUCCCACCACAAGAAACAAAAAAGUCUAUUAGCAUAAGUCCAUGUCUCACCCAAAAAAAAGAAAAAGAACCAUAAGUCCAUGUCAAACCCAUCUUUUGAGGGCACACUGAACGGUUCCUUUUGACAGCACAUUAAACGAAAAUUUGAUUCCUUUUGAUGGCACAUAAAACGAAAAAUAUGAUGGUGAACUACCGCGAUUAGCCCAUGGGAAACUAAUCUGGAAGCUGAACUCUUGCUAUCAGCCCAUGUGAAACCCAUCUUCUGAGGGCACGCCGAACGAAAAUAUGGUUCCUUUUGACUGCACAUUAAAUGAAAAAUUGACUCAUUUUGACUUCACACAAAACGAAAAAUAUGGUGAGUGAAUUACCGCGGUUUAGCCCAUGGGAAACCAAUCCAGAAAAUACAUAUUAUAUAUGAUGCUGAACUCUUGCCAUCAGCCCAUGCGAAACCGUGUGAAAUCAAUUUUAAAAAAAUUAUCAUGCUGAACUCUUGCUAUGAGUCCAUGUGAAACCGUGUGAAAUCAAUUUUAAAAAAAAUUAUCAUGCUGAACUCUUGCUAUCAGUCCAUGUGAAACCGUGUGAAAUCAAUUUUAAAAAAAAUGAUCAUGCUGAACUCUUGCCAUCAGCCCAUGUGAAACCGCGUGAAAUCAAUUUUAAAAAAAUUAUCAUGCUGAACUAUUGCUAUCAGCCUAUGUGAAGCCAAAAAAGUUUUCGUUCCCGAUGUCACAGGGCGGAUGAAAUAGCAGCUUCUUUUUGAACGGCCUAUUUUAUCUCUAACCCAAGACCGACGGCAGCUAGCAAUUGAGCACCCGCAGAAUCUCUGCCAUAAGCUCCACUGAUCAUCACCGAGUAGUGAAUACAAUGGCCGAGUCUGUUGUUUCGUUCGCGGUGGAGACAAUAGGAAACCUGCUCAUCGACGAGGCCAAAUUCUUGAGGGGAGUGAAGGGCAAGGUCGAGGACCUGCAAAGGGAGUUGAAGCUGAUCCAGUGCUUGCUGAGGGAUGCGGAUGCGAGACGAGAGCACAACGAAGCUGUUGGAGAAUGUGUCGCACAACUCCGAGACUUUGCCUAUGAUGCCGAGGACGUCAUCGAGAGGUACAUCCUCAAAGCCGCACUGAAGGAGGGACAAAACAUCAUCAAAGCGUAUGCUUGCUUCAUGGCGAAGUGCUCGUGCGUGCAGGUUCAUGGGGUGGGGACAGAGAUUACGGACUUAAAAUCCAGAAUUUCCGAUAUUAGAAGGAGGAUGCAGAAUUGUGGCAUACGAUCUGUGAGGGAAGGCGAACGCGAACGAGCGAGAGCUUUGAUGCCGAAACGGACUUAUGACCAUGUCAAGGAGGAUUUUGUUGGGAGGGAAGAUAGUAUUGAGGAAUUGGUGAAAGAGCUGUCGAAUGAUGGAAAAAAGCAGAGAGUUAUUUUUAUAUGGGGAAUGGGUGGUCUGGGAAAGACCUCACUCGCCAAGAAAGUCAUCGAUCAUGACAAAGUGAAGAACACUUUCGAUGGUAUCGCUUGGGCUUGUGUAUCUCAAGAAUAUCAUCCAAAGGAUAUCUUGGUGGGAAUUCUCAUUAAAUUGAUCCCUGAUCAAAGAGAGAGGGUUAUGAAGAUGAUGGAUGAUGAAUUGUUCAAAACUCUAUACGAGAUCCAACAAGAGAAGAGAUGUAUGGUUGUUCUUGAUGAUAUUUGGACCAAAGAGGCAUGGGACAGUAUUCGAGAUGCAUUCCCGGUCAAGGACGCGAGAAGCAAGCUAUUGAUAACAACCCGCAAUAAAGAAGUGGCAAAGUAUAUCAAUCCUCAAGGUUUAUUCCAUGAACUUCAAUGCUUAUCGGACCAAGAGAGCUGGGAUUUGCUAAUGAAAAGGGUGUUCCCCGAAACAAAAGGUAAGACUUCUCUAAGGUUAUUAUCCUAACAUAUAGUAGCUUCAAGAGAUUAUAUUGCCUGCUUGAUUCUGAUUUAUGGCGCAUCGAUUAUCAUUGUAGGAUUAGCUGAUGAAAUUUCUUCUGAUGGACUUGGAGUUGGUCAAGGUAUUGUUUCAGGCCAAGCUGUAGAAGGUAUUGCAAGACAGUCAGAGAUGGAGGGACAAAUACCACCAGGUAUUUCAUUGCUCAGUUUUGCCUUUUGAAAGCUUUAGCAAUUUAUGAAUCGAUAGUUAUAGUGGAAUUCAAAUGGUCGAAAUAUCAAGUAUUAGGCACCAUAAUUUCAAUAUUUGGGGAAUCAUAUGCCCCUUUUUGUUUCCUACUAGCUUAACCAGUAUACCAUUAAACCAACAUCCAAAACUUUGCUCCUCCUUUCUAAUGAGGUUUAAUAUCAAAGAGGCUUUCAUAAGGACAAAUAAUAAGCGAGUUUGAUAGGAUUGAUGAAAUAAUGUGAAGCCUAGCUAUGUUACUUAUUCCGUAAGCUUCAUCUCAAGUCCACCUUUUUUGCAAUUGUGAAUAGUUGGCUUAAAAAUAAGAGUAGAGAUUGAUAAGGAAAAUCAUGAAUCGUUAUGUGGCAACAUGGAGAUUUCACUUGAAUUUGUAUAGGAGAUUAGUAGCACAUUCAAGUGACAAGAGAUCACACUCGAGUCAUCCUUGCGCUACUUUCAUAUUUCGUCAUCAAGUAUUUUUAUUGUUGUUUUGCAUUUGCUUGAGUCACUUAAUUCAAGCCACAGUUUAGACUUCUUGAUUUUUCCAAGGCGUAGAUGGAGGCAUAUACAAGAGCUUUGUUGUGGUCCCUAUUUUCCCCUUACAAAAGCAUAAAUGAACCACAAAUUAUAAAGAACUAUAGCAUCUUAUACUUCUAAAAGCACAUGUUCGUCCUUGAAGUAAUCUUCUUAUUACGAUUGCAUCUUCCGAUGAUUGUUGAAUUGCAAUUUGUUGCUUGAUAUUGUGUAGUAAUCACUGAAGAGAUGAAGAAGUUAGCACAUGAACUCCUUGAGAAGUGUGCAGGAUUGCCCUUAGCUAUCAUUGUGCUUGGUGGACUAUUGGCUGUCAACGAUUGGAAGAUGAUUCAUGAAAAGAUCAAUUUGCAUUUUAGUGAUAAGAGUGAUGUAUCAAAAGUGUUAGCCUUGAGCUAUGAAGAUUUACCAGGGCAUCUAAAGCUAUGCUUCCUCUUUUUGGGUAACUUUCCAGAGGAUGUAGAAAUCCCAAUGAUGGAAGUUCUUUACAUGUGGAUUGCUGAAGGCUUUGUGUCACUGAAUGAAUAUGAUAAAAAGAGAGAAAUUUCAGUGGAAGAUAUAGCAGAGCAAUAUUUAACGGAGUUGGUUAAUAGGGGAAUGGUUCAAGUGCAAUUCAAAUUAAGUGGAAAGAUCAAAAGCUGCCACCUCCACGACUUGAUGCGAGAGUUAAGUGUCUCCAAGGCUCUGCAAGAGAGUUUUCUAAGCAUUCUUAACAUUCAACAAGACGAUAAGACGGAGAAUUGUUCUGCUUCAAUGGCAAUAAAUGCCGGGUCAAGUUGCAAAAUACGAAGGCUUUCUCUUAAUAGAAAUGUGAUUCCAAGCUUAAAAGCAAGAGAAAGGACUCUGGUCCACCUUCGAACUCUCAUGUCCUUCGGAGGUCUCGCAUGGGAGUCGAAGCAAUUGCAGCCUAUUUUCAACCAUUGUAAGUUUCUUAGAGUUCUAAAAUUAGAGAACCUUAAUGUGGAGAGAAGCUUACCUAAAUCAAUGGGAGACCUAGUCCAUUUACGAUUCUUAAGUUUAGCAAGAAGUAGGUUUAACGGUUUGCCGCA
This 114332-nucleotide long non-coding RNA is filed under the name Eucalyptus grandis. Its description in RNAcentral is "long non-coding RNA (EGRA_LNC002591)". The record is from RNAcentral. Lineage: Eukaryota; Viridiplantae; Streptophyta; Magnoliopsida; Myrtales; Myrtaceae.